GGCGUCCUCAAGAUCUUCCUCGAGAACGUCAUCCGCGACGCCGUCACCUACACCGAGCACGCUCGCCGCAAGACCGUCACCGCCAUGGACGUCGUCUACGCGCUCAAGCGCCAGGGCCGCACCCUCUACGGCUUCGGAGGCUAGAUUCUUGCCGUGCUGUGCUGUUGGCAGCUGUAUGCCCUGUGUGAUAUGCGCCCUGGUGGAUGGGAUUUACUUCUCUGUCGUUCGUUUGUGCUCAGUACGCUGUAGUAACAGUAUAUGCGUUCAAUGAAACUACUCCGAUCCUGAAUUCUGAUGAAACUCUUCAGUUAUGAAUCGUGUUACCGUUUUUCCAAGACUUUCUGAUUUGAUCUGUGCAGCUAGAAUUUUACACAGUUGCAAUCUGAUCAGUCUUUUCUUUUGUCACGCAUUGCAAUCUGGACCAGUGCUUCUGCUAUAGUUGCCAUGUUUUAAUUUGGGUUAAGUGGGAAUGAAUCCUUUUCUUUUCUGCAGUAUUGUGGGUAAAAUCCCUUUCUUCCGCUGUAGUAGUACACAAGGAUCAGGAUUCGGCAUCUAAAGAUGCUGAGAUGGUGGAGUGCUGCAAAUAUUUCUGAAUGAAACCAAUGAAGCAUCUAUCAGUUGAAAUGGUACAUGCUACAUUUAUAAGUCUGUAGAAUGCGGAACAACUAUCUGACGCUCUGCACUAAGCAGAAUUUUUCUUCUUAGUAAUAUUCUCAUUCCUCAGAGGAUUAUACUGCAGAGAUUAUCUUCUUUUCCUAAUAACCUUGUUCCUAAAAGGGAGCCAACUCACAAGAUGGUUUCCAUUUUUCUUUCUUCGAAAUUGCAAGUUGCUGUCACUAAUUCUCUAGAGCAGUAAAUGCUUACCGGUGUAUGUUUUGCCAAAUUCCCAAGCAUCGGCCACAGCACUAAAAUUGGUCACUGAUCAGGCUGCGCGGUCGCUUGAGGCCUGUUCGAAAGCAACCUACCCUAUGUGAUAAUUUCGGCCAACAAUCUCACAUCUGUUUAUAUGUUCUUUCAACAGGCUAUUACCAGUGGAUUUAUUACCUGACCACGUGAAUUUUUGUUGCUCUGAAACAGUGGUGUAGCUGGCUCGGUGAACGAGGGUGGUACAAUAAUAAAAAUUUCAUUUAAUUUCAUGCAUUGUUAAAAAAUAUAUAUCUUUUUUUUACCCUACAUAUUGGCUAUGAUGGAAUUUCAGGAUGGUCCAUGGACCACCCUGUCCACCCCCUAGCUACGCCACUGCUGUGAAACAGCGGUUCAUUCUGUACAUCUACUCUCUCUUUGUUGAGCUUGAUGUGCCAUCGGCGUGAGUGGGUUGUACCCUGGAUGUUUUGGUUUUCGCUCGGUUUUCUGUAAUUAACCGAGCAACUCUUUUCUUGUUAAUUAAUGAAAAGGCAAAGCUUUUGCCCUGGUUUCAAAUAAAAAGCUUUCCAGCUGAUGAAGUUGAAGUCUAACAUAAUUUAGACCCAAAGCGCAGAAGGUUGGAUAUUUCUGCCAUUUCCUUCAUGCAAAUUCUUCUCUGAAACAUUAAAUCUAGAGGAUAGAAAGACGACAAUAACAACAUAUUUAUUAAACAAUUUAUUCAUGGAACCAUCUAGAAGAUACAUCUAUUUAAGUAUGCCAUAGCAGUACUUGCCAAUUUACUGAAUUUGAGUGUGAAGUAUUAUAAAAUCCUAACACGUGCAUUUGGAAUACUGUUCUCUUUUCACCCAUUUUUCAGAUUAUUUGUAGUCAUAGCUUUGCCUCAAGUCAAAUUUCUCAACAUUUGACCAAGUCUAUGGAACAAGUUGUACUAGAGCCGCGACCAGUGGCGAAGGACCCGAUAGGGCAAGGCCUGGCGGCCGCCCUACCUUGAUUUCGCUGGUGCAGGCUGCAUGAAAGGCGACGCAUCGGCGCAACGGCGUUGUCGAUGACGAGUGAUCAAAGCCCGCCCUACCUCAACUUUUGUCCGUCCUCCGUCACUGGCCGCGACUAAUUUAGAUUGAAGGGAGUACUAGUAUCUACAACAUCAAAUAUACAUAGCACGGAAAUAUAUUUUAUGACAGAUCUACUGAAACUAAUUUGGUGCCGUAAAAGUAAUACUAUAUUUUUCUGUAAACCUCGUCAAACUUAAUAAAUUUGUCUUAGGACCGAGUUAGAAAUUUGGAUAAUUUGGAAGACAUGGAGUAAUACUCAAUGGCAAAUAGUAAGCUAUUAUGUCAUUAUUAAAAUCCCCUUUUAACACAAUUUUAGCAACACGAAUUACUAACAAAAUAGCAAAGCACGCCCACAAUCCCAUGCACUCCUAGGGGACGCCUUCUAGAAGGCCCACGAGGCCAUGACGCUCGGCCUAACAUGGCCAGGGUUUUCACCUCAGGAAUUGGGGAAGGACGAGGGAUUUUGAAUGCCCCCUCAUAAGGGAGAAUGGGGCAAGAACGCUAUUGUCAACUUUGACUUUGACGUGAAAUCAACCAGGGAUCCCCCCGGUGUUUGGACUCCCACCACCACAACGUCGGUUAAAUGCAUGUGGUGGCUGCAGGCUUUGGGGCAUUUAAUGUCCUAGUUGGUGGUAAUAGGAGUAUCAUAGUUAGUAUCAUGCAUGCCAACUAGACAAUCUUGAUGAUGUGACAUAAAAUUAAAUGAAGAAAGAGAGAGUUGAGUAUCAUACUAUUAUCAUGAUACUGUAUCAUAUUAAAUAGUGUGUUGCUAUGUGUCAUGCAUGAUAAUAAUGAACUAUCCUAUGAUACUAACAUAUGAUACUAUGCAUUACGAAUGUAGUAUCAUAUACUAGUACCAUAUGCAUGAUAUACUAGUACAUGAUACUCCCCAUUACAACCAGCCUAAGUUUGAAGCCAAUCCCCAGACCUCAUCCAUUCCUUCUCUUAUGCCUGAGCGAAUGAGCACAGACCGACCAGAGGCGGCUAGGGUUUACAGUGGCCAGUCGCCCCCGUCGAUGACCAUUCCCGACUUGCAUUUUCUGGACACCUCCUUAUCCCCUUGCGGAGAACUAGGCUGCAGCCUAGUGGCAGAGGGUCGCAGUGGCGAACCCAACACCUAGAGUUCGACUCCCGCCGGGAGCGAAUUUCUGGUGCCUCACCCCGGGUGGGAUUCCUCUAUAAAAGUAUGAACUUUCCCUUUGUCAUUCGACCAUUAGAUGUCGACAUCCCUAGCUAAGUUUCUUCAAAAGUUUCCGCUACCACCUCCAAGUUGUCACAAAUGGAUAGGCAAUAAGCAUGCAAAACUUCUUGACUUGGGUGGCUUUGUGUAAGUUUUGCUUCAAAGAACAAUAAGGUGUUUGCAAAUAAUAAGUGCGAGAUGCCGGGAGCACGAUGACAAUCUUUAAUUGGAGAGAUAUUUCCAACAACAAUUCCUUUAUGAAGGAGAGAAGAUAGACCAUCAACAACGAAAAUGAAUAAAUAUGGGGACAAUGGAUCACCUUGUCAUACCCAUGUGACAUUGCAAAUGGAUUCGAGCAAGUUCCAUUAAACUGGAGUAUCUCACAUCUGUGAGACACAUCAUUAUCCUGUUAAUCCAUGUGUGAGCGAAACCACACAUUUUCCUGUUUUAAAGGUAGCUUCAUUCUAUCCUAUCAUAUGCCUCAAGAGAUCAAACUUAUAAGUACCAAAACUCUUAUUCGAAUCGUUCUAUUUUUUAAUGUGGUGGAUGCAUUCAAAGACAAUUUGAGCAUUAUCACCAAUCAUCCUUGUAGGGAUAAACACACUUUGUGUGGGUGAAAUAAUAUAAUCCAAAAGAGGUUGAAGCCUAUUGACCAGUCACUUUGCAAUAAUUUUGUAUAUGAAAUGGCACAAAUUGAUAGGUCAAAAAUCCGUUUCCCGAAGUGGGUUUACAAUUUUUAGGAUAAUAACGAUGAUGGUGUCAUUAACAUGUUUCGGCAUGACGUGUGCGACAAAAAACACCUUCAAUGCAGCCACCACCUACUUUUAAAAUCCCAUCUUGCUUGUUUGUAAAUGUAUUAAAGAGCGAAACAUCACAUCUCCAUAAAACCAAAAAACCCGUGAAAAGGAGAGGGAGGGCUUGAUGUGCCGGAUCUCAUCGCUCGCCGUCACAAAGGAGGUGAACGUCGUUGCCCCGAGGCAGAACAAAUAAGUGUAGCAAGAUUUUCGUGAUAAAAGGUGGAUUUUAUUCACUCAAAAUAAAGCAUCAAGUGGAUACAAACACAAUGGAUACACACCUAGUCACUACAUAGCUAGGAUGCACAAUGCCAACACCAACACAUGCACACUAAAAAACACACCGACAAAAAGCAAAAUCAUACAAGACCAAGUGAAAGGACGUGGAUGUCGCCUAGAGGGGGUGAAUAGGUGCUUUGAUAUAAUUACAAUUUAGGGUUGAACAAAUGCGGAAUAAAACUUACGUUUAAUUAGUCAAGCACAUAACCUAAAACAGCUAGGCUCACAUAUGUGCACCAACAACUUAUGCUAAGCAAGAUAAACAACUAAGUGGUAGCAAGAUAUAUAACAAGAAACAAUAUGGCUGCCACAAAGUAAUGUGGAUAAGUAAAGGGUUCGAGUAAGAGAUAACCGAGGCACACAGAGACGACGAUGUAUCCCGAAGUUCACACCCUUGCGGAUGCUAAUCUCCGUUUGGAGUGGUGUGGAGGCAUAAUGCUCCCCAAGAAGCCACUAAGGCCACCAUAAUCUCAUCACGCCCUCGCAUAGUGCAAGAUGUCGUUUAUUCCACCAAGGGAACCAUGAGGGUGGUUAUCGAACCCGUAGAAACAAGGUUGGUGCAAUCUCCACAAUUUAACUGGAGGCUCCCAACAACACCACGAAGCUUCACCACAAUGGAUUAUGGCUCCGAGGUAACCACGAAUGCUCGGGCAAUCUCCACAACCUAAUUGGAGACCUAGACGCUUUCCCGAAGCUUUACACCAUAAUGAUUGAGCUCUGAGGCACCACCAAGCUUCUAGGACACCAAAGCACCCAAGAAGAACAAGCUCUAAGGUACCAAUCACCCAAGAGUAAUAAGCUUCUCAAACUUCACUUCCACGUAUCAUCGUGGAGAACUCAAACCUAUGCAACAAAUGCAAUGACAAGGGCACGCGGAGUACCCAAGUCCUUAUCUAUCAAAUCCCACCACAACAACUAAUGCUAUGAAAGAAAAUGAGAGGAAGAACGAAGAAGAACACGAAGAACUCCAAGAUUUAGAUCCAAGAGGGUCCCCUCACAUAUAGGAGAAAGUGAUUGGUGGAAAUGUUGAUCUAGAUCUCUCUCUUUUCCCUCAAGAACUAGCAAGAACCAUUGGAGGGAUCGAGAUAUAGAAAGCUCGAAGAAGGUCAACAAUGGGGUGGCAAAAACAAGGUCAAAGGAUCGGGUUCAAUGGGCGAGAAGAACCCCUUUUAUAGGAAGGGAAAAAUCCAACAGUUGCCCCCUCAACCCGCACAUGAGCGGUACUACCGCUCCAGGGAGCGGUACUACCGCCCAUUAGAGAUAGUACCGCUCCAAUGGGGAGCAGUACUACUGGUGGGGUAGAGGGAAACAAUCAACGAGGGAUGCACAUGCUGGUAGUACAGCCGGAGUGGUACUACCGCCACCAGGAGCGGUACUAACGAUCAUAAGAGGUAGUACCGCCUCCUAUAUCCGCUCACGACAUGCUGCAGACCUAUCCCAGAAAUACCAAACGGUUCUAGCAUGGUAGUAACAAGCGGUACUACCGCUUGCUGGGCUGUACUACCGUCCUACAUUACCGCUCGAGAAAUCGCUCGGUCUAACAUGAAAAGUGUCGAGACCCACGGGCAGUGGCACUAGCUAGCGGAACUAGCCAAAUCACUUACGCCCUAGAACGGUACUACUGCAGCCAGGGCGGUACUACCGAUCAUAAGAGGUAGUACCGCUCCAGGGAGCGGUGCUACUGCUUGGAUCUUUCUAGGCAGGGCUCGGGCAACAAAUGAAAAGCAAGAAUACCAAAAGUGCCAUAUCUCUCGCAUAUGAGCUCCAAAUUGAGCAAACUCAAGCUAGUUGGUUAUCUUAAGCAGAGGAAGUAUAAAAAUGCCAAUGAUAUAGAGAUGUGAAACCUCUAUGAGUGAAGAGCCGGCAAAAACUCCAACAUAAAAAACAUCAUAGAAGAUACAUAUGAACUCCAUUUUCGAUGAACUUGACCUUGUCAUAAAGAUGACCAUAAGCUCUAAAACUCAAAAAGAGAAACACCAAACAAGAACCAAGAAAGACGAUGCAAGGAUGCAAAUGGUUUGAGCUCUCAACGAACAAUAUAAUCAAGCUACUCACUUGAGAGCCCCCCUUGAUAGUAUGACAAUCUAUCCAAAAUAGAAAACCUACCAAGGGAAACCUAUAACUUGCACAUAGUCCACUUGAGCUAGAUGAUGACGAUCUUGACUUACUCAAGAUGGACCACCUUUCUUGAUUGUGUUGGCUCGAUGAAGACUAUUUGAUUGCUCCACCAUACUCACUAUGGGUGAGCCACUCUUCACCACAUCUUCGCUAGUCCAUUGCCACCAUAAUGGACGACAAGCUUCAAGCAUGAUGUCUUCGUGAUGCUCCAGUUGAAGUUGCACACCACAAUCUUGAUGACGAUCACCACUUUAUGUCAUCCUUAAUGGGUUGUAUGACAUAUUCCUCUUGACGUAAGCCCAUGGAAACACACCUAACCCCACAUAGAACUCUCACGAAGAGCAUGUGUUAGUACACAAAGCGUAAUGGACAAUUGUUACCAUACCAUGGGAUCACUUGAUCCCUCUGGUACAUCUUGCAUGCUUUGUGUGUUGAUCAACUUGAUUCACUCUUUGACUUAGUCUUAAUCAACCUUGUGUCUUUAUGACCAAUCUUUGGAUAAAACCUUGAAUACCACCUUGGUCAUCAUAUAAACUCCUUGAAAACCAACAUAUGGACUUCAAGAAGUGCCCAUGGACAAAUCCUUCAAAUAUAACUCAAGGUAACCAUUAGUCCAUCCAUAGGGAUCACCAUCAAUUACCAAAACCACAUAUGGAGAAAUAUUCUCUAACAAUCUCCCCCAUUUUAGUAAUGGAUGACAAUCACUUUCAAGAGAGUUUAUAUAAGGAAAUAAGCACAAGCAAGCACACACAUGCAAAGCAAUAAUGCAUGGGUAUGAGAUGCAAAUGCUUACAGAAAAAAUGCAAAACUCUUUAAAAACUACAAACUAAACUCUCUAAACUUCUCCCCAUUGGCAUCGAUUACCAAAAUGACGAAAAGCUUAGAAAGCCAAUACAAUAGGUGUUCCUCCAAAAAGUGUGUAUUUCUCAAAAUAUGAUUGCAAUGAAAUACACAUAUCCAAUGAUAAAUAGUUGGAGGAAGACAAGCUAUAUUGAGGAUUCAAAGAUUGUAAAAAGAAUGAUAUGUCACAGAGACUUACCAAAGAGUGAAGCAAGCAAUCAAAAGAUACCAAUUGAAACAAACAAUCACAUGGUCCUAGGAGCCACAUGAAUAAAAGACAUUAGUACAUGGGCAAAUGAGUGUUUUAUCGAAACUCGAGAAGCUCCCCAUGAUUUGUGCACUAUUAAGAUUUUUUGUAUUUGAUACAAGUGAAAAAAGGAUCAUUACUCCCCCAAAAUCAAUAAAAACACACAAGUGAAAGCAAGUAGAUAAGACAAUAAGCAUAGAACUUGCACGAAACAUAUGGUUGAGCAACAUCUAAAAGAGGCAACUUAAGAAUUGGCUGAGCCAAAAUGAUGUGUGUGAGUCAUGGCAAAGCACUUUAAGAAGACUAAUAUAAGGACGAGCGUUAAGCAUCAACAUAGUCUUGAUGAAAUGAGCACAAAGUGCAAGACAUAUCCUUCCCACACACACACUACUAUCAAAUGGGUUCACAAGCUUACUAAUAAACAAAUUAAGAACCAACGCUUGUGACAACCCAUGGUGAAGAUAGGAAAUAAUAGCGUUUUCAAGAGGAGGGGUACCAAUCGAAUGGCAAACCCUCGUCAAGAAAAGCAUGAGGAAAAAUAAUCUUCACCGUCAAUGAGUGCAUCAAGAUGCAAGGAUAUGAGAUCCGCACUCAAAACAAAUCCUUUCAAAAAACCACCAAAGACUGAAAAAGGAAAUGCAACGGUGGACGUGAAAGAAAAUAGGAUGUCAACUACAGAUGUAACUUCUCUCAUGUGUACAAAAUUCUAGGUAGAAGACAAUCAUGAUGAUAUAUAUCCACAAAGAAGGUUGUACACAUGAACUAGUUACAAGACGGAACGAACAAGAUAUACAAAAGGAAGUCACAAAUAUACCAAUAAGAGCUUUGCCUGAAAGUAUAGCACAUGGCCUAAUAUUUUCUUAUUGUACAAAAGUGAACUUCCAACACACGAACAUCCAAUACAUCACAACUAGCAAUAAGACUUCAUCGUUGGGAUGCAUUGAGAAAGGAAACAAGUACCGCAAGAAUGCAUCAAUAAAUCCAUGUCAUGAUGCAACCUACAAAAUGUUGUAUGCAAGAAAUGUAUGCAUGAAGUAGAUACUUGUUACCGAGAUAGUAUUGGACUGAUGUAGUAGAUAAAUGUUCAUUGAUCAUCCUAUCUCGGCUCCAAUAAGCGCAUGGUUUCAACACCUUCCUGUAAGUGAGCCGAGCAUACAAUGCAUCUCCACUUGUUCCUAGAACAACAACGCAAACAAAAUGGUACCCAAACUCAUUGGGACCAAAGAGUUACAAAACCAACAAUACAUAGGACAAACUCCACAUAAAUAUGUGGAUAUAGGUAUGAAACUGAAUUUCAUGCACAAUUUAGCCAGUUUAUGACAUGGUGGAGUUUCCCCUAUAUAUUGGGUCAAAGAAAGAAAGCAUGCCAAAGAAGUAAAUAUAGUAAAUAUGCAUGCUCAAGUCUUUCAAGAAUCAAAUCAAGAGACAAUUGAUAAUAUACCAAAAGACAAGGUAUGAAGUGAGAAUAAAAUACCAAACGAAAAAUUAUCACUUGAAGGAUACCAAUCAAAAGAUACAUCAAUGAAUGUGAUAUCCAUUAACAUAUUCCAAACAGGAAACAAUAUACCAAUUGAAGGAAAACAAACAAGAGGUAUCGAGUUCCCGAAGGAGAGCUAGGUUCCAAACAAACCAAAUCGUCGACAAAUUUUCAUGAUGGCACAAAGCACCAUAAAGAGAAAUACUUGGCUCCCACCAGCACACACUUGACGGGGAUCAAAAGAUUUUAAUGAUAAACACAUACAAAGAGUGUUCUAAAGAAAAUAGGAUAACUCCCCCAAGAUAUGUGCAUUAGAUAGAAUUUGCAUUUGAAUACAAAAUGCACAUGAUGGGAUCAUCACUUUCUCUAUAUCUAUAAAAACACUAGACAUGUUCAAAAAGAUCAACGAGGGGCAUGGAAGACAAAUGAUAAACAAAACCCACUUUAGCAAUUUCUACCACUUUAAAGGGAAUACCAAUUGUCACAGGACAAGAAGUAUUUGGAAAUAAUUCCCAUUGGAAAAUUGCAAAAAGAUUCAACAUCAUCUUUACUCCUAAAUCAUAAACAAAUGACACUUGUAGAGCUAACAUGACACCUAGGAACAAGGUAAUUUACAAUAUGAACACUAAGUGGCAAUACCUCAAAUAUACACAUUUUCUAGGCUUGUAAUAUGCAUAUAGCAUAUUACUCCCCAGUAAUGUGAUAACCCAACAUUAUUGACAAGUGGCAAAUGAAAACCAACAAUAGAUAAUUAACGGAACAUUCAUAAUUUGAAUUUCUCAUGGGUAAGACAUACCACAUAGUGACUAGAUAAUCUUGAAAUAUCAAUACUAAGUGGUAUUCCUCAUGUAUACACAUUUAUAGGAUUGUGAGGUGUGCAAAGCACAUCACUCCCUCAAAAUGGGAUAAUCCAUUAAUCUCUCAAAGGAGCCAACAAAGAUACAAACAAGUUGCAAAAAGGCUCAACACAAGACUCACAUGUACAUGAUGUGCAAAAUAAUAUACACAUACUUAAUUACUCAAGAUAAGCAAGUUAAAAGCACAACAUAUACACACACACAUGCAAGGUACAAAACCACAACAUGCAAAGGGGCAAGUAACUAACAAUGUAAACAAUCUAAGUACAAGUUACCGCAAGGAGGAACAUUGGUUAUAAGAUAGAAACUUGAUGAUCCAAAUGACUUGGUUGGGACAAUAUGAAUGGUGAAGACCCCUUAAUUCUUCAUAAUGUAGCCAACUCUCCAAUGCCCUCCACCAUCACCUAUUGAUCAAGUUUGAGCUUGUUGGUCCCCAACCACGUUGGGUCCCAAAUGGAUCUUUUGUUGACACCACUUUGAGUACCAACAAACUUGGCAAACACAUUGCCAACCUUAUACUUCCCAAGAGAAUAAAUAUCAUAAAUUAGAAUAGGGUUAGAUAAGGUACCGUUCGUGCAUGAAGAAGCAAAGUGACCCUUCUCAGGCAUAAGUAGCAACAUCUACCAUUUACUUUCUUCUCAAUUGAUUUAUCAACUAGAGGAGCGUUGGACUCGGUAUUCUUGGGAAGGGCCUUUCUUCAACUUGUAGUUGAGUAUGUGAUUGAACUUGUGGCCGCUUCCCUUGUUGCUUGUGACUAUGGGGCUUCUUCAUUAAUGGGAAAGAUUUGUUGGAAAUAUGCCCUAGAGGCAAUAAUAAAUUAGUUAUUAUUAUAUUUCCAUGUUCAUGAUAAUCAUUUAUUAUCCAUGCUAGAAUUGUAUUGAUUGGAAACUCAAAUACAUGUGUGGAUACAUAGACAACAUACUGUCCCUAGUGAGCCUAUAAGGACUAGCUCAUUGAUCAAAGAUGGUCAAGGUUUCCUGACCAUAGACAUGAGUUGUCAUUUGAUAAUGGUAUCACAUCAUUAGGACAUUGAUGUGAUGGACAAGACCCAAACUAUGAAUGUAGCAUGUGAUCAUGUCAAUUUAUUGCUACUGUUUUCUACAUGUCAAGUAUAUGUUUCUAUGACCAUGAGAUCAUGCAACCCCCAGGCACCGAGGGGAUGCCUUAUGUGUAUAAAACAUCACAACGUAGCUGGGUGACUAUAAAGGUGCUCUAGAGGUAUUUCCGAAGGCGUCUGUUGGGUUGGUGUGAAUCCAAACUAGGAUUUGUCACUCCGUAUGAUGGAGAGGUAUCUCUAGGGCCCACUCGGUAAUACAACAUCACAAUGAGCUUGAAAGAAAUGUGACUAAGGACUUAGUCAUGUUAUCUUGUAUUACGGAACGAGUAAAUAGACUUGUCGGUAAUGAUAUUGAACUAGGGAUGGAGAUACCAACGAUCGAAUCUCGGGCAAGUAACAUACCGAUGGAAAAAGGGAACAAUAUACAGGAUUGAUUGAAUCCUUGACAUCGUGGUUCGACCGAUAAAGAUCUUCAUAGAAUUUGUAGGAGCCAAUAUGGGCAUCCAGGUCCUGCUAUUGGUUAUUGACCGGAGAGUGUCACGGUCAUGUGUGCAUAGUUCUCGAACCCGCAAGGUCUGCACACUUAAGGUUCAGUGACAAUUUCGUAUUAAUGAGUUAUGUGUGAUGGUAACCGAAAGUUGUUCGGAUUCCCGGAUGAGAUCCCGGACGUCAUGAGGAGCUCUAGAAUGGUCCAUAGGUAAAGAAUUAUAUAUGGGAUAUCAUAUUUUGGCUACCGGAAAAGUUUCAAGUUUUUUCGGCAUUGUAUCGGGAAGCUUCUAGAAGGUUACGGAAACUUCCGGGGGAGUACGAAAGUCCACCAAGGGUUCUACCACGUUGCAAGGAUUUGCAUGGGCUGAGGGGAGACGUCGUGGCCUAAUUGGGCCAAGCGCAUGAGUCCCUCAAGGCCCAUGUAGUUGGGAAAGGUGGAAAGUCCACUUUUGUAUGGAAGGGAAGGAAGGGGGAGUAGGAUUCCACCUCCUCCCCCCUUGAAUGCGCCCUAGGGCUUGGAGGGGUUGUUCCCGACGCCCAUCCACCUAUAUAUAUAGAGGGGAGGGGGCGCCCCAAGAGGACGCACGAAGCCCUUGGCACCCCUCUCUCUCUCCCUAGAUCGUUUUCUCCUUCGUUUGCGGUUUUGGUAGCGCUAGGCGUAGCCCUGCAGGGGUAGCACCACCACAACGGCCACCACACCGUCGUGUUGCCGGAGAACUCAUCUAUUACUACUCCCUCACUUGCUGGAUCGAGGAGGCGAGACGUCAUUGAGUUGUACGUGUGCUGAACGCGGAGGUGCCGUCCGUUUGACGCUUGAUCGGGAGUUCAUGGGACGGAACGUGAUUGGAUCGUGAAGACGUACCACUACAUCAACCGCGUUCUUUAACGCUUCCACUUAGCGAUCUAGAAGGGUAUAUGAAUCCGAUCUCUCCUCACGUAGAUGAUCAUCACCAUGGAUAGAUCUUGUAUGUACGUAGGAUUUUUUUGUUUCCCAUGCAACGUUCCCCAAUAGUGGCAUCAUGAGCUAGGUCUAUGCGUAGAUGACAUCACGCGUAGAACACAAAGGUGUUUGUGGGUGUUGAUAUUCAAAUUGCUUCCUUCCUUAGUCUUUUCUUGAUUCAUCGGUAUUGUUGGAUGAAGCGGCCCAGACCAACCUUACUCGUACGCUUACGACAGACCGGUUCCAUCGAAUGACAUGCAACUGUUGCAUAAAGAUGGCUCGCGGGUGUUUGUUUCUCCUACUUUAGUUGAAUCAUAUUUGACAAAGGUGGUCCUUGUAGAAGGUUAAAUAGCAACUUGUGUAUCACCGUUGUGUCUUUGCAAAGGUAAGAAUCGUUCUUGCUAGAUACCCAUAGUAGCCACGUAAAACAUGCAACAACACAUUAGAGGACGUCUAACUUGUUUUUGCAGGGUAUGCAUGUGAUGUGAUAUGGCCAACGACAUGAUGUGAUAUAUUUGAUGUAUGAGAUGAUCAUGUUGUAAUAGUUAAAUAUCGACUUGCAUGUCGAUGCUACGGCAACCGACAUGAGCCAUAUGAUUGUCUUUAAUUAUUUUGCGUUUGGUGAUGCUUUACUUUAUCACUAAGAGGUAGAAAUAGUAGUACAAGCAUAGUUGGCGUGACGACCUCAAUGGCAGCACGAUGAUGGAGAUCAUGGUGUUGUGCUGGUGACGAUGGAGAUCAUGCCGGUGCUUUGAAGAUGGAGAUAAAAAUCACAAGUUCAUGGCCAUAUCAUGUCACUUAUGAUUUGCAUGUGACGUUAAUAUUUUUAUGCACCUUGUUUGGCUUAGGACGAUGGUAGAAUUAUAAGGUGACCCCUCACUAAAAUUUCAAGAUAAAAUUGUGUUCUCCCCGAGUGUGCACCAUUGCGAAAGUUUUUCGUUUCAUGACACCACGUGAUGAUCCGGUGUGAUAGACUCUACGUACAUAUACAAUGGGUGCAAGACAGUUUUGCACACGUGAAAUACUCGGGUUAAACUUGACGAGCCUAGCAUGUACACACACGGCUUUGGAACACAUGAGAUCAAAAGGUCGAACAUGAGUCAUAUAGUAGAUAUGAUCAACAUGGAGAUAUUCAACAUUGAAGCCAACUCAUCUCACGUGAUGAUCGUACUUGGGUUGGUGAAUUUGGAUCAUGUGUCACUCGAAUGACUAGAGGGAUGUUAGUUUGAGUGGGAGUUCUUAAGUAAUAUGAUCAACUGAACUCAUUAUCAUGAACAUAGUCACAAUGUCUUUGCAAAUUAUGUUGUAGAUGAUUGGCUUGCACUAUAGCUCCCGUGUAUUUUGAUAUGUUCCUAGAGAAAACUAAGUUGAAAGAUGAUAGUAGCAGUUAUGCAGAUUGGAUCCGUAAACUAAAUAUUGUCCUCAUUGUUGCGCAGAAAGUUUAUGUCCUCAAUGCACUGCUCGGUGAGCUAUUUAAGACAAUGUGGAAAUUGUUUCACAACUAAUGCCACCUGGAACACCCUAGUGUGAUGGUGCGUCCGAACAUCGUAGUCGCGCCCUAUUAGAUAUGGUGCCUACUAUGAUGUUUCUUAUCAAAUUACCACUAUUGUUUUGGGGUUAUGCAUUAGAGUCAACCACAUUCACUUUAAAUAGGGCACCAUUUAAAUCUCUUGAGAUGACACCGUAUGAACUAUGGUUUAGUGAAACCUAAGAUGUCGUUUCUCAAAGUUUGGGGCUGCGAUGCUUAUAUGAAAAGGCUUCAUCCUAAUAAGCUCAAACCCAAAGCGGAUAAAUGCAUCUUCAUAGGAUACCCAAAGGAAUCAGUUGGGUAUACCUCCUAUCUUAGAUCCUAAAGCAAAGUGUUUGUUGAUGAAAACGGGUCCUUUCUCGAGAAAGAAUUGAGUGGGAGGAUGGUGGAACUUGAUGAGGUUGUUGAACCAUCACUUCAAACAGAGUCUAGAGGGCGCAUGAAGUUGUUCCUGUGGCGCCUACACCAAAUUUAAGAGGAAGCCAAUGAUGAUGAUCAUAAAUAUUCAAAUUAAGUUACUUCCAAACGUAGUAUGUCGACAAGGACAUGCACUACUCCAAGAUGGUACAGUAAUCCUGUCUUGGAGGUCAUUUGUUGGACAACAAUGAACCUACGAGCUAUGGAGAAGCGAUAGUGGGCCUCGAUUCUGACGAAUGGCUGGACGCCAUGAAAUCCGAGAUAGGAUCCAUGUAUGAAAAAAAAGUAUAGACUUUGGAAGAACCACUUGAUGGUCGUAAGGCUAUUAAGUACAAUUGGAUCUUUAAAAGGAAGACAUACGAUGAUGGUGAAUGUCACCAUUUAGAAAGCUCGACUUGUUGCAAAGAUCUUUCCAACAAGUUCAAGGAGUUGACUAUGAUGAGACUUUAUCAACCGUAGCGAUGCUAAAGUCUGUUGGAAUUAUGUUAGCAGUUGCUGCAUUUUUCAAUUAUGAUAUCUUGCAGAUGGAUGUCAAAACAUUGUUUCCUCGACGGUUUCCUUGAGGAAAGGUUGUAUGUGAUACAACCAGAAGGUUUGUCGAUCCUAAGGAUGCUGACAAGUAUGUAAACUCCAGCAAUCCUUCUAUGGACUGGAGCAAGCAUAUCAGAGUUGUAAUAUGUGCUUUGAUAAGAUGAUCAAAGCUUUUAGGUUCAUACAAAGUUUAUGAGAAACUUGUAUUUACAAGAAAGUUAGUGAGAGCACUAUAGAAUUUCUGAUAAGUAUAUGUGGUUGACAUACUAUUGAUCGGAAAUGAUGUAGAAUUUCUGAAAAGCAUAUAGGGUUGUUUGAAAUGAGUUUUUCAAAAGAAAACCUGAAUUAAGCUGCUUGAACAUUGGGCAUCAAGAUCUAUAUAGAUAGAUCAAGAUGCUUGAUAAAACUUUCAAUAAAGAGAUGCCUUGACAAAUUUUUUGAAGGAGUUCAAAAUGGAUGAGUCAAAGAAGGAGUUCAAAAUGGAUGAGACUCAAAGCCCGACCAUGGCAGAAGAAAGAGAAAGGACGAAUGUCGUUCCCUAUGCCUUAGCCAUAGGCUCUAUAGUAUGCCAUGUUGUGUACACACCUGAUGUGUGCCUUACCAUGAGUGUGUCAAGGGGUACAAAGAGUGAUCUACGAAUGAAUCACUGAACAACGGUCAAAGAUAUCCUUAGUAACUAGUGGACUACGAAUUUUUUCUUGAUUAUGGAGGUGAUAAAAGAGUUCGUUGUAAAGGGUUACGACGAUGCAAGAUUUGACACCAAUCUGGAUGACUCUGCGUAGCAAACCGGAUUCGUAUAGUGGAGCAGUCAUUUGGAAUGGUUCCAAAUGGCGCGUGGUAGCGACAUCUAUAGGAUGACAUAGAGAUUUGUAAAGCACACACAGAUCUGAAAGGUUCACACCCGCUGACUAAAACCUCUCUCACAAGCAAACAUGAUUAAACCCUAGAACUUAUUAGGCGUGAAUCACAUAGUGAUGUGAACUGUUGGAAAUAUGCCCUAGAGGCAAUAAUAAAUUAGUUAUUAUUAUAUUUCCUUGUUCAUGAUAAUCGUUUAUUAUUGAUGUCUACUACACAACCUUCUUCUUGUAGACUCGUGUUGGGCCUCCAAGCGCAGAGUUUUGUAGGACAAUAGCAAGUUUCUCUCAAGUGGAUGACCUAAGGUUUAUCAAUUCGUGGGAGGCGUAUGAUGAAGAUGGUCUCUCUCAAGCAACCCUGCAAUCAAAUAUCAAAGAGUCUCUCGUGUCCUCAACACACCAAAUACAAUGGCAAAUUGUAUAGGUGUACUAGUUCAGCGAAGAGAUGGGGAUACAAGUGUAAUAUGGAUGGUAGAUAUAGGUUUUUAUAAUCUGAAAAUAUAAAAACAGCAACGUAACUAAUGAUAAAAGUGAGCACAAACAGUAUUGCAAUGCUUAUAAACAAGGCCUAGGGUUCAUACUUUCACUAGUGCAAGUUCUCCCAACAAUACUAACAUAGUUGAAUCAUAUAUAAAUCCCUCACGUGCGAGAAAGAGUUCACUCCAAAGUCACAAAUAGCAGAGAACAAUCGAAGAAAUUAUUGUAGGGUACGAAACGACCUCAAAGUUAUCUUCUCUGAUCAAUCUUAUGAGCUAUCCCUAUAAGUGUCACGAACAACCCUAGAGUUCGUACUAAAAUAACACCUUAAGAUACACAUCAACCAAAACCCUAAUGUCACCUAGAUACUCCAUUGUCACCACAAGUACCCAUGGGCUUGAUUAUACGAUAUGCAUCACACAAUUUAAGAUUCAUCAUGUUCAAUCCAACACAAAGAACUUCAAAGAGUGCUCCAAUGUUUCUACCGGAGAGUCAAGACGACAACAUGUGCCAACCCCUAUGCAUAGAUUCCCAAGGUCACGAAACCAGCAAGUUGACCACCAAAACAUACAUCAAGUGGAUCAAUAGAAAACCCAUUGUCACCAUGGCUAUCCCAUCGCAAGACAAACAUCAAGUGUUCUCAAAUCCUUAAAGACUCGAUCCGAUAAGAAAACUUCAAAGGGAAAACUCAAUACAUCACAAGAAGAUAGAGAGGGGAAAACUCCAUAUGAUUCAUCUAUAUUAAUAAAGCUCGCGAUACAUGAAGAUCGUGUGAUGACCCACAAGUAUAGGGGACCAAUCAUAGUCCUUUCGAUAAGUAAGAGUGUCGAACCCAACGAGGAGCACAAGGAUCUGACAAGUGGUUUUCAGCAAGGUAAAAUCUGCUGGCACUGAAAUUGUCGGUAACAAGUGAUUGUGUGGUGAGACGAUUCGUAGCAAGCAACAAGUAACAAAACUAGCAACGGUGCAGCAAAGUGGCCCAAUCCGUUUUGUAGCAAGGGACAAGCCUGGACAAAGUCUUCUAGGAGGAAAAACGCUCCCGAGGACACACGGGAAUUUCUGUCAUGCUAGUUUCAUCAUGUUCAUAUGAUUCGCGUUUGUUACUUUGAUAGUUUGAUAUGUGGGUGGACCAGCGCUUGGGUACUGCCCUUACAUGGACAAGCAUCCCACUUAUGAUUAACCCCUCUCGCAAGCAUCCACAACUACGAAAGAAGAAAUAAUACAAAGUCUAACCAUAGCAUUAAACUAGUGGAUCCAAAUCAGCCCCUUACGAAGCAACACAUAAACUAGGGUUUAAGCUUCUGUCACUCUAGCAACCCAUCAUCUACUUACUACUUCCCANNNNNNNNNNAUAAUGGUGAAGUGUUAUGUAGUCGACGUUCACAUAACACAACUAGAGGAAAAACAACAUACAACAUAUCAAAUUACCGAACGAAUACCAAAUUCACAUGACUACUAUUAGCAUGACUUAUCCCAUGUGCUCAGGAACAAAAGUAACUACUCACAAAGCAUAACCAUAUUCAUGACCAGAGAGGUAAUGAGUAGCAGCAAGGAUCUGAACAUAAACUCUUCCACCAAGUAAUCCAACUAGCAUCAACUACAAAGAGUAAUCAACACUACUAGCAACCUUACAAGUACCAAUCGGAGUCGCGAGAUGGAGAUUGGUUACAAGUGAUGAACUAGGGUUUGGAGAUGAGAUGGUGCUGAUGAAGAUGUUGAUGGUGACGAGUCCCCUCAGAUGAGAGGAGUGUUGGUGAUGACGGUGGCGAUGAUUUCCCCCUCCGGGAGGGAAGUUUCCCCGGCGGGAUCAUCCUGCCGGAGCUCUAGAUUGGUUCUGCCCAAGUUCCGCCUCGUGGCGGCGGAGAAUACACGAAAAAGCUCGUCCCUGAUUUUUUUUUCCUGGACGAAACCCUUCAUAUAGCAGAAGAGGGGGGCAAGUGGGCCAGCAGGUUGCCCACAAGCCCUCAUGGCGCGGCCUGGGGGUGGCCGUGCCGUGCAGGCUUGUGGCCAACCCGUGGCGCCCCUCUCACUUCUUCGGCCCAAUAUUUUUGAUAAAUCCGAAAAAAAUCCUCGUUGAUUUUCACGGCGUUUGGAGUUGCGCAGAAUAGGUAUCUCAACUUUGCUCCACUUUCAGGCCAGAAUUCCAGGUGCCGGCAUUCUCCCUCUUCAUGUAAACCUUGCAAAAUAAGAGAGAAAAGGCAUAAGAAUUGUACCGUGAAGUGAAAUAACAUCCCAAGAAGCGAUAAAUAUCAACAUGAAAACAUGAUGCAAAAUGGACGUAUCAACUCCCCCAAGCUUAGACCUCGCUUGUCCUCAAGCGAAAGCCAAGCUCAAUAAAUAUGUCCACAUGUUUAGGGAGAGAUGUGUCGACAAAACAAGAUACGAACAUGCAUGCAUCAUGAUCAAGAUCAGAACAACAAUACCAACAUAUAAUCUCUCAUGCUAAAGUGAUAAUUCCUUCACAAAGUAAAGCAUGGAUCAAGNNNNNNNNNNNNNNNNNNNNNNNNNNNNNNNNNNNNNNNNNNNNNNNNNNNNNNNNNNNNNNNNNNNNNNNNNNNNNNNNNNNNNNNNNNNNNNNNNNNNCCGUGAGCCAUGGUUAUAGCACUAUAGAUGGUGCGGAAUGUAGUGGAGGUUGCAAGACAAAAAGGAGAAGAUAGUCAAAUUAAUUAGGCAUAUCAAUGAGCUAUGGAGAUGCUCAUCAAUAGAUAUCAAUGUGAAUGAGUAGGGAUUGCCAUACAAAUGAUGCACUAGAGCUACGAGUAUGUGAAAGCUCUUAAAGAAAACUAGUGGGUGUGCAUCCAACUUGCUUGCUCACGAAGACCUAAGGCAAUUUUGAGGAAGCCUAUCAUUGGAAUAUACAAAGCCAAGUUAUGUAAUGAAAAUUUCCCACUAGCUAUAUGGUGGUGACAAAACGAGAGACUCUCAAUCAUGAAGAUCAUGGUGCUUAAUAUGCACAAGUGUGGAAAAAGUGGUAGCAUUGUCCCUUCUCUCUUUUUUUUAAUUUUUUUUUGUGUGUGGGCUCUUUGGCCUUUUUUUAUUUUGGUGGGCUUCUUUGGCCUGUUUUAUUUCCUCACAUGGGACAAUGCUCCAUUAAUGAUGAUCAUCACACUUUCAACUCAAAACUUAGAGUAACCAUGACUCUAUAUGGAACGCCUUUGGUAGUGUACCAUGACAAUGAUCUAGCAUGGCAUAGACAUCAAUGGAAACAUCAUGCUAGCUAUCUUACGAUCAUGCAAUGGCAAUGUAGACGUGGUGUCACAUGUCAUGGUGGUAGUUGCAUGGCAAUAUAUCUCGGAAUGGCUUUGAAAAAGGCAUGGUAGGUAGGUAUAGUGGCUGUUUUGAGGGAGGCUAAUGGUGGGUUUUCUGCACCGGCGAAAAUUGCACGGCACUAAGAAGAUAGUGAUGGUGGAAGGUGAAAGUGCAUCUAAACCAUGGACUCAACAUUAGUCAUGAAGAACUCAUAUACUUGUUGCAAAAGUUUUAUUAGUAAUCGAAACAAAGCAUUCAACGCAUACUCCUAGGGGAAGGGUUGGUAGGUAUAAACCAUCGCGUGAUCCCGACCGCCACGCAAAGGAUGACAAUCAAUAUACUAAUCAUGCUCAGAUUUCAUCACAUAGCGGUUCACCAUACGUGCAUGCUACGGGAAUCACUAACUUCAACACAAGUAUUUCAGAUCCACAACAUCUUACUAGCAUGACUUCAAUAUUACCAUAACCACAACUCAAAACUAAUUGAGAUGAAUCAAACUUCUCUAACUAUUCAAUGCACAUGAAGGUGGAAUUUUUCGUAUCCCUUUGGAUAACUACCACUUUUGAGACUACUUUCAAAGCAUAGAUCAACUACCAAGCCACACACCUCUGUGCUCUAAAAGAUAUAAGUGAAGCACAUAGAGCAAAAGUAUCUAGCUCAAAAGAUAUAAGUGAAGCGCAUGUGAGCUGAAUUUUCUACCAAACAGUAUAAGUGAAGCUCGACAAAAUCACGGUGUGUGCAUGUAUCUCUAUCUAGGUGUGCAUCAAGGAUUAUUGUGACACAACAAAAAUAAAAGACUCCUACGAUACAAGACGCUCCAAGCAAAAACACAUAGCAUGUGGUGAAUAAAAAUAUAGCCCCAAGUAACGUUACCGAUGGAUUGNNNNNNNNNNGUUUUCGUAUCCCUUUGGAUAACUACCCCUUUUGAGACUACUUUCAAAGCAUAGAUCAACUACCAAGCCAUGCACCGUUGGGCUCUAAAAGAUAUAAGUGAAGCACAUAGAGCAAAAGUAUCUAGAUCAAAAGAUAUAAGUGAAGCACAUGUGAGCUGAAUUGUCUACCAAAAGAUAUAAGUGAAGCUCGACAAAAUCACGGUGUGUGCAUGUCUCUCCCUCUAGGUGUGCAGCAAGUAUGAUUGUGACACAACAAAAUAAAAGACUCCUACGAUACAAGACGCUCCAAGCAAAAACACAUAACAUGUGGUGAAUAAAAAUAUAGCCCCAAGUAACGUUACCGAUGGAUUGAAGACGAGAGAGGGGAUGCCUUCCCAAGGCAUCCCCAAGCUUAGGAUUUUACGGCAUCCUUGAAUCUCUUGGGGUUCCUUUGGCAUCCCCAAGCUUGAGCUCUUGCCACUCUUUAUCUCUUUGUCCAUAAGANNNNNNNNNNNNNNNNNNNNNNNNNNNNNNNNNNNNNNNNNNNNNNNNNNNNNNNNNNNNNNNNNNNNNNNNNNNNNNNNNNNNNNNNNNNNNNNNNNNNNNNNNNNNNNNNNNNNNNNNNNNNNNNNNNNNNNNNNNNNNNNNNNNNNNNNNNNNNNNNNNNNUAUGAGAAAGAAAACCACCACUUCCUUAGGUACUGUAGCAAACUUAAAUUAUACUUGUGCUGAUGUUGGGUUACUGUAUUUUCAAUCUUCCAUGGCUAAUACCCCCCGAUACUAUCCAUAGUUUCAUCAAAAUAAGCAACCAACACAANNNNNNNNNNNNNNNNNNNNNNNNNNNNNNNNNNNNNNNNNNNNNNNNNNNNNNNNNNNNNNNNNNNNNNNNNNNNNNNNNNNNNNNNNNNNNNNNNNNNCCUCUUAACAAGGGCACAAGCAUGAAAUCACAAUUUCAUCUCUUUAGAACAUCACUUAUGUUCCGUGACGUUUUACAAUGUUUUCGGUGCCUUGCUUCUAAGCCAUUAAGUAUUUUGCACUGAACUAUCGUGUAGUCAUCAGAAACGUGUAUGUCGGAUGUUCAUAGCAUCCACAGACGACGCUCGAGGUGCAGCACACCGAGUGGUGCAUUAAGGACAUAAGCCUUCUGCGCAGCAAUGAGGACAAUCCUCGGUUUUACAAACUCAGUCUACAAAGUUUGCUACUAUCAAUUUUCAACUAAAUUUUCUCUAGGAACAUAUAAAAACAGUAGAGCUAUAGNNNNNNNNNNCGAGGACAAUCCUCUUCAAAGCUUGCUACUAUCAACUUUCAACUAAAUUUUCUCUAGGAACAUAUAAAAACAGUAGAGCUAUAGCGCAAGCUACAUCGUAAUUCGCAAAGACCAUUAGACUAUGUUCAUGACAAUUAGUUCAAUUAAUCAUAUUACUUAAGAACUCCCACUCAAAAAGUACAUCUCUCUAGUCAUUUGAGUGGUUCAUGAUCCACUUACACUAGCUCAAGUCCGAUCAUCACGUGAGUUGAGUNNNNNNNNNNNNNNNNNNNNNNNNNNNNNNNNNNNNNNNNNNNNNNNNNNNNNNNNNNNNNNNNNNNNNNNNNNNNNNNNNNNNNNNNNNNNNNNNNNNNGAAAAUAGUUUUGAAUUAUUUAUUCAAUUUCAAACACUUUUCAUUUUCGUAGUUUUGUCAAAUUCUCAAAUAUGCAAAAAGAAUUUUAAUAAAAAUAGUUUUUAUUUGAAAAUAACAAAAUAGUUAAUAGUUUGGAUAGUCAAAAUAAUUAAUUUUGAAAAUAGAAAAUAGUUUUGAAUUAUUUAUUCAAUUUCAAACACUUUUCAUUUUCAUAGUUUUGUCAAAUUCUCAAAUAUGCAAAAAGAAUUUUAAUAAACAUAGUUUUUAAUUGAAAUAACAAAAUAUUUAAUAGUUUGGAUAGUCAAAAUAAUUAAUUUUGAAAAUAGAAAAUAGUUUUGAAUUAUUUAUUCAAUUUCAAACACUUUUCAUUUUCAUAGUUUUGUCAAAUUCUCAAAUAUGCAAAAAGAAUUUUAAUAAACAUACUUUUCAAUUGAAAAUAACAAAAUAGUUAAUAGUUUGGAUAGUCAAAAUAGUUAAUUUUGAAAUUAGAAAAUAGUUUGGAAUUAUUUAUUCAAUUUCAAACACUUUUCAUUUUCAUAGUUUUGUCAAAUUCUCAAAUAUGCAAAAAGAAUUUUAAUAAACAUAGUUUUUAAUUGAAAUAACAAAAUAUUUAAUAGUUUGGAUAGUCAAAAUAAUUAAUUUUGAAAAUAGAACAUAGUUUUGAAUUAUUUAUUCAAUUUCAAACACUUUCCAUUUUCAUAGUUUUGUCAAAUUCUCAAAUAUGCAAAAAGAAUUUUAANNNNNNNNNNNNNNNNNNNNNNNNNNNNNNNNNNNNNNNNNNNNNNNNNNNNNNNNNNNNNNNNNNNNNNNNNNNNNNNNNNNNNNNNNNNNNNNNNNNNAGACCUUGUGCACAUCCGGGGCAGACUGGUGCCGCCGCCCUCUUCCGGCGAGCUGUUGUCGUCGCUCGCGUCCCGAUCGGGAGCGGAGUCGACGAGCAUAGCGCCCCGCCUGGCCUUCCCGCGUUGACCGCUCGGCUGGGCCCCGAGCCGGCCCCUCUUGAGUGCCUCGUCGCGCCUCCCCGAGGCCCAGCUUUGGCCUCCCCCAAGGCCCACUCCACCUCUGCUGCACCAGGCCGGCCCACAAGUUGAGAAUCCCCCCUGAGACACUAUUCCACGCCCACGCAGUUGAUAGGUAUCUCGCACCCGUGUUUUGUAGGCCCGAUUGGUGGAUUUAGGCCCGUUAGUAAUUUAGGAGUUUUCGGAAUAAUUAAAUUCCAGAAAAUAACCGUAUAUUAGAACGGUCGUAUCUUUUUAACCAUGUGUCGAAACGAGGCGUGUAGUAUAUGGUUUCCGUGUAGUUUUGCGCGUAGAUUACGUUGGUGCNNNNNNNNNNCGUAUGCCUAGGUUUCCGUGUUGUCUAGAUAGGUUAGUGCCCGUAUUUAAUUUUCUCGCAAGUCCGGAUUGCUUGUAUGCCGUAUUAGAAAUGUCCAUGAUUUAGGAACCCUCUUGCCAUGUAUUUUAGAGUAGUCAUCCAUAUUUUUGCGUGUAGGGAUUGCCGCUAGUUUAUUUUUCCGUGCUUAGGUUAUUAUCUCGCAUUUACGUGNNNNNNNNNNUCGUGAUGCCCUUUUGUUUAUUUCGUAGGAUUUAUUCCGUGCUUCGUUUGAUUAAGUUGUCAACUAGAGAGUUGAUCUUUGAUGUNNNNNNNNNNUGGCAUUAUUUUGUGUUGCAACCCCACAUAUUUUAUAUGUUUUCGGGGUAGAAAAAUCAAUGGGAUUUUUCUGUGCAAUUAGUUUUAGCUUUCGAGUAAGUUAGUUCGCGCGAUAUUUUGCCGUGAUGCCCUUUUGUUUAUUUCGUAGUUUUUAUUUCGUGCUUCGUUUGAUUAAGUUGUCAACUAGAGAGUUGAUCUUUGAUGUNNNNNNNNNNGAUUAAGCUUUGCUAGUCUUGAUACCUUUGGAAAUGAGAUUGUUGAGUCCCAUGUGGCUCACAGAUUACUACAACACCACUUGCAAGUACAGGUAAAGGUUACUUGACGCGAGCGCAUUGAUUGUUCAUUUGGAGUUGCUUCUUCUUCAUCGAUCUAGGAUGGGUUCCAGGCCGGCAGCCUGGGAUAGCAAGGAUGGACGUCGUUCUUCUUUUGUCAUUUUUUUUCGUCCGUAGUCGGACCCUGCUCUUACUCUUGAUGAUUAUGUAAUGUACUGAUGUGACUCUGAUGUAGCUUGUGGCGAGUGUAAGCCAAUUCUAAAUAUAUAUAUCUCUUCUUUUUAGUACAUAUACUUGUAACGAUAUCCAUUCUUGCGACACGCCGAGAUGCGCUUCUAGCCCUGACGAGGCCUUCGUGCCAAAUUGAGGAUAGGGUCGCAUCUUGGGCGUGACACUAGGUUUAGAUAUCUGGGAAGGAACGUGUUCGAGGUCCACUUUGGUAGCGAGGGAGAUUGGAGACAUGUUCUGCACAAUGGACCAUGGGAGUUUGAUUUCAGUGUUUUGAUUGUGAAGGAAUAUGAUGGGGGUACCAGGCCCUCGAAGAUGGUGUUCGAUAAGGUGGAGAUGUGGGUUCAGGUGCAUGAUCUCCCACCGGAUAAGAGGACGGAGGAGUUUGGGAAUGCCUUGGGCAACUGGCUCGGGAAGGUGGUGAGGAUGGAUGUUGACGAGGAAGGAAAAGCUAAAGGUCAACACCUUAGGGUUCAUGCUCAGAUCUCUGUGUUUGAGCCGCUGGUGAGGGGCUUUUUCCUGAGAUCAUCGCGGGAGGAGAAGAGUAAGCUAUGGUUUGAUUUUCACUAUGAGAAGGUUCCACACUUUUGCUUUGAGUGUGGUAGAUUGGUACAUGUUGAUGGGGUCUGCGACCCACCUGUGGACUCUUCGUCUUAGUGGGGAGGAUGGCUCCGGGCGUCGUCAGAUAAGCAUGGUGUAUCAAAAGGUGGCUCACAAGGAGGAUGUGGUGGUAGUAACAAUAGUAUGGGCAGUGGAAGACAAGGUGAUAGUGAUCAGUAUGCUCAUCAGAUGACUAGGGUGCGCGAUCUUCCUACCAAGCGUAAUCUGCACUCAGAAUUUUCGUGUACAGGUGACUCCCGCACUGGCGAGGAGAAUAGACCUGGGGGGAAAGAUGUGAGGAGCCCAAUUAAUAGCAGAGGCAUAGCAAAGGAGCAGCACGAGCGGGACUUAAGAUAUGAUCUGGAGCAAAGGAGAGAGGAGGUGCUGAGGGGCAAGUUGGUCGAACAACAGAGACAGAGAGAGAGGGUUCCUACUGACUGCAUGGUCAGGGAGGAUAGGGGUUUCCGUACUCUCCCCAAAGCUUUUCCUGUUGAUGAAUCGGGAAGGAGGAUGGAGGGUAUCUCAACAUCGGGUCAUGGAGGAACAACGGAGAGGAGGAGGGGGCACUACGUAAGGAAGCCGAGAUAGGAAUAUCGUCCAAUUACAAAGAGUUCUUCUAGGAGACUGGGAGAGGAUGGCAAUAGGAAAAGGCGGCCUAAGCAACUAUGGGUAGCAAAAGAUGACCCAGAUAGACAGUUUAUUCAUGAUGCCUUCAUUCGUGAUACAAGACGCAAGACGUCUUCAGUGUUUGAUCGUAUCUCGAAAUACAAUGAUAUAGCGGCGGACCCUGCGGAGCAGGGCNNNNNNNNNNNNNNNNNNNNNNNNNNNNNNNNNNNNNNNNNNNNNNNNNNNNNNNNNNNNNNNNNNNNNNNNNNNNNNNNNNNNNNNNNNNNNNNNNNNNUUCAAAACUAUUUUCUAUUUUCAAAAUUAAUUAUUUUGACUAUCCAAAGUAUUAACUAUUUUGUUAUUUUCAAUUAAAAACUAUGUACAAAACGUGCAUUUAAUUUUGUUUUUUUGGGCUAGUUGACCCUAAAAUUGAAAAGCACUACAAANNNNNNNNNNCGUCACAAAUUUUUAACAAUUUCUGACUUAAUUUGGUAUUUUUCGUGCAUUUACUUUUGUUUUUUUGGGCUAGUUGACCCUAAAAUUGAAAAGCACUACAAAUGAACUCUGAAAAUGUUGAAAGUUGGCAUGCUAUCAUCAUUUCACCCACAUAGCAUGUGUUAAAAAGUUGAGAGGGCUACGACAAAAACUGGAUGCACUUCGUGUACAAAACGGACAAUCUCUCUCGAAGUAUGAGCGUUUCAAACGAGAACUCAUCUCUUACAAAGGGAUUUCAUUUUUUGAACUUAUUUGAACUCCAUACUUUUUGUGUGUUUAAAAUNNNNNNNNNNUAAAACGGCCAAUCUCUCUCGAAGUAUUAGGGUUUCGAACGAGAACUCAUCUCUUACAAAGGGAUUUCAUUUUUUGAACUUAUUUAAACUACAUAUUUUUUGUGUGUUAAAAAUGCACCAUUGAAAGGCACAUCACAAAAUUUCAACAAUUUCUGACUUCAUUUGGUAUUUNNNNNNNNNNCAAAACGGACAAUAUCUCUCGAAGUAUGAGGGUUUCGAACGAGAACUCAUCUCUUACAAAGGGAUUUCAUUUUUUUGAACUUAUUUAAACUCCAUACUUUUUGUGUGUUCAAAAUACACCAUUCAAAGGCACAUCACAAAAUUUCAACAAUUUCUGACUUCAUUUGGUAUUUUUCGUGCAUUUACUUAUUUUUUUGAGCUAGUUGACCCUAAAAUUGAAAAGCACUACAAAUGAACUCUGAAAAUNNNNNNNNNNUAUCAAAAAAUUUCAACAAUUUCUGACUUAAUUUGGUAUUUUUCGUGCAUUUACUUUUGUUUUUUUGGGCUAGUUGACCCUAAAAUUGAAAAGCACUACAAAUGAACUCUGAAAAUGUUGAAAGUUGGCAUGCUAUCAUCAUUUCACCCACAUAGCAUGUCUUAAAAAGUGGAGAGGGUUACGACAAAAACUGGAUGCACUUCGUGUACAAAACAGACAAUCUCUCUCGAAGUAUGAGCGUUUCAAACGAGAACUCAUUUCUUACAAAGGGAUAUCAUUUUUUGAACUUAUUUGAACUCCAUACUUUUUGUGUGUUUAAAAUNNNNNNNNNNNNNNNNNNNNNNNNNNNNNNNNNNNNNNNNNNNNNNNNNNNNNNNNNNNNNNNNNNNNNNNNNNNNNNNNNNNNNNNNNNNNNNNNNNNNGGGGGGUUCAGAGGAUUGGGUGAAUCCCUUCCUUCCACCCAAUCCUCUCAAAUCCCCUCAAUUGUCAAAUCCCUGAGCCAUGAGACAAGGUUUCUGAACCGCAUGGAUAGGAAGAAAUCAAGGGGGAUUCGAGAGGAUUGAAGGGGUUUGCUCAUCACAAACCCUGUCCACCAAAUGGACAUGCGGGGAAACGCGGGGUUUCUGAUUCCCUCGGGGAUAAUCCCCUACAAUCCUCCUCAAACCCUCCGCACCAAACAAGGCCUAAGGGUUAGAUCAAUACAACACAACAAUACACAAUAUUAGUCAUCCUUCCACAAUUUCCACAAUUAGAGGCCCACUUAACGGCCUAUUAAAAUGCAUGAUUUGUGGAAGCAGUUUAUAUAGGCUGGAUUCUGUACAUACGAAAUUAACUGCCCUUUUAAGUGGGCCAACGAACACUUCAGAUUAGAUUAGUCGUAGGGCACAUAAGUGGUCUGAUGGGAGGUUGGGCAUCAGUAGUCUGAUGCCUAGCGCUGCCCAUAAAUACGAAUCAUGUUGAUUGAUCGUGCUGUUUAAGAAGGAUGCUUAUAAGGAAGAUCAUAAGAUACUGCUUCCCUCUGUUCAUUUUUAUAAGACGUUUUAGACAGCCGAAAUUGAACUGUUUUGGGUGUUGCCUUAAAUGUCUAAAAGGUCUUGCAAAAGUGAACGGGGGAAGUAUCAAAUGACAUACAUACAGAACUGCCCUCGAAGUGACUUGAAGAUAGCAGCAGGCUGGACAAAGCAAAGCACAUUGCAUAAGUGUCUUCCUGAAUGUUUUAGAAACCAGAGACAUGAGAGCCAAACCAGAGAGCGCUUUAGUUAUGGUGUAGUACCAGUACCUCCUCUUCUUCUGGAGGUAGAAUUUGGCUACAUCGGAAGCUGAAAUUUGUCCUGCUUCCUUCCUGUGACGCCUCCGAUGAGAACUAGAGGUGCAAUAAGUCGGAACAGUGGCCAGCAGAACUGAAACAGUCUUGAUAAAUCUGCUGGGAUUCAGAUUCGGAAUACGAGUGAGGGUUUAAGUACAGGAAGAAGUAAUAGCAUAUAUACCUGGUGCAGGAUCGGAUGUGUAAAAUGUUGUGUGGCUUACCUCGGCUGUUGGCCAACCACAGCAGGUCACUAAACUCGGGAGUAUUGGCGAUCUCCGCAGCCCUGUUCCUCACGAGUUGCCAGUCGAUGGCGGCCCUGUAUCAGAGGAAGAGAUAUUCAAAACCUGGAGAUUUAUUUAUGCUACCCGUACUGGCAUGCAGAAUCCCUCGGAAUAAUGGAACACGGUACAUGCAUGCAUGAUGUGUCCUAGGAAAAGAAAAGAAAAAAGAACAGUCACCUGAGCUUCUCGUUGCGGUGCAAGGCCGAGAGCAAGCGGGUGCGCCUGACGGUGCCGGGUGUGGCGUUGCUCAUAAACCAUGGUGAUAAUGGCGCCGUGCGGCCUGCUGAUGGAGAUGGAGUGGAUGGUUCUGUGCAGAUUGGGGAAGUUGAAGAGGAGCCUCCCCUCCUCGCCGAGCAUCGCGUCGACCUUGGGCACGAAGCGGACGACGUACUUGACCGCGUCGCCCAACUGGCCCUGCCUCGCGAGGCGCUGCAGGUGCUCCACGCUGAAGAACACGGUCGUCUCGUGGAGCAACCUGAAGAACACGGUCGUCUCGUGGAGCAACCUGAAUACAGUGACAAAGGACGUAUCUUAUGAUAGGACGCGAAGAAGCCAAGGGGAUUUAGGCGUGAUGAUGAUAGUGCUGAUAUGUACGCUUGGAAGGUGGAGUUGAAGCCGUGGCACGAGAGGAAGUACGACACCAAGAUUUGUUAACGAGGUUCAUCAAUAUGGUUAUAUCCCCGGGGCUUGACUACGACGCUCCUUUCCGUGACACCAUCACAAUACCGCACCCCGGCCGUCCGUAUGCCGGCACACACCGUCGGCUCUCCUGCGUGCCUGUGUUAUUAUGUUGACAUAUGUUACAUCGUGUGUCUAACCCGCUAUAUAUGAAAGGCCUAGGGGUACAUGUGUCCUAAUAGGACACGACUCCUACCUUGUCUACACAUCGUACGACUCCAAGUCCAACUGUAACCUACCUUGUACGAUAAUAUUCGACACAACUCUAACAAACUCCACCUUGACGAAUAUUCUCCACCACCUUGGAUUCAUCCAUGCGUCGAACCUUCAUAUACAUUGGACUUUAGAUUAUACCAUGAGCACCGCUGCUACUCCCAGACUCCACAUGACUCCACCUGCAACUAUAGUCCCUUCUCGUCUUCUUCACAAUCAACCCUCGAGCAAAGUUAAUUUCCUUAUUACUCUAUAUACUUUGUGCUUCCAAUUUCUGGAGUAUCCAUUCAAUGUCAUCACACACAUAUCACUGACGUGCGUGAAAGUGAACAACCCACAUAUUGAAUGCCACAUAUAAAGGUUACCUGAGCUCAACAUCCUCACUCUUCUUUGGCCGUCGCUUUGAAACUUGAAGGAAUUUCACCAUCUCCUUGUGUCACCCUGAGUCAAAUUCGCAGUUGUCUCACCCUUUUCCCGGAUAGUCUCUGACAUGUCCCACAGCUAUAGCACCCCGCCUCCUUCUGUACUUGUCAUCCGCACUUUGUCAUGUGCAAUGAACACCACAGAAUAUACGACCAUGUACUCUCUCUGCUUUUGACAAUUUCGUACUUUCCAUCACUUUUUCAGAUUCUCUAUGGUCAACUCAUGUCCAUCAACUUGCACCGAUAGACCCAGUCACCAACUUGAAUCUGGUAUUCAUUAACACUGCUUCAGUACCCGUUUGCGCAAUUUAUCUGACCACAUGUCUGACCACCAGUACCUUGGUCUGUCGCUAUGCUUACCACACGCCUCGCCGCUAUCAUUGCGUCGAGCCUCUACUGUCAUGGCCGAGUCUCCCAAGGUCGCGAACCAACACCACUCAACCCCCACUUCAGAGUACCACCGAUCAUCACCGACCGAUGCUGAGUAUCACGUCUCCAUGAGACCACUGGUACCCAGUCCAAUCCACGUGUCUCUCGUUAACCCAUUGAAAUAGGCUACGAUUCUCCGAAUUCUUAUGUUGUAGCCCCUCAUCAGCACAGAGUGAUGUCUUCCGCUAGACUCCAGCUCCACCUUCCACAUGACCCCAUGUAGCCGGCCGUGCUACCCCAUGCCCUGUCGACUUCAAGAUCUCACGUGUACACAACCUUGAAUCAACCUCGCGUCAUAGUCCGUCGAAGCCGCACAAGCCCUCAUGCCUGCACCACGUGUUUCCACGCCCCAGAAGUUGGCCACCAUCAGCAUCACGCUCCUAUGUCGUCGUCGCUGAAAUCACCGCCGUCUUCUGCUUUGCCCGACAUCCCCGUCGAUCCGUCAGACUGUCCAGUCCGACCCAGCCAAAAAUAUCCGACUGCAACCACGCUCCACCUUGCGUUAUGUCCGCGCUGCACAUCUUCGUGCAUUUCUUUAAUGCCCUAUGUAUGCAUGAUCAUGUCAUGACGCACGUGAGACUCCUCUCAGCCUUAUGCGUCCAUCCUUGUCGCACACACUCCCAGCACUUUCGGCAAACUUGACCCAUAAAAAAACAUCCUUGCAGACUUGACCGCUAUGGAUACUUUCUGCAGAUUUUUCUUUCCCUUGUCUCUUUCUGCCAGUACUUAUGUGGACGAGUAGACUAUUUUUUUCACCAACAAAUCUCAUGCCUUGCAGCUUCCCACGCAUUUGGUCUUCCGUGACUCCUCCAAGCAGCCGCUGACCAUACAUGUGCUCUGUUCAAAACAAAAUAGUAACAACCAAGAAAUAGUCCCCCAUAGCGUGCACGUAUGUGUAGCAAAAAAGAUCAACAAAUAGUUGUCCACAAGCUUCCCAACACGAAGUAGCUAUUCCAGACUACUAUUCUGUUGUUUCCUUUGUUUAUCCAACGUGCACAGCUGGUCUACCGUCAUCUCAAACGGUGCAAUUUUGCAGCAACCCAGCGCAUUGCUGCCUUGGGCCCUCCACGAUGGAAACUCCUGCCAUCCAUCAGCUGCAGCCCACCAAGCCUUGAGCCGCACGCCCCUCAGGAUCGAGCAGAUUGUUGCAGCUCUGCAUGCCACACGCAUCAUCUUCCCCUGCACGUGUAAGGGGCCGCCGUAUCACGCUUUCCAAAUCGAUCAUCCAGCUUUGAGUCGAUUACAAAUCUCGCACAAUUGGUUUCCUUUAUUAUACCAGACUCGACGAGUUCUAUUGAUCAACCACGCAAACUUAAGACUGCUGAUGCCGCCACCUGCUUCCUGAUUCUUUUUCUGAUUCACCCGAUCACAACCAGACAACUUCCAUGGAAUAGCUUCUCUUCGAUCAGCCUCUUCCGCGUGUCGUCUUUACACCGAACGAUUCAACCUUUAGAUCGAUACAACGCAGACUCCGAGCAACCUGGCUCAUGAUACCACUUGUUAGAAUAAUCCAAGGCUUUCCAUCGAUCUACCGAGGACCAAGUAAUCACACGAGCGCGACACCGAGAUUUGUUAACGAGGUUCAUCGAUAUGGCUACAUCCCCGGGGCCUGACUACGGACGCUCCUCCCCGUGACACCGUCACAAUACCGCACCCCGGCCGCCCAGACGCCGGCACACACCAUCGGCUCUCCUGCGUGCCUGUGAUAUUAUGUUGGCAUAGGUUACAUCGUGUGUCCAUCCCGCUAUAUAUGAGAGGCCUAGGAGUACAUGUGUCCUAAUAGGACACGACUCCUACCUUGUCUACACACCGUACGACUCCAAGUCCAACUAUAAUCUACCUUGUACAAUAAUAUUCGACACAACUCUAACAGAGGCGACGCUGACGGAGCUGCGACACGCAUGGGUGCUCCAUGGAACGCCACAUGGAGGAGGGAUUGCGCUUGCUGGAGCCGCACCGGUGGUCGGAGAACUUCAUAGCGGGAAGCACCGUUUUGUGGUGUGGGCCUGAUAAUAGCGCCCACCCACGGUAUAAAUCUUGGGGUAUGUACCCCGUCCUUCCACUCCCCUCUCUCAAGUUCAACGGCUCGGUUCGCAAAAAAAGGGUUAGGCGCCUCGGCAACACCUUACCACAAGAACAAAGAAAAAAGAAAAUAAAAGAAAAAAUGAAAAUGAAAAAACAAAAAGGUAAUUUUUUUGUCUCUGAAGGUUCUAUAACAUGGUAAAUUGUCAAAAACUACCACAAUUACGCCCGACGGUGCCGAAAACCACCGUUUCCAUAAAAGUUUACCAAAAACACCUAUUUUGAGUAUUUAUUUGCUGAAUGCACUAAAAUUGAUGUUUGACCAUAUUUUGACACAAAAACUGACAGCAGGACCCAAUCCGUCAGGACCACAUGGCAUGGGAUAACGACUAGGUAAGACCGUCUAUCAUUGCUGGCAUAUGAGGGCCAUUUGUCAUAGAAAGAAAAAAGAAAAAAGAAAGUUCCCUUUACCUUUCCUCGUGAAGCAACCUUUACGCAAAGAAAGCCAACGCCUCGGCCAGGAACAACAUACAGCGAACUGGAGCUCACCGUUGCCAUGAUCGUCGCUGCCACCGUAAGCACUGGCAGCGGUGUGGUACGUGGACCCUUCUUCCGUGUCCAAACGUAUGCCUCAAUCCUCUUCCCUACUCUUGUCGUCGCUACCGGCCAGUCGACCACCAUGGCCUCCGUGGGCUUGAGCUCGACGAGAUCCUGUUUGCCCCGCCCACGUGCUUCCUAGUCGUGCCCCAUGGUGAGCUGCACGCCACGUGCUCCUCCUUUCGCACAUGCCUAGACCAAUGUCCGUCUGGCGAGCUCUGACGUCGUCUACACCCGCAGAACGAGCAGGAUUCGGCCAUGGUGAAUAGGCAAUUUUUAUGAAUUCUUCACUCAGAAAUUUCCCUAUGAAAAAUUUGCUAAGUAACAAACGACUUGCAGCGGAAGAAAUACUCAGGUGUAAGUAUAACAUGGCACAAGCAUGGUCAUUAUGAUGGAAUGGAACAAACACGUAGUGCGAGUGGCGUGACCGAUAACCCACAAGUAUAGGGGAUCGCAACAGUUUUCGAGGGUAGAGUAUUCAACCCAAAUUUAUUGAUUUGACUCAAGGGGAAACCAAAGAAUAUUCUCAAGUAUUAGCAGUUGAGUUGUCAAUUCAACCACACCUAAAAGAUUUAGUAUCUGCAGCAAAGUAUCAGUAGCAAGUUAGUAUGAUAGCAGCAGUAGCAACAGUAACCAGUAGCAGCAAAGUGACAGUAGUAGCAGCAAAGUAACAGCAGUAGCAACAGAGUAACAGUAGCAACAGUGUCAGUAGUAGCGACAAAGUAACGUAGCAAGGACCAUUAGGAAAAACUCGUAGGCAUUGGAUCGGUGAUGGAUGAUUAUGCCAGAUGCUAUUUAUCAUGCAACAGUUAUAACACGGAGAGAUAUGUAACUAGCUCCAGUUCGUCAAUGUAAUGUAGGCAUGUAUUCUGUAUGUAGUCAUACGUGCUUAGGGAAAAGAACUUGCAUGACAUCUAUUGUCCAUCCCUCCCGUGGCAGUGGGGUCCUAAUGGAAACUAUGGGAUAUUAAGGUUCCCCUUUUAAUAAAGAAACGGACCAACGCAAUAACACUUGGUGAAUACAUNNNNNNNNNNCAUAGCGAGUCACAACCAUUCAUAAGUAGCCAUACAUGAGUUUUAUCCAUUACAUUAAAUCUCCAAAGACUAAAAAUGACGAUAAUAAAAAUUUAACUACGAUACAUUACUCCCCCUUUGNNNNNNNNNNNNNNNNNNNNNNNNNNNNNNNNNNNNNNNNNNNNNNNNNNNNNNNNNNNNNNNNNNNNNNNNNNNNNNNNNNNNNNNNNNNNNNNNNNNNNNNNNNNAAAAAGGGAGGUGUCAACAGCACCAAUCAAACUCAAAGCUCAUCACCAUCAUCAUCAGCAUUAUCAGCCAAGCCACUGCCCCCAGCCUCGUCAAAGAACUCAGACCACUCAGGACCAGACGGGAAGCCAAAAUCAGUAGGAGGAGCAGCAGGAGGGGCCUCAUCAUCACUCACAUCAAGAGCGCCCAAGGCUCUCAGACGAGCCUUUAGGGCAUACUUGGAGGAAACUAGGCGGGAAACUUGGGCUACAACCGUUUCAGACUCAUAACCAUGAAAAGGAUCAGAUUCGACCAGAGUGAUUAACUCAGGGUUGACAGAGAAUNNNNNNNNNNNNNNNNNNNNNNNNNNNNNNNNNNNNNNNNNNNNNNNNNNNNNNNNNNNNNNNNNNNNNNNNNNNNNNNNNNNNNNNNNNNNNNNNNNNNCUCUUGAAGAGAUUUCAUCAUAGCAUCUACGAUAUGCGCGGUAAAGGCUUUACUUUGGCUAUAAGCAUGUGGAGAGUUUGCAAUGGAUUGCAUCAAAGAAAUGCAUUCAAACAAGGAGCAAUUAUCAUAAUUGAAUUCCUUGAAAUCCAAAGUGGGAGUUUCAUUACUACCCAAAAUUUUGACUUCUUCUACUCCACUCUCCACGCCUUUAUCAUCAAGAUAGGUGGACUCCGAAUCAUUGGGGCGUUUUUCAACCAAAGUGGAUUCAUAUCCAGCCCCUCCAUAAGUAGGUUUGACACGCAAAAACAAAGAUUCAAGAGGAGACACACCAAGCAGUUUAAGAUCUUCGUUAUUUGGAUCACAAAUUUCAGGUUUAGCUGCCAUCUUAUUGACUAAGGUAGCCUGCUUGUCAGAAAUUUGGCCCACCAAUUCUUCAAGAUGAGCAAGCUGGGAAUUAAGUGCAAGGACAUCAUUGGCCAUAUCAUCAAUAUCUUUAUUCAAAUAGACCAAAAAGGAAUUUUGCUCUUUUAAUUCCCUACGGAAGUAACUAUUUUGGUCAAACUAUGAAGACAUGAAACCUUUGACAUUAGUUUCAAUCUCCUCCAAUUUUCUGAAAUAGUUUGGUUUGGCCAUGAGGGAGGGUAUCUCACGAACAAACCUAAGAGCAGGCGGGCAAAAAGGAAAGGCAAAAAGAAAAAGAGAACGGCAAAGGAGAAAGGCAAAUGAAAACAGCAAAUGUGAAGUGGGGGAGAGGAAAAUGAGAGGCAACUCGCAACAAAAGUAAAUGUAAGAGAAGAGUUUGUGAGACCUACUUGGAUAGAUCUUGAUUUCUCCUCCCCGGCAACGGCGUGAGAAAUGCUUCUGAUGUCAACUGUACUAAUGCACAAAAGUCCUUCCAAUGGCGCCAGAAACAGGUGUGUCGACGACACCAGGAAUCCUUCAGUUGCGGCUACGCCUUAAGGGACUUCCUAGGCAAGUAUUCAAAGGAUUCCCCCGUGGCCUUGGAGCCUUGCAUUGGUGUUCCCUUGAAGCGGAAAGGGUGAUGUAGCACAGUGACGGUAAGUAUUUCCCUCAGUUUGUGAACCAAGGUAUCAAUCCGGUGGAGGAGUAUCACAAGAUCCUGCACAAACACAAAAGCUUGCUCCCAACACCAUGAAGGGGUUGUCAAUCCCUUAUAGAUUGUUUGCCAAGUGAGAACUGAAAGCAACAAAGUAACAAAGCAAAGUAAAAGCGGAGGUGUAAACGAUGGAUGUGAAUAGACCCGGGGGCCGUAGUGUUUAGUAGUGGCUUCUCUCAUGAAAGCAAGUAGACGGUGGGUGAACAAAUUACUGUCGAGCAAUUGAUUGAACCGCGCAAAGUCGUGACGAUAUCUAUGCAAUGAUUAUACCUAUAGGAAUCACGUCCAAAACAAGUAGACCGAUACUUUUUGCAUCUACUACUAUUACUCCACACGUAGACCGCUAUCCAGCAUGCAUCUAGUGUAUUAAGUCCAUAAGAACAGAGNNNNNNNNNNCUCGAGCAAUUGAUAGAAUCGCGCAAAAUCGUGACGAUAUCUAUGCAAUGAUUAUAUCUAUAGGCAUCACGUCCAAAACAAGUAGACCAAUACUUACUGCAUCUACUACUAUUACUCCACACGUCAACCGCUAUCCAGCAUGCAUCUAGUGUAUUAAGUCCAUAAGAACAGAGUAACGCCUUAAGCAAGAUGACAUGAUGUAGAGGGAUAAUCUCAAACCAAUGAUAAAACCCCCAUCUUUUUACCCUUGAUGGCAACUACUUGAUGUGUGCCUNNNNNNNNNNAAAACCAUUGAUAAAAACCCCAUAUUUUUACCCUUGAUGGAAACUACUUGAUGUGUGGCUUGCUGCCCCUACUGUCACUGGGAAAGGUUACCACAUGGUAGAACCCAAAACCAAGCACUUCUCCCAUUGCAAGAAUCAUAGUUAUAGUUGGCCAAACAAAACCUAAUACUCGGAGAGACUUACAAGGAUAUCAAAUCAUGCAUAUAAGAAAUCAGCAAAGACUCAAAUAUGUAUCAUAGAUAAUCUAAUCACAAAUCCACAAUUCAUCGGAUCUCGACAAACACACUGCCAAAGAAGAUUACAUGGGAUAGAUCUCCAUGAAGAUCAUGGAGAACAUUGUAUUGAAGAUCCAAGAGAGAGAAGAAGCCAUCUAGCUACUAACUANNNNNNNNNNNNNNNNNNNNNNNNNNNNNNNNNNNNNNNNNNNNNNNNNNNNNNNNNNNNNNNNNNNNNNNNNNNNNNNNNNNNNNNNNNNNNNNNNNNNGGAACCUACUAUCAAAAUCAAAAUCAAAAACUAUGAAUGCAAUGCUUUGUGUGAUUUGGGUGCUAGUGUUUCCGCAAUUCCAAAGUCUUUAUGUGAUGUUCUAGGCUUUAAUGAGAUUGAGGAGUGUUCUCUUAAUUUGCAUCUUGCGGAUUCUACUGUCAAGAAACCCAUGGGAAGGAUCAAUGAUGUUCUUAUUAUUGCAAAUAGGAACUAUGUACCCGUGGAUUUCAUUGUGCUAGAUAUUGAUUGCUGUCGUGGUAACGAUUCCGACAAUAGAAAGAGGGUAGGAUAACGGAGCAGUGGAGAUGCACAUGGGUGACACGGUGGUUUUUGCGAGUUCAGGCCUCUCACAGUGGAGAUAACAACCCUACGUCUCGUGCUCCGGAGAGGCUUUGUUUUAUCUGUCAUGGACAUGAGUUACACGGUGUAGAGAGAGAGCCAGAGCUCGAGGGAAAUAAUGAGCCUGAAGGAGGAGAAUAAGAAGAUGUCCUUAGCUAUGUGGAGGGGGGUGGCUUAUAUAGAGUGCGCCACCUCCUCACCUCUUAUCUUACAAGAUGGGGCAUUGAUGCCAUAAUGUCAGCCCACUACAGAUGUCCUGCCGACUGUUGGUAUUUGCAUGACCGAGUGAGUCAUACGGCCGAGUGGUUGACUGUCAUCCGAGUGGAUGGAAUGUACUUGUCUGAGUGGAUCCGUACCGAGUGGAUUAGAUGUUGUCACGAUCCAGUAGGAAUUUCCCUUAUAGUCCUUAAACUAAUAAUGAGGUGCCCUUGGGUAGGACGUAUUGGUCAGACCUAUGACCCUACCCUAGGGCUAUAUCCCCGUCAUUAGCCCCCGAAUGGAUCAGGGUCCGAGUGGUGAAGGUGUCGAUGUAAAUCUUGUAGCAGCAGACCGAACUUGAACGUGCUUCAGGGUCUUGCAAAAUUAUGCGUUGAUUGAAGUCUUCAUCAUUCGCCCUGAUCGAUUCCGCUGAGUAGUACGUCCGAGUGAACUUAAGAAUUGAAGUAGAUCCGAGUGACCAACAGGAUCUUGAGACUCUAACUGACUGCUGGUAGUCGGUUGGAAUCUGUUGAAUCUGUUGAACUUGGAUGUUGUUCGUGGACCUGACCAAGCAGAAUGUUUCUUUUUUUGUUUUUCUCUUCUAGUGGGGGCACGCUAAGUGCACCCACUGGGUGUAGUCCCCGAGCCUCUGUCGGACUAGAUGAGUCCGGCAGAGGGUUUAAGUCAUCCAAUGCUCGUCAUGUUGAAUGUUUGUUGUAUCUGCAUUAUAUGAUUUCUAGAUCAAAGUCAAGUCUCUAAGAGUUGUUUUUAACUUAGGCGAUACGGAGUCGCAGCUAAGUUUCCGAGUGUGGAGCGUGUCCGUACUCGGAGUUGUUUUAACUUAGGCGAUACGGAGUCGCAGCUAAGUUCCCGAGUGUGGAGCGCGUCCAUACUCGGAGUAAUUUUAACUUAGGCGAUACAGAGUCGUAGCUAAGCCCCCGAGUGUGGAGCGUGUCCGUACCCGUAGUAGUUUUAACUUAGGCGAUACGGAGUCGCAGCUAAGCUGAGCGGUGGCGCGCGGGGCAGCCGAAUCAUGAAGACGUGCCACACAGAGUGGCGAUGUGCAUGGCAUCUGACUGAGGUAGACGAUUCUGGCUGAGUGGCAACGCGCGGGGCGGCCAAGUGAUGUAUGUCGAGGAGGCGUCCGACCCACUGACGGCACGCAGGGCGGCCGUGUCCACUACGUCAUUGCGGGGGCUUCCGAACACGUGAAAACACAUGAAUGAUUGUUGCGGCGACUGAGCCUGAGCAGCGACGAGAAUGGCGCACGGAUGCGUCGAGUAACCUGUGUAUGAAAAAUAGCACAAGCCAGCAUAAAAAAAUAUCAAAGUAAUAUGAUCUUUUCUAAAAUAGUUCGUGUAAAUUGCACCCAGACACCCACUAGGUGUGCCACGUGAUUGCUGGUUCGGAACCAGCAAGAGUCUAAAAGAGUGAAGGAUCCGGCUGAACUCGUUUGAGUACUGGACCCAAACGAAGCGGAAGUGAAGUGUUCCCACAUAAAAAUAAACAACUGAGUGCAAAGGUACACUAAGUGGCGUGGCCUCCGAGUGAACGUCAUGUGCGACUUCCUCGACACUCGGUACUGUAGAAAUGAUUAUUUAAUAGAAUGGAGUCUGUGAAAAAAUGACUUAGCUGCCUCACGACGCGCGGGGCGGUCGAGCGAAGUAGACACGUCCGGCUGAGUGGCGUCGUGUUGGGCGGUCAAGCGAUGAAGACGCGUCUAGCUGAGUGGCGACACGCGGGGCGGCCGAGUGACGACGCGCAGAGCAACCAGGUGACGAAGGAGCCUCCAGCCGAGUGACAGCGCGCGGGGCGGUCGAGUGACAAAGGCGCGUCUCGCCGAGUGGCGGCGCGCUGGGCGGCCGACUGAUGAAGGCGCGUACAACCGAGUGACGAAGAUGUGUCUCGCCGAGUGGCGGCGCGCGGGAGGACCGACUGAUUAUGAUGCGUCCGACUGAGCGACGGCACGCAGGGCGGCCGAGUCACUGCAUGUUGGUCAUCUGUAUGCAAAAUUCAUCUGGAAUAAUUUAUGUGUGUCAUCGUGUUAGUAGCUCGAAUGAAUGGUCCGUCCGUAUAAACUGUUGUUCGGAGACGAUGACGGACGAGUGACCCUGCAAGUUAGUAGCAAGCGUAGCUACAAAUAUUUUUGGGUGAACUAAUUGUCCUGUAUAGUUGCUAAUUUGCAAUGAAUAAAAACCACAUUUGGUGUUGCCCGCAUGCAUGCAAAAUUUACUGGUGUGGGGAAUACUUACGAGGAGCUUAACGAGGCAAUUACCUCAGCCGAAACGGUUAGUCCACGUUUAAUGCAUGGAAUUGAUCCUCCACCCAAUUAACCCGACGUUAAAGGCCUGGCCACCACUACCUUCCGUUUCAUGUUCUUGAAUACAUGCGGUUUAAUAGAUCGUGGACCACCACGCCCUAUCGUUUCCUUGAUGCAUGCAGUUAAUUGAUCCACGGACUGGCCAGGUUAUGCAUGCACUUACGAGGCAGGCCGGUCAGCGCUGGCGCGUCGUCGACCAGGUCCUGGAGAUUCCCCUCCAAGGCGAAGCAGUGGCGCAACGCGGUUCUAUCAAUUGCUCGACAUUGAUUUGUUCACCCACCGUAAUAUUUGCUAUUUUGAGAGAAGCCUCUAGUGAACACUAUGGCCUCCGGGUCUACUCCACACCAUAUUUUCAGCCUUACUCUUUUACUUCGUUGCACUUUGUGCCUUCAGAUCUCACUUUGCAAUCAAUCUUGAAGGGAUUGACAACCCCUUUAUAGCGUUGGGUGCAAGCUCUUUUGUGUUUGCGCAGGUACUCUGGACUUGACGAGAUUCUCCUACUGGAUUGAUACCAUGGUUCUCAAACUAAGAGAAAUACUUACUGCUCAUGUGCUACACCACCCUUUCCUCUUCAAGGAAAAACCAACGCAAGCCCAGCCUCCGUCAACGUGUCAAUCCCUGGCGCUGUUGUCUGUUGUCGUAGCACCUACCAACCCUUCCCCUAGGAGUAUGCGUUUAGCACUUUGUUUUGAUUACUAAUAAAAACUUUCGCAACAAGUAUGUGAAUUCUUCAUGACUAAUGUGAGUCCAUGGUAUAGAUGCACUUUCACUUUCCACCGUUGCUAGCCUCUCUAGUACCGUGCAAUUUUCGCCGGUGCACAAACCCACCAUAUGCCUUCCUCAAAACAGCCACCAUACCUAUCUACUAUGGCAUUUUCAUAGCCAUUCCGAGAUAUAUUGCCAUGCAACUCCCACCGUUCCGUCUCAUGACUUGUGCAUUCACUCUCAUAUUGCCAUUGCAUGAUCGUAAGAUAGCUAGCGAGAUGUUUCAACGUCAUACGCCAAGCUAGAUCGUUGCACAUCCCGGUACACUACCGGAGGCAUUUCCUAUAGAGUCAUCAUCGUUCUAAGCUUUGAGCUGUGAGUAAAUAAAUGUGUGAUGAUCAUCAUUAUUAGAGCAUUGUCCCAUGUGAGAAAAAAAAGAGGCCAAAGUUGCCCACAAAAAAAAAAGAUACAGAAAGAGGUCAAAGAGCCCAAAAAGAGAGAGAGAGAAAAAGAGAGAAGGGACAAUGCUACUAUCUCUUUCCACACUUGUGCUUCAUAAUAACACCAUGUUCUUCAUGAUUGAGAGUCUCUUGUUUUGUCACCACCACAUGCUAGUGGGAAUUUUAAUUAUAUAACUUGGCUUGUAUAUUCCAAUGAUGCGCUUCCUCAAAAUUGCCCUAGGUCUUCGUGAGCAAGCAAGUUGGAUGCACACCCACUAGUUCUCCUUUUGAGCUUUCACAUACUUAUAGCUCUAGUGCAUCCAUUGUAUGGAAAUUCCUACUCAUUCACAUUGAUAUAUAUUAAUGGGCAUCUCCAUAGCCCUUUGAUACGCCGAGUCAAUGUGACCAUCUCCUCCUUUUUGUCUCACAACCUCCACCACACUCUAUUCCACCAUAGUGUUAUAUCCAUGGCUCACGCUCAUGUAUUGCGUGAGAGUUGAAAAAGGUUUGAGAAAGUAAGAGUGCGAAAACAGUUACUUGGCCAAUACCGGGGUUGUGCAUGAUUUAAAUUAGUUGUGUGGGGAUGAUAGAGCAUAGCCAGACUAUAUGAUUUUGUAGGGAUAACUUUCUUUGGCUUUGUUAUUUCGAAAGUUUAUGAUUACCUUGCUAGUUUGCUUGAAGUAUUAUUGUUUUCAUGCCAAUAGCAAACUAUUGUUUUCAAUCUUACGGAUCUGAACAUUCAUGUCACAUGAAAGAAGUUACAAAGGACAACUAUGCUAGGUAGCAUUCCACAUAAAAAAUUCAGUCUUUAUCACUUCCCUACUCGGGGACGAGCAGGAGUUAAGAUUGGGGAUGCUUGAUACGUCUCCAACGUAUCUAUAAUUUUUGAUGGUUCCAUGCUAUUAUCUUGUCAAACUUUGGAUGUUUUGUAUGUCUUUUAUAUCUUUUUUGGGAUUAACUUAUUAACUCAGUGCCAAGUGCCAGUUCCUGUUUUUUCUGUGUUUUUGACCCUUUUCAGAGGAGGAUAUUAAACGGUGGCCAAACGGAAUAAAACUUCCGAAAAGAUUUUUUCCGGAACAAAAGAUACGCACGGGACGUGAGAACCAAGGCACAGGCCACCAGGUGACGCCACAAGCCCCCUAGGCGCGGCCAGGGGCCCCACGCCUAGCAGGCUUGUGGGCCCCCUGUGGCUCGUCUGACCUACCUCUUCCGCCUAUAAAUUCCCAAAAAAAUCCAAAACUGCGAGAGAGAUCCACGAAAAUACUUUUCCGCCGCCGCAAGCUUCUGUCUCCGCAAGAUCCCAUCUGGGGCACGUUCUGGUGCCCUGUCGGAGGGGGGAUUCAGAUACGGAGGGCUUCUUCAUCAACACCAUGACCACUCGAUGAUGCGUGAGUAGUCCACCAUAGACCUUCGGGUCCAUUGCUAGUAGCUAGAUGGCUUCUUCUCUCUCUUGGAUCUUCAAUACAAAGUUCUCCAUGAUCUUCAUGGAGAUCUAUCCGAUGUAAUCUUCUUUUGUGGUGUGUUUGUCGAGAUCUGAUGAAUUGUGGAUUGAUGAUAAGAUUAUCUAUGAAUCUUAUUUGAGUUUCUUCUGAUCUCUUAUAUGCAUGAUUUAAUAUCCUUGUAAUUCUCUUCGAGUUGUAGAUUUUGUUGGGCCAACUUGAUCUGUGAUUCUUGCAAUGGGAGAAGUGCUUGGUUUUGGGUUCAUUCCGUGCGGUGACCUCACCCAGUGACAGAAGGGGUAGCGAGGCACGCAUCGUGUUGUUGCCAUUAAGGGUAAAAAGAUGGGGUUUACAUCAUUGGUUUGAGUUUAUCCCUCUACAUCAUGUCAUCUUGCUUAAGGCGUUACUAUGUUCGUCAUGAACUCAAUACACUAGAUGCAUGCUGGAUAGCGGUCGAUGUGUGGAGUAAUAGUAGUAGAUGCAGAAAGUAUCGGUCUAAUUGUUUCGCACGUGAUGCCUAUAUGUAUGAUCAUUGCCUUGUUAUCGUCAUGACUUUGCGCGGUUCUAUCAAUUGCUCGACAGUAAUUUGUUCACCCACCGUAAUAUUUGCUAUUUUGAGAGAAGCCUCUAGUGAACACUAUGGCCCCCGGGUCUACUUCACAUCAUAUUUUCAGCCUUACACUUUUACUUUGUUGCACUUUUCGCCUUCAGAUCUCACUUUGCAAUCAAUCUUGAAGGGAUUGACAACCCCNNNNNNNNNNNNNNNNNNNNNNNNNNNNNNNNNNNNNNNNNNNNNNNNNNNNNNNNNNNNNNNNNNNNNNNNNNNNNNNNNNNNNNNNNNNNNNNNNNNNNNNNNNNNNNNNNNNNNNNNNNNNNNNNNNNNNNNNNNNNNNNNNNNNNNNNNNNNNNNNNNNNNNNNNNNNNNNNNNNNNNNNNNNGAGGGAAAUACUUACUGCUCCUAUGAUGCAUCACCCUUUCCUCUUCAAGGGAAAUCCAACGCAAGCUCAAUAGGUAGCAACACCCUGCCGGAGGGAGGAUUCACCUCCGGGAGCUUCUCCACCGCCAUGGACGCUUACCGGAUGUGCCGUGAGUAGUCCUCCUUGGACCAUGAGUCCAUGACCAGUAGCUAUGUGAUGUCUUCUCUCCAAUCUUGUGCUUCAAUGGUUAGUCCUUGUGAGCUGCCCUACAUGAUCAAGGCAUAUAUGUAAUUCUUUAUCUUUUGCUAUGCUCGGUUUGUUGGGAUCCGAUGGAUUAUGAGAUUAUGUUCAGAUUGUUAUGAAUUAUAUAUUUGAUUAUCCUUUUAUAUUAUGUUCCUUAGUGAUUCUUGCAUGUUCUUCGUUGCUUUUUAUUGCUUUGGCCAAGUAGUAGAUUUUAACUCCAAGAGGGAGCGUUAUGCAUGAUUGCGGGUUCGGGCCCCUCGAUGUCUAGCUUGAGUGACAGAAACAUGAGACUAGGGGAUGUGCUUUUUGCCACCAGGGAGAAAACAACGGUGCUUGUGACCAUGGUUGCAAGGAUUGUUUACCUUACGCGUAGUUCGUUAAUGCAGUUGUCCGUUGCUUUGAGUUUACACUUUAGGUGGGGCUCGCAAGUUAAUACCGGAGAGAUGUUCUGGAUAGAUAUCUCAAGGUGGAUGAUUAGUAAGUAGAUGCUGAUGAAUAAACGGUCUACUUGUCUUGGCGUACUGCCCAUUACUAUUGAACCUUUAACUAUCAAGGAGCAUAAUUAGCAUUGCGGUGCGAUCAUAAUUCUGUCAAUUGCCCAACUGUGAUUUGUUUACCCAAGCAUAGUUGUUUAUCAUCUUUUGGAAGAGAGACAUCACUAGUGAACAUCAUGUGACUCCGGUCCAUAUCACCAUCAUUGUUUACAUCUCCAUCAUUUACCGCUUUCAUUUACUUUUCCGUUGCAAUCACUGUUACCUUCCUGCUUGUGUUUUGAUCCUUUGAAAACUACAAGGCCGGAGAGAUUGACAACCUCUCUAUACUUGUUGCGAGCAAAGUUAUUUACUGUGUGUGCAGGUCAACGUCUUCUUCUAGCGCCAGGGUGGAAGACACCUACUUGUUGAGCCUAGGAGUCCUCCUGGUUCAAUAAACCUUACAGUCUCCGUGUAAGGGAAAUUUGCUGCUGACUACAUCUCCACCUUCCACUUGGGGUAACCAACGAGGGGCGAGAAGUAUAUUGGUGUUUGUUGUGUAUCCCUUGCAACAGUGCCAGAAAUAGUUGUGUCGACGGCACCAAGAAUCCUUCAGCUGCGGCUACGCCUUAAGGGACUUCCUAGGCAAGUAUGCAAAGGAUUUCCCCACAUGGCCUUGGAGCCUUGCGUUGGUGUUCCCUCGAAGCGGAAAGGGUGAUGUAGCACAACGACGGUAAGUAUUUCCCUCAGUUUGAGAACCAAGGUAUCAAUCCGGCGGAGGAGUAUAUCAAGAUCCUGCACAAACACAAAGGCUUGCACCCAACGCUAUGAAGGGGUUGUCAAUCCCUUAUAGAUUGUUUGCCAAGUGAGAACUGAAAGCAACAAAGCAACAAAGCAAAGUAAAAGCGGAGGUGUAAGCGAUGGAUGUGAAUAGACCCGGGGGCCGUAGUGUUUACUAGUGGCUUCUCUCAUGAAAGCAAGUAGACGGUGGGUGAACAAAUUACUGUCGAGCAAUUGAUAGAACCGCGCAAAGUCGUGACGAUAUCUAUGCAAUGAUUAUAUCUAUAGGCAUCACGUCCGAAACAAGUAGACCGAUACUUUCUGCAUCUACUACUAUUACUCCACACGUCGACCGCUAUCCAGCAUGCAUCUAGUGUAUUAAGUCCAAAAGAACAGAGUAACGCCUUAAGCAAGAUGACAUGAUGAAGAUGGACAAUCUCAUAUCAACGACAGAGCCCAUCUUGUUACCCUUGAUGGCAACUACUCAAUGUGUGCCUUGCUGCCCCUACUGUCACUGGGAAAGGUCACCACAUGGUAAGAACCCAAAACCAAGCACUUCUCCCAUUGCAAGAAUCAUAGAUCUAGUUGGCCAAACAAAACCCAAGACUCGGAGAGACUUACAAGGNNNNNNNNNNGUCAUGCAUAUAAGAAAUCAGCAAAGUCUCAAAUAUAUAUCAUAGAUAAUCUGAUCACAAAUCCACAAUUCAUCGGAUCUCGACAAACACACCGCCAAAGAAGAUUACAUCGGAUAGAUCUCCAUGAAGAUCAUGGAGAACUUUGUAUUGAAGAUCCAAGAGAGAGAAGAAGCCAUCUAGCUACUAACUACGGACCCGUAGGUCUGAAGUGAACUACUCACGAUUCAUUGGAGGGGCGAUGAUGAUGAUGAAGAAGCCAUCCAACUCCAAAGUCCCCUCCGGCAGGGCGCCGGGAAGGUUCUCCAGAUGAGAUCUCGCGGAAACGGAAGCUUGCGGCGGCGGAAAAGUAUUUUCGNNNNNNNNNNAACCCGUAGGUCUGAAGUGAACUACUCAGGAGUCAUUGGAGGGGCGAUGAUGAUGAUGAAGAAGCCCUCCAACUCCAAAGNNNNNNNNNNCUGCGGAAUAUUUGGGAAUUUAUAGGCCAAAGAUCUAGGUCAGGUGGCGGCCAGGGAGGCCACAAGCCUGCCCACUACCGCCUCCCCCUGGUGGCGGAGUGGGGGCUUGUGGGAUCCCUGGAGCCCACCUGGCCUGGCCCAAAGGCCCCGUGAUCUUCUUCCGUUCGGGAAAAAAUUAUUUCAUGAUUUUUCUUCCGUUUGGACUCCGUUCCAAAAUCAGAUGCGAAAAGAGUCAAAAACACGGAAAAAACAGGAACUCACACUUGGCACUGAAUUAAUAAGUUAGUCCCAAAAAAGAUAUAAAAGGUACAUAAAACAACCAAAGAAGACAAGAUAACAGCGUGAAACCAUAAAAAAUUAUAGAUACGUUUGAGACGUAUCAAGCAUCCCCAAGCUUAACUCCUGCUCGUCCUCGAGUANNNNNNNNNNNNNNNNNNNNNNNNNNNNNNNNNNNNNNNNNNNNNNNNNNNNNNNNNNNNNNNNNNNNNNNNNNNNNNNNNNNNNNNNNNNNNNNNNNNNACCUAAAUAAUUGUUAUUUGGUGCUUGCGUUAAGCAUGAACAUGAUUGGAUCAUGUUUAUUGCAAUAUGAUUAUUCAUUUAAAGAGAAUAAUGGUUACUCUAUUUGCUUGAAUAAUCACCUUCAAUGGUUUAUUGAAUCUCGAUCGUAGUGUUACACAUGUUCAUGAUAUUGGUGCCAAAAGAUACGAGGUAAUGAUGAUAGUACCACUUGCUUGUGGCACUGACACUUGAGUCUUGUUAGUAUGAAUUGCAUGAAGAGGCUCCAUGCUGAUGGAUCUUUAUAUUCACUUGAUUUUGAAUCACUAGUGACAUGCUAAUCAUACCACAUGAGCGAGGCCUUGUUUUCAUUGAGAUGAAACAAGAUAGUAACUUGUUGGAAGUGAUACAUUUUGAUGUAUGCAGUCCAAUGGGUGCUGAGGCACGCAGUGGAUAUCAUUAUGUUCUUACUUCAAUGACGAUUUAAGUAGAUACAAGAGUAUGUACUUAAUGAAUCACAAGUCUGAAAUAUUGGAAAGUUCAAUUCUGUUUCAGGGUGAAGUUCGUCGUAACAAGAGGAUAAACUGUCUACGAUAUGAUCAUAGAAAUGAAUAUCUGAGUUACGAGUUUUGGGACGCAGUUAAGACAAUGUGGAAAUUGUUUCACAGUUCAUGCCACCUGGAACAUCAUAAGUGUGAUGAUGUGUCUGAACGUCAUACCCACACACUAUUUGGUAUGGUGCAUGCUAUGAUGUCUCUUAUCGAAUUACCACUAUCGUUUAUGGGUUAUGCAUUAGAGACAACCGCAUUCACUUUAAAUAGGGCACCGCGUAUUUCCGUUGAGAUGACACAGUAUANNNNNNNNNNAUUUCUUGAAAGUUUGGGGCUUCGACACUUAUGUGAAAAAGUUUCAGUCUGAUAAGCUCAAACCCAAAGCGGAUAAAUGCAUCUUCAUAGGAUAUCCAAAACAGUUGGGUACAUCUCCUAUCUUAGAUCCGAAAGCAAAGUGUUUGUUCCUAGAAACGGAUCCUUUCUCGAGGAAAGGUUUCUCUCGAAAGAAUUGAGUGGGAGGGUGGUAGAACUUGAUGAGGUUAUUGAACCAUCACUUCGACCAGUGUGUAACAGGGCACAGGAAGUUGUUCCUGUGGCGCCUACACCAAUUGAAGUGAAAGCUGAUGAUGGUGAUCAUCGAGCAUCGGAUCAAGUUACUACAAGCCUCGUAGGUUGACAAGGUCGCGUACUACUGCAGAGUGGUACGGUAACCCUGUCUUGGAGGUCAUGUUGUUAAGCAACAGUGAACCUACGAGUUAUGGAGAAAGCAAUGGUGGGCCCGGAUUCCGACAAAUGGCUGGAAGCCAUGAAAUCCGAGAGAGGAUCCAUGUAUGAAAACAAAGUGUAGACUUUGGAAGAACUACNNNNNNNNNNGGUGAUAAGUCACUAUUAAAAGCUCGACUUGUCGCAAAGAUGUUUCCGACAAGAUCAAACAGUUGNNNNNNNNNNAUACUACUACAGAGUGGUACGGUAACCCUAUCUUGGAGGUCAUGUUGUUGAGCAACAGUGAACCUACGAGUUAUGGAGAAAGCAAUGGUGGGCCCAGAUUUCGACAAAUGGCUGGAAGCCAUGAAAUCCCAGAGAGGAUCCAUGUAUGAAAACAAAGUGUAGACUUUGGAAGAACUACUUGAUGGUCAUAGGACUAUUGAGUAAAGAUGGAUCUUUAAAAGGAAGACAGACGAUGAUAGUGAUAAGUCACUAUUAAGAAAAGCUCGACUUGUCGCAAAGAUGUUUCCGACAAGAUCAAACAGUUGNNNNNNNNNNGUGUUAGAAUUAUGUUAGUAGUUGCUGCAUUAUUUAUGAAAUAUUGCACGUAGGAUGUCAACACAUUGUUUCCUCGACGGUUUCCUUGAGCAAACAUUGUAUGUGAUACAACCAGGAGGUUUUGUCGAUCCUAAAGAUACUAGCAAGUAUGCAAGCUCCAGUGAUCCUUCAAUGGACUGGUGCAAGCAUCUCGGAGUUGGAAUAUACACUUUGAUGAGNNNNNNNNNNCUGUUAGAAUUAAGUUAGUAGUUGCUGCAUUAUUUAUGAAAUAUUGCAUGUAGGAUGUCAAAACAUUGUUUCCUCGACGGUUUCCUUGAGCAAACAUUGUAUGAGAUACAACCAUGAGGUUUUGUCGAUCCUAAAUAUACUAGCAAGUAUGCAAGCUCCAUCGAUCCUUAAAUGGACUGGUGCAAGCAUCUCGGAGUUGGAAUAUACACUUUGAUGAGAUGAUCAAGGAUUUUGGGUUUGUACAAGUUUUAUGAGAAACUUGUAUUUCCAAAGAAGUGAGUGGGAGCACUAUAGAAUUUCUGAUAAGUAUAUGUGGUUGACAUAUUGUGGAUCAGAAGUAAUGUAGAAUUUUCAAAGGUUGUUUGAAAGUAGUUUUCAAAGGAAUACCUGGAUUGAGCUACUUGAACGUUGAGCAUCAAAAGAUCUAUGGAGAUAGAUCGAAAGCGCUUAAUGGAAGUUUCAACAAGAUGCAUUCCUUGACAAGUUUUUGAAGGAGUUCAAAAUAUAUCAGCAAAGAAGGAGUUCUUAGUUGCGUUGUAAGGUGUGAAUUUGAGUAAGACUCAAAACCCGACCACGGCAGAAUAAAGAGAAUAGACGAAGGUCGUCUUCUAUGCCUUAGCCGUAGACUCUAAAGUAUGCCAUGUUGAGUACCGCACCUGAUGUGUGCCUUGCAGCAAGGCUGUUAAGAGGUACACAGAGUGAUCCAGGAUUGAAUCACUGAUCAACGGUCAAAGUUAUCCUUAGUAACUAAAUAGACUAAGGAAUUUUUCUCGAUUAUGGAGGUGCUUAAAGAGUUCGUCGUAAAGGGUUACAUCGAUGCAAGCUUUGACACUAAUCUGAAUAACUGUGAGUAGUGAAACAGAUUCGUAUAGUAGAGUAGAUAUUUGGAGUAUUUCCGAAUAGCACAUAGUAGCAGCAUCUAUNNNNNNNNNNUUAUGCCAUGCUGAGUACCGCACCUGAUGUGUGCCUUGCAGCAAGUCUGUUGAGAGGUAUAGAGAGUGAUCCAUGAUUGAAUCACUACCAGCGGUCAAAAAUUUAUCCUUAGUAACUGAUGGACUAAGGAAUUUUUCUCGAUUAUGGAGGUGGUUAAAGAGUUCGUCGUAAAGGGUUACGUCGAUGUAAGCUUUGACACUAAUCCGAAUAACUAUGAGUAGUGAAACGGAUUCGAUAGUACAGUAGAUAUUUGGAGUAUUUCCGAAUAGCACAUAGUAGCAGCAUCUAUAAGAUGACAUAAAGAUUUGUAAAGAACACACGGAUCUGAAAAUUUCAGAACCGUUGACUAAAACCUCUCUCAUGAGCAAGACGUGAUCAGACCCCAUAACUAUAUGGGUGUUGGAUUCGUUGGAAUCACAUGGUGAUGUGAACUAGAUUAUUGACUCUAGUGCAAGUGGGANNNNNNNNNNNNNNNNNNNNNNNNNNNNNNNNNNNNNNNNNNNNNNNNNNNNNNNNNNNNNNNNNNNNNNNNNNNNNNNNNNNNNNNNNNNNNNNNNNNNGCCCGCCCGCUGUCCCGCUGCUCUCUCUCUCUCCUCUCGCCAGUCGCCUCCCACUUUGGUUUGGUUGGCGUCCCCUGUACGCCGUCCCCUGGGGUUUAAAGGAGGGAGAGAGAGGGGGGGUGGGGUGGGCGUCGCUUCAGCCCGCAGUCGGGCUAUGACGAGUGGGGCCCACGCCCGAUGCUUCCAUUGAAGCGGAGAUACACUGCCCGUGUUAGUGGUCCCACGUGCUGUACCUGCCCACCCGACCCCGAGCGCGCGAUGGGAAAAAGAAUUCAUCGGUGGGAAAAAUAUCAGGGUGCUCCAGCAGUUUAGGUGCUAUCGUGAUACGAACACUUGGACCGUUGGAUUUUAGAUCGGACGGCACUUGAGAAUCUGUUGAAAGUGCUAGAUUUCUGUGCAAUUUUCAGACUUUCAAAGGGCUCUUUUUGCAAAAGAAAGCACGAGCUCCUGGGUGCCGUUGGAUCUUAAAUCCAACAACUCAUAGAUGCUCGUAUCACCGUAGCACCCAAGGACCUGGAGCACCUGAAACUUCCCCUGCGUUGGUGCUAGCCACACCCAGCUGGAGGAGAAGGUCCUCUUUCCCGUCCGCGACUAGAGGAGGUUGCCGUUUCACCCAUCCGCACCGGAGAACAAGCAUCGAGAGCGGUAGAUAGAUGGGGAUGGGAGGGAGAAGAGAGGGAUGGGGCGGAUGGGAUAUGGGGAGAGGGAGGGUUCUACCUCCUACGGCGGCGAGCAUGCCCGUCGGCGAUGUCGACAAAGGCGACGGGGUUGCGCGAGAUCCAUCAUUAUCGAGGGACGGGGAGGCGAGCGAGGAGAGCGGCCUGAAUAAGAGCAUCUCCAACAAAGCUCGGUAGCGCGGUGCGUUAAAAAAAUUGCAGUGUCGAAAUAAUGUUUUUGCGCGCGGGAGCGACGAAGAGGUUUUCCAGAUGCAUAAAAACACGACGCCCAAUUCAAUGGUCCCACCUGCAGCAGUCAACGCGCACAAUCUAGUGCCUCAGAUUUGCAGUCCGGCACCCAACGCGUUCAAAAUUUACAACGCGUGCACUAAAGUUUUUUGUCUGCGCUCAAUUUUACAGCGUUUGGUGGAUCGUUGUUUUUGUCUCCGACAGAAAAAACGACGGUUUUUAAUGCGUGAGGUCUUUUUUAACACUUGUUGGAGAUGCUCUAACAUCGAGAAUAUUACCUUUCACAAAAUAGUUAAAAACAUCUAGAAUAUUGCACGGGGUGCGAGCGAGGUGCGAGGCAAGGAACUAAUCACGCCCUUUAUUCUUGAAUUGGGUGUGUGAAUUUUGUGAUGUGGUUGAAUGUUUAGUAUGUAAAGAAAAACUAUUUUAACAUUCACGGAAGAAACUUUAGAAUAUGAAUAAUGGAUAAUGGAUGAGAACUGGCCAUCGUAUAAUAACCCCAUUCUUCAAAAUGCAACGUCAAAUUAUGUCACUGAAGACAUCGCAUUUUUAAAGCAACUCAUCAUCGCCUGAAGUUACUACAACGAGAAGUUGAAGGAGUGUCUUGUGUUGAUCAAGAAUGAUUAGGUUUAAGAUUACUAGAAGUUCUUUGAGAUCGAUUCAGUUGAAGAAGGAUGAACCUUAGAUUCUGACCACCACUACCAUGUUAAUUUAGAUAAACGAUAUGCGUGUAGUAUGAUGAGCUCAUAUCUUUUGUGGAUAUGACCUUACCUGUAGAUUUUGCUUGUGUUGUGUGACUUUUGUGGUUUUUAUUAAUUGAUGGCUGGUAUUUAUUUUACGUAUAGAAUAAGUUUGAAAUGCAUAGACCCCUAUAUAUUUAUUAUGCUUCAAGAUUCGGGAAGAGCAAUCUACGAGAAGACUUGGCGUUCUGAAGAUUUAUUCGUUGAUGCAAGACAGAAGCUGCCAAGACUGAAGACUUUGAAGAUUGAAGACCUCUAUAUUUCGUUAGACGCGUUUUGUGAGCACUCAUUGUGGUUGUUUUUACUGACAACUGCAUAUCAAAAUUAUUUUCAAAACUAGAGUGAUGCUUGUAUGGUUAUCUCUCUCUCUACAUUCUAUCUCGCCCUAAAUCCAAGACCUGCACUCAAGGAGUUACUACAAUGGUUGCAUAUGUCGAGAAUAGAAUGAAGAUGGAUGCAACCCAAUGUUGAGUUCAAGCUUAACCACAUUCGCCAAGAUCCGAUAAGAAGCAAGUAUAAUCUUGAUGAAGGAUGAACCCUGGAGGGUUCUACAAUUCAUCAAUAGAUGUUUUAUAAUAGCUGUCGCAAACCCGAGACAUGAAAGGAACGAUAGAAUGUUUUGUUGCCAUGCAGAACAAAUGGAUUUAUCCGAACUUAGUUCGUGAACAAGAGAAAAAAUCUGCAAUGCUUAUGAGGAUGCCUGAAUGUUAGAAUGUGAAACCUUAUACAAGGUAAUGAUUUUGGUGCGAAUGAAUUGAUCACCAUGUUGACUUACUCUUAUUAUUCACUCGUGCUAUGUGGAAUAGUUAAUCUAGAGUGACUUACCUAUGGUAGAGAGACAACAAUGUUAAGCAUAUAAACGUUAGACUGGUAUGACAUAUGCCCCUUGUAAAAGGCAGUCGUUGCCAAUAGUAGGUUAUGCGGUGAGAAUAAGUUAAGACCCGUUUUUCUACAAGAACCCCAAAGAAAUUUCUUGAUGGCCACCAUGAGAGAAUCGAUAUUUGUUUAGUAUUGGUGCAUGCAAGUCCUAUCAACCAUGAAGGUCCAGUAAUUGCAAGACCACUCCUUUUAUAGAGGAUUCAAAAUUUCAAAGGAGUGCGGUGCUUAUACUUGAAGAAUUUCAUCGCAGGAGAAAGGUAUACGAAAACAUAUGACUCUAAUUCUAAGGGUGGUAGCACCCCACACUCUCCGAUGAUCAAUGUGUAUUCAAGGAGAUCCUCGAACUUAACCUUUUUCUUUCUAGCCUUUCGAAUCUCAAGGACAAGAUUCAUUUUAAGGGUGGUAGAUUUGUAAUAUCCCAAAAAUCUAAAUUUUGGAAUGUUAAUUAUUUAGAUAGGACAAAUUAAAAACUUGCUUGGGUUGAUUGAUCUUAGCUAAAAUUGACUAGGAUUUGAAAUUUUGGAGUUCAUCGAUGAUUCAAAUGAGAGGGAAGGAAAUGACUUUCACAAAUAUUCAUUUUGGAUAUUAUUUGGAUUUUCAAAUUUGAAACAAGGCCAAUUCAAAAAUAAAUUUAAAUGAGGGAAGGUAAUAUGACUCCUUCAAUAUAUUUUUGUUUUACAAAUUCUUUAAUUGUUAUUUUCUUAUUUCUCUGGAGUUCAAAAAUGUUUUGUGGAACAUUUAUAAAGCAUACAUAUUAUUUUUUACAAAACAAUAUUUUUUUUUAUUUUGUAUUCAAUAUGGAAAAAUGUUUGGUGUUCUAUAGGAUAAUAAAAAUAUUUUUUCUGUAUGUUCUCGAGAUUUAGAAAAAAAAUGGAUCAUUUUUAGAGCAUAAAUGUUUUCUAAAAAUUAAAUAAACGGGAAAUCCUAGACCUAAUCCUAACACAGCCUGUGUGGUCCACUAGCUAAGCACCGCUCGCGCACCAACCACACCAGCAGGCCGAAGCCAACGCAACCGAGGCGAUAGCCGCCUCCGUACGUCAGCACAACGUGAGCAUCACCCCACCUCAUAGCCUCUGUGCUCUCUCUCAUUUCACAAACAUGUGGGACGCACUCCCUUCCCCUUCCCUAAGCUGGACUCCUCCUCGCGCAAGCACCACACCGAGUAUUUCACCUCGGCUUCGCCCGAUCUCCCUGAUUCCACUGUGAUUCCUCCGAACUCCAACUAAAUCACACACACCCUCGGCCCCUUGUGUUGGAAAUAUGCCCUAGAGGCAAUAAUAAAUUAGUUAUUAUUAUAUUUCUUAGUUCAUGAUAAUCGUUUAUUAUCCAUGCUAUAAUUGUAUUGAUUGGAAACACACUUCAUGUGUGGAUACAUAGACAAAACACUGUCCCUAGUAAGCCUCUAGUUGACUAGCUCGUUGAUCAAAGAUGGUCAAGGUUUCCUGACCAUAGGCAAGUGUUGUCACUUGAUAAACGGGAUCACAUCAUUAGGAGAAUCAUGUGAUGGACUAGACCCAAACUAAUAGAUGUAGCAUGUUGAUCGUGUCAUUUUGUUGCUACUGUUUUCUGCGUGUCAAGUAUUUGUUCCUAUGACCAUGAGAUCAUAUAACUCACUGACACCGGAGGAAUGCUUUGUGUGUAUCAAACGUCACAACGUAACUGGGUGACUAUAAAGAUGCUCUACAGGUAUCUACGAAGGUGUUCGUUGAGUUAGUAUAGAUCGAGACUGGGAUUUGUCACUCCGUGUGACGGAGAGGUAUCUCGGGGCCCACUCGGUAAUACAACAUCANNNNNNNNNNCCGAAGGUGUUAGUGGAGUUAGUAUGGAUCGAGACUGGGAUUUGUCACCCCGUGUGACGGAGAGGUAUCUCGGGGCCCACUCGGUAAUACAACAUCANNNNNNNNNNNNNNNNNNNNNNNNNNNNNNNNNNNNNNNNNNNNNNNNNNNNNNNNNNNNNNNNNNAGACGUUGUUUUAUGCGUAUUUAAGUUAUAUGGUUGGUUACCGAAUGUUGUUCGGAGUCCCGGAUGAGAUCACGGACGUCACGAGGGUUUCCGGANNNNNNNNNNGUAAACGAGAUUGAAAUAGGUAUGCGGAUACUGACGAUCGAAUCUCGGGCAAGUAACAUACCGAAGGAUAAAGGGAAUGACAUACGCGAUUAUAUGAAUCCUUGGCACUGAGGUUCAAACGAUAAGAUCUUCGUAGAAUAUGUAGGAUCCAAUAUGGGCAUCCAGGUCCCGCUAUUGGAUAUUGAUCGAGGAGUCUCUCGGGUCAUGUCUACAUAGUUCUCGAACCCGCAGGGUCUGCACAUUUAAGGUUCGACGUUGUUUUAUGCGUAUUUGAGUUAUAUGUUUGGUUACCGAAUGUUAUUCGGAGUCCCGGAUGAGAUCACGGACGUCACGAGGGUUUCCGGAAUGGUCCGGAAACGAAGAUUGAUAUAUAGGUGACCUCAUUUGAUUACCGGAAGGUUUUCGGAGUUACCGGGAAUGUACCGGGAAUNNNNNNNNNNCCUAUGCGCCAUAGGAAGAAAAUCAAAGAGAAAAAAAAAGAGGAGGUGGGAAAAGGGGGAAGGACUCCUCCUUCCAAACCUAGUUGGACUCGGUUUGGAAGGGGAGGGUUGCCCCCCUUGGCACGGCCGAACCCCUUGGGGGUCCUUGGACCCCAAGGCAAGGCUCCCCCUCUUCCCCCUAUAUAUACGGAGGUUUUAGGGCUGAUUUGAGACAACUUUGCCACGGCAGCCAGACCACAUAUCUCCACGGUUUUACCUCUAGAUCGCGUUUCUGCGGAGCNNNNNNNNNNGACGAAUGGGUUCCGGGUGUUCACCGGGGGGGAACCCACCCCCGGGGAAGCCCAUAGGCCUUGGGGGUGGCGCACCAGCCCUUAGUGGUCUGGUGGGACAGCCCAAGAAGGCACUAUGCGCCAUAGGAAGAAAAUCAAAGAGAAAAGAAAAAAAAGGAGGAGGUGGGAAAGGGGGGAAGGACUCCUCCUUCCAAACCUAGUUGGACUCGGUUUGGAAGGNNNNNNNNNNUUGCACACUUAAGGUUCGACGUUGUUUUAUGCGUAUUUGAGUUAUAUGGUUGGUUACCGAAUAUUGUUCGGAGUCCCGGAUGAGAUCACGGACGUCACGAGGGUUUCCGGAAUGGUCCAGAAACGAAUAUUGAUAUAUAGGAUGACCUUAUUUGAUUACCGGAAGGUUUUCGGAGUUACCGGGAAUGUACCGGGAAUNNNNNNNNNNNNNNNNNNNNNNNNNNNNNNNNNNNNNNNNNNNNNNNNNNNNNNNNNNNNNNNNNNNNNNNNNNNNNNNNNNNNNNNNNNNNNNNNNNNNGUGUCAGUUUCUCCAACUUUAGUUGAAUCGGAUUUGACCGAGGAGGUCCUUGGAUGAGGUUAAAUAGCAACUCAUAUAUCUCCGUUGUGGUGUUUGCGUAAGUAAGAUGCGAUCCUACUAGAUACCCAUGGUCACCACGUAAAACAUGCAACAACAAAAUUAGAGGACGUCAAACUUGUUUUUGCAGGGUAUGCUUGUGAUGUGAUAUGGCCAACGAUGUGAUCUAAUAUAUUGGAUGUAUGAGAUGAUCAUGUUGUAAUAGAUAAUAUCGACUUGCACGUCGAUGGUACGACAACCGGCAGGAGCCAUAGGGUUGUCUUUAAACUAACGUUUGUGCUUGCAGACGCGUUUACUAUAUUGCUAGGACGUAGCUUUAGUAGUUAAAGCAUGAGUAGCACGACAACCCCGAUGGCGACACGUUGAUGGAGAUCAUGGUGUGACGCCGGUGACAAGAAGAUCGUGUCGGUGCUGUGGUGAUGGAGAUCAAGAAGCACGUGAUGAUGGCCAUAUCAUGUCACUUAUGAAUUGCAUGUGAUGUUAAUCCUUUUAUGCACCUUAUUUUGCUUAGAACGACGGUAGCAUUAUGAGGUGAUCUCUCACUAAAAUUUCAAGACGAAAUUGUGUUCUCCCCGACUGUGCACCGUUGCUACAGUUCGUCGUUUCGAAACACCACGUGAUGAUCGGGUGUGAUAGACUCAANNNNNNNNNNUUUUUAGGGCUGAUUUCAGACAACUUUGCCACGACAGCCCGACCACAUAUCUCCACGGUUUUACCUCUAGAUCGCGUUUCUGCGGAGCUCGGGCGGAGCCCUGCUGAGAUAAGAUCACCACCCACCUCCGGAGCACCAUCAUGCUGCCGGAGAACUCAUCUACUUCUCCGUCUCUCUUGCUGGAUCAAGAAGGCCGAGAUCAUCGUCGAGCUNNNNNNNNNNNNNNNNNNNNNNNNNNNNNNNNNNNNNNNNNNNNNNNNNNNNNNNNNNNNNNNNNNNNNNNNNNNNNNNNNNNNNNNNNNNNNNNNNNNNCCUUGUUCAAUUCUCCGCCUCGUAUUGCUAAACCGAGCUCGAGAUCGAGCACGUGGACCUCGCAAAGCUCCGCCGAUCGAGCUUACUUCCACGGCCAAAUCCAGCAACAGUAAACCACCCAAUGCCCCUCUAUUCAUUCUUGCUUUUUUCCUUGAUGUCCCGCCUCUCCCUGAACAUCUUCCACCUUUGCACAUGCUCGGAUUCGAGCUCCCCGACCAAACCGAUCUCGCUGGAGCAUACCAUCGAUGCCCUUUGUCAUCAUCUGUUGUCGUGGCUAUAGGAUGCACCGGAACGCCCUCACGACACCAAAGGACUCUUCAUGAAUUGCCUCAUUCUCCAGCAUCCUUGAUGAUUCCCUAAGGUCAUCAAAGCGAGCUGCAGGUCGACGGUUGGAGCUUGAUAACCCACAAGUGUAGGGUUCGUUUGUAGCCUUUUUGGAUAAGUAAGAGUGUUGAAGCCAACGAGGAGCUAAAGGUAGAAUUAAUAUUCUCUCAAGUUCUAUCGACCACGGGUACAACUCUACGCACGCUAAUGCUUACUUUACUUACAAUAAGUAUGAAGCUACUUUGCGGGAAGGAAACUAGAAGUGCUUAGUAGGUAUAGUAGAUAGGUUUUUGUGUAACGCAAGAGAAAGAUUGUUCAUGGGCAAUCUAAUAUAACCUGAUAGAUACUUAUCAUAUGCAAUGAGGGAGAGUCAUAUGCUAACACACUUUCCAUACUUGGAUCAUAUGCACUUAUGAUUAGACCUAUAGAAAGCAUUCGCAACUACUAGAAAUCAUUCAGGUAAAAACAACCAUAGCAUUAAACAUCAAUUCCUGUUUACUCACAUACGCAAACAACUCCCUUACUGGGGUGUAAACGUCUAUCACUCUAGCCACCCACUAUAAGUGAAUCAUGAACAUAUUGCAAACCCUCCAGCGUGAAUCCUUCAUGUGUGCGCCUCACGGAAGGCACCCUAGGACAGCACCAUAUCAACAUACAACUCAUAUCAAUAACAUCAUACCACAAUUGACCCAUAGGACAAAAUAGAUCUACUCAAACAUUAUAGGAUAGCCACAAACCAUUGGAUAAUAAUAUAUAGCAUUAAGCACCAUGUUUAAGUAGAGAUUACAGCGGGGAGACGAGGGUUUAAACCGUUGCACAGAGGUAGAGAGAGCUGGUGGUGAUGGCGGCGAAGUUGUUGGUGUAGAUCGUCGUCACAAUGGUUGCCCCGACGACGCUCCGGCGCUACCAGGAGAGAGAGGGGGGGAGAGCCCUGAUACGUCCCAAACGUAUCUAUAAUUUCUGCUUGUUCCAUGAUCUUUUGGGUGACAUUGUUAUAUGUUUUGCUACAUUUCAAUAUCAGUUUACACAUAUUUGGACUAACCUACUAACUCAGUGCACGUAGUGCCAGUUUCUGUCUGCUGAUGUCUAUUUUGCAGGGGCUUUUACCCAAUUUUCCGAAGCCCGAAAAAAUCCAGAAAAAAUAUAUAAAAAAUCAGCGAAACAAAGGGGGCCCAGGGGCCUCCCAAGCGGCCUGCUGGCGCGACCAGGCCCUAGGUCGCGCCAGGAGGUCGUCUGGGUGGGUCCCACCUCCUCCGGUGCCCUCCUUUGGCCUAUAUUUAGAGUUCUAUGAGGAAACCCUCGCAGACUUUCUGGAAUCAUGAAUUUCUCCAUCGUUCUGCCACCGCAGCGCUUCUGAGAUCGGGAGCAUCACGAGAUCUCUUCCCGGCACCUGAUAUGUCUCCAACGUAUCUAUAAUUUUUGAUGGUUCCAUCCUAUUAUCUUGUCAAACUUUGGAUGUUUUGUAUGCCUUUUAUAUCUUUUUUGGGACUAACUUAUUAACUCAGUGCCAAGUGCCAGUUCCUGUUUUUUCCGUGUUUUUGACCCUUUUCAGAGGAGAAUUUUAAACGGUGUCCAAACGGAAUAAAACUUCCGAAAAGCUUUUUUCCGGAACAGAAGAUACGCACGGUACGUGAGAACCAAGGUAGAGGCCACUAGGGGACACCACAAGCCCCCUAGGCGCGGCCAGGGGGGCGCGCCUAACAGGCUUGUGGGCCCCCUGUGGCUCGUCUGCCCUACCUCUUUCGCCUAUAAAUUCCCGAAAAAUCCAAAACUGCGAGAGAGAUCCACGAAAAUACUUUUCCACCGCCGCAAGCUUCUGUCUCCGCAAGAUCCCAUGUGGGGCACGUUAUGGUGCCGUGCCGGAGGGGGGAUUCGGAUACGAAGGGCUUCUUCAUCAACACCAUGACCUCUCUAAUGAUGCGUGAGUAGUCCACCAUAGACCUUCGGGUCCAUAGCUAGUAGCUAGAUGGCUUCUUCUCUCUCUUGGAUCUUCAAUACAAAGUUCUCCAUGAUCUUCAUGGAGAUCUAUCCGAUGUAAUCUUCUUUUGCGGUGUGUUUGUCGAGAUCCGAUGAAUUGUGGAUUUAUGAUCAGAUUAUCUAUGAAUCUUAUUUGAGUUUCUUCUGAUCUCUUAUAUGCAUGAUUUCAUAUCCUUGUAAUUCUCUUCGAGUUGUGGGUUUUGUUUGGCCAACUUGAUCUAUGAUUCUUGCAAUGGGAGAAGUGAUUGGUUUUGGGUUCAUACCGUGCAUGACCUCGCCCAGUGAUAGAAGCGGUAGCGAUGCACGCAUCGUGUUGUGGCCAUCAAGGGUAAAAAGAUGGGGUUUACAUCAAUGGUUUGAGUUUAUCCCUCUACAUCAUGUCAUCUUGCUUAAGGCGUUANNNNNNNNNNNNNNNNNNNNNNNNNNNNNNNNNNNNNNNNNNNNNNNNNNNNNNNNNNNNNNNNNNNNNNNNNNNNNNNNNNNNNNNNNNNNNNNNNNNNCCCCCCUCUCGCACUUCUUCGGCCCAGUAUUUUUGAUAAAUCAAAAAAAAAUCCUCAUUGAUUUUUACGGCGUUUGGAGUUGCGCAUAAUAGGUAUCUCAACUUUGCUCCAUUAUUAGGCCAGAAUUCCAGUUGCCGGCAUUCUCCCUCUUCAUGUAAACCUUGCAAAAUAAGAGGGAAAAGGCAUAAGAAUCGUACCGUGAAGUGAAAUAACAGCCAAAGAAGCGAUAAAUAUCAACAUGAAAACAUGAUGCAAAAUGGACGUAUCAGGCUAUUUCGGCCAAGGAGAAAAAACAAUGCAAAAGGGAAAAAAAGAGGAGGUGGGAAGGAAGGAAGGGACUCCUGCCUCCAAACCGAAUUGGAGGAGGAUCCCUCCUCCUCCCACUUCGGUCCACGCCCUAGAGGUUCCCUUGAGCCUCAAGGCUAGCCCCUCCCCUCCUCCUAUAUAUACUAGAGGUUUUAGGGUUUUUGAGACACAACUUUGCCACGUGCAACCCUAAACCUCUACUUCGUAGUUCUUCCUCUAGAUCGGAUUUCUGCGGAGCUCGGGCGGAGCCCUGCAGGUAUAAGAUCAUCACCAUCACCGGCGCGCCGUCACGAUGCCGGAGAACUCAUCUACUUCCACGUCUCUCUUGCUGGAUCAAGAAGGCGGAGAUCGUCAUCGAGCUGUACGUGUGCUGAAUGCGGAGGUGUCGUUCGUUCGGUGCUAGAUCAGGACGGAUCGUGGGACGACGAUGAUUUGAAUCUCGAAGUUGUUCCACUACAUCAACCGCGUGUCUUAAUGCUUCCCGCUUAGCGAUUUACAAGGGUAUGUGGAUCCGACCUCCCUCUCGUAGAUGAACAUCACCAUGAUAGGUCUUCAUGUGCGUAGGAAUUUUUUUAUUUUCCAUGCAAUGUUCCCCAACAGUUUCAUCCAGCUCAAAGUUAAUACCCAAUGUCCAUCGUGUCAGCGACCUGCCAGGUGCCGCUCCUUUAGGAAUCCCGGAGCCGAUUGUGUUGACCUUCCUCCUUAUAUGUUGCUCGCAGUUAUGGAGGCAUUGAAACUAUGUUGUCUUCAACUCGUUGGCGCCCUCUCUUGCCAGGUUGCAACGACCAUGCCUAGAGGAUGCACUCCACUGGGAGUGUAAGAGCAUUUACAGUCGGACCCCUCAAAUGACCGCUCAUAUGUCUGCGGACGCGACCAGUGAGUGAUCGAUCAGGAGAGAGAAGGAAAAAAGUGAUCCAACCAACCCCUCGUAUUGUCCCUANNNNNNNNNNUAUGCCUAGAGGAUGCACUCCGCUCGGAGUGUAAGAGCAUUUACAACCGAACCCCUCCAAUGAGCGCUCAUAUGUCCGCGGACGCGGCCGGUGAGUGAUCGAACACGAGAGAGAAGGAAAAAAGUGAUCCAACCAACCCCUCGUAUUGUCCCUAUAUGUCUGUAUUGUCCGCGAACCCUCAUAUCCAUCUCAAAUGUAAGGAGGAUAUGAGGUCUCGCGGACGCGCCCGGUCGCGCUCGGUCAGUCCGUCACAUAGGACGCGACCACACCCCGAACCAUCUUUUUCUUUUCUUUAUUCAUUCUUUUCUUUCNNNNNNNNNNNNNNNNNNNNNNNNNNNNNNNNNNNNNNNNNNNNNNNNNNNNNNNNNNNNNNNNNNNNNNNNNNNNNNNNNNNNNNNNNNNNNNNNNNNNCUGGACACUGAGAAAGAUAGGGGCUUAUAGUUUUGCCUCCCAACUGCUUACCUCAAGGGUAAUGUCAACAAUAAUACUUCAUGAAUGCUUACCUCCAAGUUGACAUAUGAAUAUAGAUCUUUCCCAAGCAUAUGAUGUUAGCCAAGACAAAGGCGAAAUAGGGAAUUGGUGAAGAUCACCAUGACUCUUUCAAGGGCAAAACGUCAAGGUACAAUAUAGGCCCUUCGAAGAGGGAAGCAGAGGUUGUCAUGCGCUUUUGAGGUUUGGAUGUGUGUCCUCUUAGUGCGGAGGAACGUCACUUUAUAUUGCCUCCUGUGAUAAAGAACUUUAUUAUGCAGUCUGUCGCUUUUAUGUCUUCCUCAUCACAGGUUCGUGUAAAGCUUAUUUUCCACACCCUAAUAGAUCAUACAUAUUAGAGAGCAAUUUUAUUGCUUGCACCGAUGACAACUUACUUGAGGGAUCUUAUUCAAUCCAUAGGUAGGUAUAGUGGACACUCAUGGCAAAACUGGUUUGAAGGUUUAUGGAUGCACAAGUAGUAUCUCUACUUAGUGCGGGAGUUUUGGCUAAUAUGAGGUAGAAGCAAUCGUCACAUGCUAAGGGAUCUCUAAUCAUAUAACAUUGUUCAGAGCCAAGCAAACACAAUUCAUUACGUUGUCUUCCCUGUCCAACAUCUACUUCUAGUCAUGCAAUAGUUUGGUGAGUGUUCACAAUCAUAGAUGGUGUCAGAGAUGAUAUAUUUAUAGGUGAACCUCUCCUUCUUUAUCGCUUCCUAUUAAUUGCUACAAUGACCAAGGUCUACAUUUUCUUACCCUCAACAAGUUUCAAUCCUCAUUCUUUUUAUAUGUGAAGCCAUCACUUCCCAUAAGAUCANNNNNNNNNNNNNNNNNNNNNNNNNAACCAUGACCAAGGUCUACGUUUGCCUACCCUCAAGAAGUCCAAUCCUCAUUCUUUUUAUAUGUGAAGCCAUCACUUCCCAUAAGAUCAUUACAUGAUCUUUCAUGCUUUUGUUCUAUUCUCACUCUUUUGACCAUGGCAAGAGGCAAAGCCCUUCAACUAAGACACUCUUUAUUAUAAAGCUCACGAGCAAGAUAAAAUCGGGGGUGACACAAAGCAAAACUCAAGACUAAAACACUAAGACUUUUAAACNNNNNNNNNNNNNNNNNNNNNNNNNNNNNNNNNNNNNNNNNNNNNNNNNNNNNNNNNNNNNNNNNNNNNNNNNNNNNNNNNNNNNUUCAAAACUAAAACACUAAGACUUUUAAACUACUAGAGAAAAAGAAAACUGAAAAGGAAAACUAAAAAGGAAAACUAAAACAAAGGUAAAGGCAAAAGAUGUGAUGGUGAUACGAUACNNNNNNNNNNACUCCCCCAAGCUUGGAAAAAGCCAAGGGGAUUGCCCGUACCAAUGCUCAGUUGUCUUCCUUUGGUGGUGAUGGUGGUGGAGUUGUUGCAACAUGAGUUUGAUCCUCUGUCUUCCAAGGCAUUGCUCCACCAUGGAAAGAUGAACGAGUCUCCGGAAUCCUCAAAUGCAGCCAACCUUAUUGAUUUAAAUCUAUACUCAUACUCAUAGUUUUGGUUGUGCAGGUCAUAGAUCUGGCCCUGGAGUUGAUCAACCCUGUCAUAGAGCCUGGAGAGGUGCUUCCCAAUGUCAUUGGCAUCAAUCCUAUGCUUGUUGGUGAACUCCGUGAUCAUCAUGUGGUUGGCGUUGAGUCCACGCUCCACCAUCCCUUGGCACUUGAAGACUUGUUGCUCCAUUGCUUCGAGCCUCGUAUCCACGCUUCCGGUCUUCUUAGGCCCCUCAACAUCACGGAUGUGCAACAUCCCCUCACGCAUCUCGAUAGAUUGAGGGUGUUGAAGCACUCCCGUGAGGUAGGGAUUGAUGACCUUCUCGAAGAUCUUGUCCUUUGGAGCUUUUGGGGAAGUCAUAGCAAUCUAGAUCUGCAACAGAAACAGGCGCGAAACGAAAAACACAGGAAAUCUGCGUGAUGCAGGGGUCAGACCAAACGGGAGAAUAUAUAAUGAUUUUUUCAGACUAGAAGGAGUACCCUCCAUGAAAACGGAGUCCGGGAGGCGCACGGGGUGGCCACAAGUCCUCAUGGCGCGACCAGGGGGUGGGCCCGCGUCGUGCAGGCUCGUCGCCUCCUCGCGCACUUUCGGGACUACUUCCAAUUUUUGUAUUUUUUUCAAAUAUUCCAAAAAGGAUAAAAUUUCCUAUUGGAAAAGUUUUGGACUCUGUUUUCUUACCGAAUCACAUACUCUUCGUUUUUGGAGUCUGAAACAGGCUGAUAAAUAUCCCUUAGGUAUUCUUCCGGAGUUAUGGUAUUGAUGAUAUUGCUUUCAACAUUUGUGGGAGUACGUGAGAUAUAAUGCUUGAUUCUCUGCCCAUUUACCACUCUCGGACAAUUACCUUCCGUGUUGUUGAUCUUGNNNNNNNNNNNNNNNNNNNNNNNNNNNNNNNNNNNNNNNNNNNNNNNNNNNNNNNNNNNNNNNNNNNNNNNNNNNNNNNNNNNNNNNNNNNNNNNNNNNNCUUAGGUAUUCCUCCGGAGUUAUGGUAUUGAAUAUUGCUUUCAAUAUUUAUGGGAGUACCUGAGAUAUAAUGCUUGAUUCUCUGCCCAUUUACCACUCNNNNNNNNNNNNNNNNNNNNNNNNNNNNNNNNNNNNNNNNNNNNNNNNNNNNNNNNNNNNNNNNNNNNNNNNNNNNNNNNNNNNNNNNNNNNNNNNNNNNNNNNNNNNNNNNNNNNNNNNNNNNNNNNNNNNNNNNNNNNNNNNNNNNNNNNNNNNNNNNAUAGCACCGGAACGAUAUACUUCCUCAACAACAUAGGGACCUUCGCAUUUAGAGAGAAGCUUGCCUGCAAAGAAUCUUAAACGAGAGUUAUAUAGCAAGACAUAAUCACCUACGUUGAACUCACGCUUUUGUAUCCUCUUAUCAUGCCACCUCUUAAUCUUCUCUUUGAAUAGCUUGGCAUUCUCAUAUGCCUGAGUUCUCCACUCAUCAAGCGAGCUAAUAUCAAAUAACCUCUUCUCACCGGCAAGUUUGAAAUCAAAGUUGAGCUCUUUGAUUGCCCANNNNNNNNNNCCUUCUCUUUGAAAAGCUUGGCAUUCUCAUAUGCCUGAGUUCUCCACUCAUCAAGCGAGCUANNNNNNNNNNNNNNNNNNNNNNNNNNNNNNNNNNNNNNNNNNNNNNNNNNNNNNNNNNNNNNNNNNNNNNNNNNNNNNNNNNNNNNNNNNNNNNNNNNNNNNNNNNNNNNNNNNNNNNNNNNNNNNNNNNNNNNNNNNNNNNNNNNNNNNNNNNNNNNNNNNNNNNNNNNNNNNNNNNNNNNNNNNNNNNNNNNNNNNNNNNNNNNNNNNNNGAGGUAAAUGACAUGCUUUCCCAUACACCAUUUUGUACGGAGACAUGCCCAUGGGAUUCUUAUAGGCAGUUCUAUAAGCCCACAAUGCAUCAUCGAGCUUCUUAGACCAAUUCUUUCUAGACCUGUUGAUAGUCUUUUGCAUAAUUAGUUUAAUCUCUCUAUUGCUUAGCUCUACUUGACCACUGGACUGAGGGUGAUAGGGAGACGCAAUUCUAUGGUUGACAUCGUACUUAGCAAGCGUUUUAUGGAAAGCACCAUGAAUAAAGUGUGAACCACCGUCAGUCAUUAGAUAUCUAGGGACUCCAAAUCUAGGGAAGAUAACUUCUUUCAGCAUCUUGAUAGAGGUGUUGUGAUCAGCACUACUAGUGGGGAUAGCUUCUACCCACUUAGUAACGUAAUCAACAUCAACUAGGAUAUGAGUAUACCCGUUGGAUUUUGGAAAAGUUCCCAUAUAAUCAAAGCCCCAAACAUCAAAUGGUUCAAUGACAAGUGANNNNNNNNNNNNNNNNNNNNNNNNNNNNNNNNNNNNNNNNNNNNNNNNNNNNNNNNNNNNNNNNNNNNNNNNNNNNNNNNNNNNNNNNNNNNNNNNNNNNUGUUUGCUAAUAUUACAUAUUCUUUGACAUUCGUCACAAGACAAGGCAAACUUACGAGCAUCCUUGAAGAGAGUGGGCCAAUAGAAACCUGAUUGCAAUACCUUGUGUGGAGUUCUAUCUCCCGCAUGGUGUCCUCCGUAGGCCUCGGAGUGACACUUCUGUAGGAUUUGUCCCUGUUCAUGUUCAGGUACACAACGUCUAAUAACACCAUCUACUCCUUCCUUAUAAAGGUGAAGAUCAUCCUAAAAGUAAUGUCUCAAGUCAAAGAAGAAUUUCUUCUUUUGCUGGUAUGGGAAACUAGGUGGUAUAUAUUUGGCAAUGAUAUAGUUUGCAUAAUCAGCAUACCACGGUGCACUACGUGAAGUAUUGAUGACAUUCAAUUGCUCACCAGGAAAGAUAUCAUCAAUAGGUUGUGGGUCAUCAAGAACGUUCUCCAACCUAGACAAGUUAUCUGCUACUGGGUUAUCAACACCCUUUCUGUCGACAACGUGCAAAUCAAAUUCUUGUAGCAAUAGAACCCAUCUGAUAAGUCUAGGUUUAGCGUCUUUCUUCUCCAUGAGGUACUUAAUAGCAGCAUGAUCAGUGUGAAUAGUGACUUUGGAAUCAANNNNNNNNNNNNNNNNNNNNNNNNNNNNNNNNNNNNNNNNNNNNNNNNNNNNNNNNNNNNNNNNNNNNNNNNNNNNNNNNNNNNNNNNNNNNNNNNNNNNCUUGACUCUGAGAUAGUAGCUUCAUUGUGUGAAUACUUUGCUGCUCAUGUUGAUCUUCCCAAAGAGAAGUGGUUUAAAUAUCAUCCUCCUGUAGAAAGCAACAUAGCCAAAACCAAUCUAGUUGAGGAGAAAGUCAUUGCUUUUAGUGAUCCUGUUGUUCCUUGUGCUUACACUGAGAAACCACCAUACCCUGCUAGGAUAAAGGAUUAUUCUAAAGGUCCAACUGUGAUACGUAGGGAUUACAUUAGACCACUUGCACCCCCUGAGGAGAUUAGAGUUGAACCUAGUGUUGCUAUUAUCAAAGAUCUCUUAACCGAAGACAUAGAUGGGCAUGUUAUCAAAUUCUGUGAGGACUCCGCUAGAAUUACUAAACCUCACGCGAAACACAAAUAUGGACCUGUAGUUGACCUGCCCGUUGUUUCUGUCAAGAUAGGAGAUCACUGUUACCAUGGUUUAUGUGAUAUGGGUGCUAGUGUUAGUGCAAUACCCCGUUCUCUAUAUGAUGAAAUCAAAGAUGAGAUUGCACCUGCUAAGUUAGAACCCAUUGAUGUCACUAUUACGCUAGCUAAUAGAGACACUAUCUGCCCUCUGGGAAUUGUGAGAGACGUAGAAGUCCUGUGUGGUAAGACGGAGUAUCCUACUGAUUUCCUCGUCCUUGGUACUGCACAAGUUAGCUUUUGUCCCAUCAUAUUUGGUAGACCCUUUCUCAACACUUUCAAUGCUCACAUUGAUUGCAUUAAGCAGACUGACACAGUUUGUUUCGAGGGUGUGUCUCAUGAAUUUAACUUCUCCAAGUUUGGAAGACAACCUCAUGAAAGAGAGUCGUCUGGUAGAGAUGAAAUUAUUGCUCUUGCCUCUAUUGCCGUACCUCCUACGGAUCCUUUAGAGCAAUAUCUUCUUGAGCAUGAAAAUGAUAUGCAUAUGGAGGAGAGAGAUGAGAUAGAUAAAAUUGUCUUAGAACAAUAUCCUAUUCUCAAGAAUAAUCUGCCUGUUGAACUGCUUGGGGAUCCUCCCCCACCAAAGGGUGAUCCUGUGUUCGAGCUUAAACAGUUGCCUGAUACUCUUAAGUAUGCCUAUCUUGAUGAGAAGGAGAUAUAUCCUGUCAUUAUUAGUGCUCUCCUAUCAGAGCAUGAAGAGAAGAAGUUACUAAGAACUCUGAGGAAGCACCGUGCUGCUAUUGGACAUACUCUUGAUGAUCUUAAGGGUAUUAGUCCCACUCUAUGUCAGCACAAGAUUAAAACCGAUCCUGACUUUAAACCAGCUGCUGAUCAUCAAAGGAGAUUAAAUCCUAAGAUGAAAGAGGUCGUUAGAAAAGAAAUAUUAAAGCUUCUGGAAGCAGGAAUCAUUUAUCCUGUUGCUCAUAGUGAUUGGGUAAGUCCAGUACAUUGCGUACAUAAGAAGGGAGGUAUCACCGUCAUUCCUAAUGAUAAGGAUGAACUAAUCCCACAAAGGAUUAUUACCGGCUAUAGGAUGGUGAUAGACUUCCGGAAACUAACAAGGCAACCAGGAAAGAUCAUUAUCCUUUGCCGUUUAUCGACCAAAUGCUAGAAAGGCUAUCAAAACACACACACUUGUGCUUUCUAGACGGUUAUUCAGGUUUCUCGCAAAUACCUGUCGCAUAAUCUGAUCAAGAGAAAACCACUUUCACUUGCCCUUUCGGUACCUUUGCUUAUAGACGUAUGCCUUUUGGCUUAUGCAAUGCACCUGCCACCUUCCAAAGAUGUAUGAUGGCUAUAUUCUCUGGCUUUUGUGAAAAGAUUGUCGAGGUUUUCAUGGAUGACUUCUCCGUUUACGGGUCUUCCUUUGAUGAUUGCCUCAGCAACCUUGAUCGAGUCUUACAAAGAUGCGAAGAAACCCACCUCGUCUUGAAUUGGGAGAAGUGCCACUUUAUGGUUAAUGAAGGUAUCGUCUUAGGACACAAAUCUUUGAAAGAGGCAUUGAAGUUGAUAAGGCUAAGGUUGAUGCAAUUGAGGAAAUGCCUUGCCCCACAGAUAUCAGAGGUACACGAAGUUUCCUAGGUCAUGCUGGUUUCUAUAGAAGGUUCAUUAAAGACUUCUCUAAGAAUUCUAGGCCUCUUACCAACCUCAUGCAGAAGGAUGUUCCUUUUGUUUUUGAUGAGGAUUGUGAGGAAGCCUUCGAAAUACUUAAGAAGGCUUUGAUAACCGCACCUAUUGUUCAACCACCAGACUGGAACUUGCCCUUUGAAAUCAUGUGCGAAGCUAGUGAUUAUGUUGUUGGUGCUGUUGUAGGACAAAGAGUUGACAAGAAGUUGAAUGUCAUUCAGUAUGCUAGUAAAACUCUAGACAGUGCCCAAAGAAACUAUGCCACUACGGAGAAGGAAUUUUUAGCAGUCGUGUUUGCAUGUGAAAAGUUCAGAUCUUACAUAGUUGACUCCAAAGUCACUAUUCACUCUGAUCAUGGUGCUAUUAAGUACCUUAUGGAGAAGAAGGACGCUAAGCCUAGGCUGAUCAGAUGGGUUCUCCUGCUACAGGAAUUUGAUUUGCACGUCGUUGACCGAAAGGGUGCUAAUAACCUUGUAGCAGAUAACUUGUCUAGGUUAGAGAAUGUCCUUGAUGACCCACUACCAAUUGAUGACAGCUUUCCUGAUGAGUAAUUAAAUGUCAUCUGUACUUCACAUAGUGCACUGUGGUAUGCCGAUUAUGCAAACUAUAUUGUAGCCAAAUACAUACCACCCAGUUUCACCUAUCAGCAAAAGAAGAAAUUCUUCUUUGAUUUGAGACACUACUUUUGGGAUGACCCUCACCUUUAUAAGGAAAGGAGUAGAUGGUGUUAUUAGAAGUUGUGUGCCUGAACAUGAACAGGGACAGAUCUUGCAGAAGUGCCAUUCCGAAGCCUAUGGAGGACACCAUGCUGGAGAUAAAACUGCCCAUAAGGUAUUGCAAUCAGGUUUCUAUUGGUCCACUCUCUUCAAGGNNNNNNNNNNGGAGUAGAUGGUGUUAUUAGACGUUGUGUGCCUGAAUAUGAACAGGGACAGAUCCUGCAAAAGUGUCAUUCCGAAGCCUACGGAGGACACCAUGCUGGAGAUAGAACUACCCAUAAGGUAUUGCAAUCAGGUUUCUAUUGGUCCACUCUCUUCAAGGAUGCUCGUAAGUUUGUCUUGUCUUGUGACUAAUGCCAAAGAAUAGGGAACAUCAGUAAGCGUCAGGAAAUGCAUAUGAACUAUUCACUUGUCAUUGAACCAUUUGAUGUUUGGGGCUUUGAUUAUAUGGGACCCUUCCCGAGUUCCAAUGGGUACACUCACACCUUAGUUGAUGUGGAUGACGUUACUAAGUGGGUAGAGGCUAUCCCCGCUAAAAAUGCUGAUCACCAUACCUCUAUUAGGAUGCUUAAAGAAGUCAUAUUCCCAAGAUUUGGAGUCCCUAGAUAUUUGAUGACUGAUGGCGGUUCACACUUCAUUCAUGGUGUUUUCCGCAAGAUGCUAGCUAAGUAUGAUGUCAACCAUAGAGUUGCAUCUCCUUAUCAUCCUCAGUCUAGUGGUCAAGUGGAGUUGACUAAUAGGGAGAUCAAGUUGAUCCUACAAAAGACCAUCAAUAGAUCUCGAAAGAACUAGUCUAGCAAACUUGAUGGUGCACUAUGGGCUUAUAGGACUGCUUAUAAGAAUCCCAUGGACAUCUCACCGUAUAAAAUGGUUUACUGUAAAGCCUGUCAUUUACCUCUUGAGCUGGAACACAAAGCUUAUUGGGCAAUCAAAGAGCUCAACUUUGAUUUCAAACUUGCCGGUGAGAAGCGGUUGUUUGAUAUCAGCUCGUUAUAUGAAUGGAGAGCCCAGACAUAUGAGAAUGUCAGGUUGUUCAAGGAAAAGGUUAAGAGAUGGCACGACAAAUGAAUACAGAAAUGAGAGUUCAAUGUAGGUGAUUAUGUCCUUCUAUACAAUUCUCGUUUGAGAUUCUUUGCAGGCAAGCUUCUCUCUAAAUGCGAAGGUCCCUAUGUUGUCGAGGAAGUAUAUCGUUCCGGUGCCAUCAAAAUCAAUAACACGGAAGGAAAUUUUCCUAGAGUGGUAAAUGGGCAAAGAAUCNNNNNNNNNNGGAAGGCCCCUAUGUUAUCGAGGAAGUAUAUCGUUCCGGUGCCAUCAAAAUUAAUAACACGGAAGGAAAUUUUCCUAGAGUGGUAAAUGGGCAAAGAAUCAAGCAUUACAUCUCUGGUACCCCCAUAAAUGUUGAGGCCAAUAUCAUCAAUGUCAUAACUCCAGAGGAGUACAUAAGGGAUGUUUAUCAGCCUGUUUCAGACCCUGAAAACGAAGAUGUAUCUGUUUCGGUAAGAAAUUGGACUCCGAUGCUUUUCCAAUAGGAAAUUUCCUCCGUUUUGGAAUUUUUGGAAAAAUAGAAAAAUAAAGAGCAGUCCGGAGAGCGAACGAGGCGGCCACAAGCCCUUCCACCGCCCCCUACCCCCUGGUGGCAGAGGNNNNNNNNNNNNNNNNNNNNNNNNNNNNNNNNNNNNNNNNNNNNNNNNNNNNNNNNNNNNNNNNNNNNNNNNNNNNNNNNNNNNNNNNNNNNNNNNNNNNGGAGGUGGGAAAGGAGAGAAGGACUCCACUUUCCAAUCCUAGUUGGACUAGGAUUGGAGGAGGACUCCUCCUCCCCUUGGUGCGCAGCCCUUGGGGCUCCUUGAGCCUCAAGGCAAGACUCCCCUCCCUCCUCCUAUAUAUAUGGAGCAAUUAGGGCUCAUUUGAGACAACUUUUCCAAAGCAGCCCGACCACAUACCUCCACGGUUUUACCUCUAGAUCGCAUUUCUGCGGAGCUCGGGCGGAGCCCUGCCGAGAUUAGAUCACCACCAACCUCCGGAGCGCCGUCACACUACCAGAGAACUCAUCUCCCUCUGCGUCUCUCUUGCUGGAUCAAGAAGGCCGAGAUCAUCGUCGAGCUGUACGNNNNNNNNNNUGUCACGCUGCCGGAGAACUCAUCUACCUCUCUGUCUCUCUUGCUGGAUCAAGAAGGCCGAGAUCAUCGUCGAGCUGUACGUGUGCUGAACGCGGAGGUGCCGUCCGUUCGGCACUAGAUUGUGGGACGGAUCGCGGGACGGUUCGUGGGACGGUUCGCGAGGCGGAUCGAGGGACGUGAGGACGUUCCACUACAUCAACCGCGUUCACUAACGCUUCUGCUGUGCGGUCUACAAGGAUACGUAGAUCGGAAAUCCCCUCUCGUAGAUGGACAUCACCAUGAUAGGUCUUCGUGCGCGUAGAAAAAUUUUUAUUUCCCGUGCAACGUUCCCCAUGAGUGGUAUCAGAGCUAGGUUCAUGCGUAGAUGUAAUAUCGAGUAGAACACAAAAGUUUUUGUGGGCGGUGAUGUGCGUCUUGCUGCCCUCCUUAGUCUUUUCUUGAUUCCGCGGUAUUGCUGGAUUGAAGCGGCUUGGACCGACAUUACUCGUACGCUUACGAGAGACUGGUUUCAUCGCUACGAGUAACUCCGUUGCUCAAAGAUGACUGGCAAGUGUCGGUUUCUCCAACUUUAGUUGAAUCGGAUUUGACCAAGGAGGUCCUUGGAUAAGGUUAAAUAGAAAUUCAUAUAUCUCCGUUGUGGUGUUUGCGUAAGUAAGAUGCGAUCCUACUAGAUACCCAUGGUCACCACGUAAAACAUGCAACAACAAAAUUAGAGGACGUCUAACUUUUUUUUGCAGGGUAUGCUUGUGAUGUGAUAUGGCCAACGAUGUGAUGUGAUAUAUUGGAUGUAUGAGAUGAUCAUGUUGUAAUAGGUAAUANNNNNNNNNNNNNNNNNNNNNNNNNNNNNNNNNNNNNNNNNNNNNNNNNNNNNNNNNNNNNNNNNNNNNNNNNNNNNNNNNNNNNNNNNNNNNNNNNNNNAAUGCGACAACACAGACCUGCAACACACCUUAGCUAGCUUCGGAGGGAAAGUUGUCGCUUUCCCGCUGACUUACCUAGGGCUUCCGAUCACUUUGUCGAGGCUUAGGCUAGUCCACAUUCAGUUCAUCUUAGACAGGAUCACAGCUAGGCUAGCUGGAUGGAAGGGAAAACUACUUAACGUUGCCGGCAGGCGAGUCCUGGUCCGUAACGUCCUCUCAGCCCUACCCACCUUCGCACUCUCUGUGCUAAGGGCGCCAAGGAAGUUUUUCGACGAGGUAGACAAAGCUAGACGACGUUUUCUGUGGGCACAAGACGACGGCGAGCUCGGUGGAGGCAAGAGUAAAGUAAAUUGGCCUACAGUCUGCUCCCCUAUGGAGAAUGGGGGUUUGGGCAUCCUUGACCUAAACCGCUUNNNNNNNNNNNNNNNNNNNNNNNNNNNNNNNNNNNNNNNNNNNNNNNNNNNNNNNNNNNNNNNNNNNNNNNNNNNNNNNNNNNNNNNNNNNNNNNNNNNNNNNNNNNNNNNNNNNNNNNNNNNNNNNNNNNNNNNNNNNNNNNNNNNNNNNNNNNNNNNNNNNNNNNNNNNNNNNNNNNNNNNNNNNNNNNNNNNNNNNNNNNNNNNNCGAAGCGGACAGAGACCUGUUCAACGCAUCAACAACUGUGACCCUAGGCAACGGCGCAACGUCAUCCUUCUGGCAUUGCUCGUGGACGGGAACAGACACCCUCAAGACGACGUUCCCNNNNNNNNNNAACGUUUUCUGUGGGCACAAGAAGACGACGAGCUCGGUGGAGGCAAGAGUAAAGUAAAUUGGCCUACAGUCUACUCCCCUAUGGAGAAUGGGGGUUUGGGCAUCCUUGACCUAAACCGCUUCAGUCGAGCCCUCAGGCUAAGAUGGCUUUGGCUGGAAUGGACGAGCAAUGACAGGGCCUGGCGGGGCAUGAAUCUGCCUUGUGAUGAAGCGGACAGAGACAUGUUCAACGCAUCAACAACUGUGACCCUAGGCAACGGCGCAACGGCAUCCUCCUGGCAUUGCUCGUGGACGGGAACAGACACCCUCAAGACGACGUUCCCGUCCCUUUUUAAGCACUCCAGGAGGAAAUACAGAACAAUGCAGGAGGCACUUCGGAACAACACCUGGUUAGCAGACUUAGCGCAUGNNNNNNNNNNNNNNNNNNNNNNNNNNNNNNNNNNNNNNNNNNNNNNNNNNNNNNNNNNNNNNNNNNNNNNNNNNNNNNNNNNNNNNNNNNNNNNNNNNNNAGAUAGGAAUUUUCAACUCCAUGUAGAAACUGCUGACACUAUCACAUGAAACCUUGAGGCCUCACAAACGCAUACGGCUAGAUCGGCGUACAAGGCACAAUUCCAAGGAAUGAUGAAGUCCGAUUUCAAGAAAAUAAUCAGGAACACUUGGGCACCCCCUAGGCUCAAGAUCUUUGCCUGGCUCCUCCUGCGCGACACGCUAUGGUGCAAUGACCGGCUGCAACGACGAGGAUGGCCAAACGGCUAUUUCUGUCAGCUAUGCCUGCGGAACCUAGAGACAUCAACUCAUUUGUUCUGGGAAUGCCCCAUGGCACUGCAAAUCUGGACACACGCUGCCUCGAGGGCCGAAUGCGCCUCUUUGUACCCUCCCACAUGGGCAACAAAGAGGGGGUCAGCCGAAAAAAUAGCCACAAUGAUAGAAACGGCCCAACCAGUACACAGCAAGGCUACCAGGACGAUGAUCGUCCUGAUCCUAUCGGAGAUUUGAAAGCACAGAAAUGAUUGCACCUUCACAAAUAAGCAGGCGCAUAUGCAAGAUAUAAAGAGCGCAAUCACGAGAACCGUCGAGCUAUGGAGANNNNNNNNNNNNNNNNNNNNNNNNNNNNNNNNNNNNNNNNNNNNNNNNNNNNNNNNNNNNNNNNNNNNNNNNNNNNNNNNNNNNNNNNNNNNNNNNNNNNGGCGCUGACGACGGAGGCGACGGGGCAUGGCCGAUGGGCGACAAGGCGUGGGCGGCGAGGUUGGGCGCGACCGACGGGCGACGGGGUGCGGCCGACAGGGUUGGACGUGGUCGGCGUGGCUGGCACGGCCGGUUGGAGGAUGGGGCGACGAUCGCCAGACCGAAGAAAGAAGCACUUUAUCGCAGUUUCACAGUUUGUGUUCGGGCGUAGCUAAAAUGGACCCUUAAAAUACCUUUUUUGACCCGUAUCCGAGUUUUAUGAUUUGAUUUUUAUGGGGUGUGCUAGAUAUGCUCUAAGGGGGGCAAAUCCCCCUUUGUGGACCCCCAAACAGACUCCACACCAGCCCUGCGAAGAAAGAAUUGGAGGUGGCGGCGGCUCCGUCUCGUGAAACGUGGUGAAAAUUUCUCUCUGAUUUUUUCCAAAGAUGAGAUUUUACAGGACUAAAAUUAGGGUCGGAGGAGCCACGUGGGCUACACAAGCCAUCAGGGCGUGGCUUGGGGGCGUCCUGUUGGCUUGUGGCCCCGUGGCAGCGUUUCUCCAGCAAUUAUUUGCUCCAUAAUUCCUUAUAAAUGCCAGAUAUAAUUCACAAAAAAAAUCGUCCAAUUCCGAAAGAUUUUUAUUUCUGUAUAAUAAUAACACCAAAGUAAUUCUGCUGAAAAUAACGCUAGUCCGAGCUAGUUUCAUUCAAAUCAUGUAAAUUAGAAUUCAAAAUCAGAGGAAAAGUGUUUGAAAAAAUUGAUACAUUGAAGAUGUAUCACAUGCCCGUACAAGACUAUUGCCGACCGAUCCUAUUGAGGAAGGUCCCUGCCUGUCUGAAUCUCUGAUCUCGAUGGUUCAAACGUGAUAGCAUGACUCUAAUCUGGCCUGAGCCCUAAGGUAUACUACAAUGUAGUAAUUUUGCACGUAUCAUACAAGUCAUCAGUUCAAAUUAUUAUUUUUAUAGAUUACGAACUACUCCCUUCAUUCCUAAAUAUAAGUCUUUUCUAGAGGUUUCAUUAAUGGACUAUAUACGGAUGUAUAUAGAAAUACUUUAAAGCGUACAAUUAAUCAUUUUUGUUUCAUAUGUAGACCCUAGUGAAAUCAUUUAAAAGACUUAUAUUUAGAAAUGGAGGGAGCAUAUAUUUAAGGGUUCGAUAGUUGAGUAACUAGACAUAAAGCACGGAACAAGAUACCACAAAAUUAUUCAAGUCGAUUGUUCUGCCCUCCAAUUAUGCCACUAAAAAUGCAAAUCAAUGGUAUAUACAACGAGGAAAUAACUACAAACUUUGUUUAGAUUAUUGGCGACUUAUUGGAUGGACCUUGUUCACAUUGAUCAUUAGCUAAAAAAUCAUACUAUUUUUAGUUGCAAAACAUAUAGUCACGGCAUUUUAACAUCGAUAGUUUAUUAAGAACAAAUAUACUUUUUAGGUUACAUCCCUUAUAUAAUCUUGGUCUUUUCGCCUCCUUUAUACUCAAAUCCUUGCUCCGUCCCCGGCAUGGCCGGGUUCAUACCUCCCGCAACUUCAACGGUAUUCUCCCUCAUUGCCACAGGUUGCACUAGGACAUAUUGGUGGAUCCUUCGAUCUCUCCAACGCCUUAACAGGGCCAACCACAUCUAUCUCCUAUCUAUCAACUUUAGCUCCCACUAUACAUUUUUUACGAGACUUGGUGUGCAAUGCAUGAAUACUAACAGAACACACUCUAGGAUCGAGCCAAAACUAGUAGUCAAUACGUACUUUAACUGCCUAAUAUCCAGUCUUUCUAGGUCUAGAAUUGCCAACGGACUGCUUUUGUACUUGCUAAGAUCAACCCCCAACUCAUUACAUCGGACAUUACCACAGCCAUAAUAAACAUUCAAAUGAACUGAUUCACACAUUUUCAUCUAUCACACAUUAUUAUCUUGCCAUCAAUCACAACCUUAGUAGAAAAAUGACUAGCCACAACUUCAACUAAUGGCGUCUCAUUUUCAAUCCAAGUCACCACCAUUUUUUUUAAAUAGUGGUGGUGUUGGAAUAUUUGGUAUGUCACUAGUAGUAGGUUACUCGUGACGUUUCGUCUAAAUUCCACGCCAUCGGUAUUUGGGAUCCAAAAGUAUGGCCCGGCGCAAGUUAUUGAUGGCGUGUGAAAAUAUACCACACCAUUGAUAUUUUAAGCAGUGGUGACGUGAGUGAAUAAUGCCACACCAUCAAUAAUCACACCGUUUGUUUAAAUUUUGAAUUUUUAACCACUCAUUGGUGGCAUGAGUGAAUAGUGUCAUGCCACUACUAAUAAAAACCGUGUCAUGUCCGUCCAUGCCACCAAUAAAUUAUAACAUUUUUAGUAGUAAUAAUAAAAUUGUAGCUGAAAUCGCCACGAGACCCAACCCAACCACCAGAACACAUAUUUCCUUUCUCUCUCUCAUUAGCUCUCGUCUCUCUCAAUCGAAUGGUAUGUCUCCAACUCCCAAAAUCAUCACCACCAACUAGAUCGCUACCCACAUCGCAUCCCUCUCUCCUUCUCUGCCUCAUCCCAAGCCACACAAUUCAUCCACACCAAGCACCUCACCCAGCCAUCUCCUUGUGAUCCUUCUCUAUCUCUCCCGCAACCCCUCAAUGUAGCCACCAACGUCGGCCGAUUCUGACGAGCCUCGACGGCAAUGGACGGGGCAUGGACCUCGCAUGCCUCGAUGUUGGAAUUAUGCCCUAGAGGAAAUAAUAAAUAUAGUUAUUAUUAUAAUUCCUGUAUCAAGAUAAUCGUUUAUUAUCCAUGCUAUAAUUGUAUUGAAUGAAGACUUAUAUACAUGUGUGGAUACAUAGACAAAACAUUGUCCCUAGCAAGCCUCUAGUUGGCUAGCCAGUUGAUCAAAGAUAGUCAGAGUCUUCUGAUUAUAUACAAGGUGUUGUUGCUUGAUAACUGGAUCACGUCAUUAGGAGAAUCACGUGAUGGACUAGACCCAAACUAAUAGACGUAGCAUGUUGAUCGUGUCAUUUUGUUGCUACUGUUUUCUGCGUGUCAAGUAUUUGUUCCUAUGACCAUGAGAUCAUAUAACUCACUGACACCGGAGGAAUGCUUUGUGUGUAUCAAACGUCACAACGUAACUGGGUGACUAUAAAGAUGCUCUACAGGUAUUUCCGAAGGUGUUCGUUGAGUUAGUAUGGAUCGAGACUCGGAUUUAUCACUCCGUGUGACGGAGAGGUAUCUCGGGGCCCACUCGGUAAUACAACAUCACACACAAGCCUUGCAAGCAAUGUGACUUAGUGUAAGUUGCGGGAUCUUGUAUUACGGAACGAGUAAAGAGACUUGCCGGUAAACGAGAUUGAAAUAGGUAUGCGGAUACUGACGAUCGAAUCUCGGGCAAGUAACAUAUCGAAGGACAAAGGGAAUGACAUACGGGAUUAUAUAAAUCCUUGGAACUGAGGUUCAAACGAUAAGAUCUUCAUAGAAUUUGGGGAUCCAAUAUGGGCAUCCAGGUCCCGCUAUUGGAUAUUGAUCGAGGAGUCACUUGGGUCAUGUCUACAUAGUUCUCGAACCCGCAGGGUCUACACACUUAAGGUUCGACGUUGUUUUAUACGUAUUUGAGUUAUAUGGUUGGUUACCGAAUGUUGCUCGGAGUCCCGGAUGAGAUCACGGACGUCACGAGGAUUUCCGGAAUGGUCCAGAAACGAAGAUUGAUAUAUAGGAUGACCUCAUUUGAUUACCGGAAGGUUUUCGGAGUUACCGGGAAUGUACCGGGAAUGACGAAUGGGUUCCGGGUGUUCACCGGGGGGGCAACCCACCCCGGGGAAGCCCAUAGGCCUUGGGGGUGGCGCACCAACCCUUAGUGGGCUGGUGGGACAGCCCAAGAAGGCCCUAUGCGCCAUGGAUAGAAAAUCAAAGAGAAAGAAAAAAAAGGAGGUGGGAAAGGAGAGAAGGACUCCACUUUCCAAUCCUAGUUGGACUAGGAUUGGAGGAGGACUCCUCCUCCCCUUGGUGCGCAGCCCUUGGGGCUCCUUGAGCCUCAAGGCAAGACUCCCCUCCCUCCUCCUAUAUAUAUGGAGCAAUUAGGGCUCAUUUGAGACAACUUUUCCAAAGCAGCCCGACCACAUACCUCCACGGUUUUACCUCUAGAUCGCAUUUCUGCGGAGCUCGGGCGGAGCCCUGCCGAGAUUAGAUCACCACCAACCUCCGGAGCGCCGUCACACUACCAGAGAACUCAUCUCCCUCUGCGUCUCUCUUGCUGGAUCAAGAAGGCCGAGAUCAUCGUCGAGCUGUACGUGUGCUGAACGCGGAGGUGCCGUCCGUUCGGCACUAGAUUGUGGGACGGAUCGCGGGACGGUUCGUGGGACGGUUCGCGAGGCGGAUCGAGGGACGUGAGGACGUUCCACUACAUCAACCGCGUUCACUAACGCUUCUGCUGUGCGGUCUACAAGGAUACGUAGAUCGGAAAUCCCCUCUCGUAGAUGGACAUCACCAUGAUAGGUCUUCGUGCGCGUAGAAAAAUUUUUAUUUCCCGUGCAACGUUCCCCAUGAGUGGUAUCAGAGCUAGGUUCAUGCGUAGAUGUAAUAUCGAGUAGAACACAAAAGUUUUUGUGGGCGGUGAUGUGCGUCUUGCUGCCCUCCUUAGUCUUUUCUUGAUUCCGCGGUAUUGCUGGAUUGAAGCGGCUUGGACCGACAUUACUCGUACGCUUACGAGAGACUGGUUUCAUCGCUACGAGUAACUCCGUUGCUCAAAGAUGACUGGCAAGUGUCGGUUUCUCCAACUUUAGUUGAAUCGGAUUUGACCAAGGAGGUCCUUGGAUAAGGUUAAAUAGAAAUUCAUAUAUCUCCGUUGUGGUGUUUGCGUAAGUAAGAUGCGAUCCUACUAGAUACCCAUGGUCACCACGUAAAACAUGCAACAACAAAAUUAGAGGACGUCUAACUUUUUUUUGCAGGGUAUGCUUGUGAUGUGAUAUGGCCAACGAUGUGAUGUGAUAUAUUGGAUGUAUGAGAUGAUCAUGUUGUAAUAGGUAAUAUCGACUUGCACGUCGAUGGUACGGCAACCGGCAGGAGCCAUAGGGUUGUCUUUAAACUAACGUUUGUGCUUGCAGAUGCGUUUACUAUUUUGCUAGGAUGUAGCUUUAGUAGUAAUAGCAUGAGUAGCACGACAACCCCGAUGGCGACACGUUGAUGGAGAUCAUGGUGUGGCGCCGGUGACAAGAAGAUCGUGCCGGUGCUUUGGUGAUGGAGAUCAAGGAGCACGUGAUGAUGGUCAUAUCAUGUCACUUAUGAAUUGCAUGUGAUGUUAAUCCUUUUAUGCACCUUAUUUUGCUUAGAACGACGGUAGCAUUAUGAGGUGAUCUCUCACUAAAAUUUCAAGACGAAAUUUUGUUCUCCCCGACUGUGCACCGUUGCUACAGUUCGUCGUUUCGAGACACCACGUGAUGAUCGGGUGUGAUAGACUGAACGUUCACAUACAACGGGUGCAAAACAGUUGCACACGCGGAACACUCGGGUUAAGCUUGACGAGCCUAGCAUGUGCAGACAUGGCCUCGGAACACAUGAGAUCGAAAGGUCGAUCAUGAAUCAUAUAGUUGAUAUGAUUAGCAUAGGGAUGCUUACCACUGAAACUAUACUCAACUCACUUGAUGAUCGGACUUGAGAUAGUGUAAGUGGGACAUGAACCACUCAAAUGACUAGAGAGAUGUACUUUUUGAGUGGGAGUUUAGCAAGUAAUUUGAUUAAGUUAAACUCUAACUAUCUUGAACAUAGUCCAAGUCCACUUUGAAUAUAUUUGUGUUGUAGAUCAUGGCUCACGCAACAGUCACCCUGAAUUUUAACACGUUCCUAGAGAAAGCUAAGUUGAAAGAUGAUGGAAGCAACUUUGUAGACUGGGCUCGUAAUCUUAAGUUGAUCCUACAAGCUGGGAAGAAGGAUUAUGUCCUUGAUGCUGCGCUAGGAGAUGAACCACCCGCUACGGCUGACCAAGAUGUUAAGAACGCUUGGUUAACACGUAAGGAGGACUACUCAGUAGUUCAAUGUGCAGUCUUGUAUGGCUUAGAACCGGGACUUCAACGUCGCUUUGAGCGUCAUGGAGCAUAUGAGAUGUUCCAGGAGUUGAAAUUUAUCUUUCAGAAGAACGCCCGGAUCGAGAGGUAUGAGACCUUCGAUAAAUUCUAUGCUUGCAAGAUGGAGGAGAAUUCGUUUGUGAGUGAACAUGUGCUCAAAAUGUCUGGGUACUCAAACCGUCUAGCUGAGCUGGGGAUUGAACUCCCACAAGAGGCUAUCACUCACAAAAUUCUUCAAUCACUGUCGCCAAGCUAUAAGGGCUUUGUGUUGAACUACAACAUGCAAGGGAUGAACAAGUCACCCGACGAGUUGUUUGCGAUGCUGAAAGUCACAGAGUCUGAACUUCGUAAAGAGCAUCAAGUGUUGAUGGUGAAAAACACCACUAGUUUCAAGAGAAACGGCAAAGGCAAGAAGGGUAAUUCAAAGAAGAGCGGCAAGCCUGUUGCCAAUCCGACGAAGAAACCCAAAGCUGGACCAAAGCCUGAAACAGAGUGCUACUAUUGCAAGGGUAUGGGUCACUCGAAGCGCAACUGCCCCAAGUAUCUGGCUGAUAAGAAGGCGGCCAAAGAAAAAUCAGGUAUAUUUGAUAUACAUGUUAUUGAUGUGUACUUAACCGGCUCUCGUAGUAGUGCCUGGGUAUUCGAUAUCGAUUCUGUUGCUCAUAUUUGCAACUCGAAACAGGAACUGCGGAAUAGGCGAAGGCUGGCGAAAGAUGAAGUGACGAUGCGCGUAGGAAAUGGUUCGAAGGUUGAUGCAAUCACCGUCGGCACAGUUUCACUUCAGUUACCAUCAGGAUUAGUUAUGAACUUGAAUAAUUGUUAUUUAGUGCCUGCGUUGAGCAUGAACAUUAUAUCUGGAUCUUGUUUAUUGCGAGACGGUUACUCUUUUAAGUCAGAGAAUAAUGGUUGUUCUAUUUCUAUGAGUAACAUCUUUUAUGAUCAUGCACCCAAUGUGAGAGGAUUGUUCAUAUUGAAUCUUGAUAGUGAUGAUACACAUAUACAUAACAUUGAGACCAAAAGAGUUAGAGUUAACAAUGAUAGCGCCAUGUUUUUGUGGCACUGCCGCUUAGGUCAUAUUGGUGUAAAGCGCAUGAAGAACCUCCAUACCGAUGGACUUUUGGAGUCACUUGACUUUGAUUCACUUGACACGUGCGAACCAUGCCUCAUGGGCAAGAUGACUGAAACUCCGUUCUCCGGAAAAAUGGUACGUGCCAGUGACUUGUUGGAAAUCAUACAUACCGAUGUGUGCGGUCCGAUGAGCGUGGAGGCACGCGGCGGAUAUCGUUAUUUUCUCACCUUCACUGACGAUUUGAGUAGAUAUGGUGAUGUCUACUUAAUGAAGCACAAGUCUGAAACAUUUGAAAAGUUCAAGCAAUUUCAGAGUGAAGUUGAAAAUCAUCGUAACAAGAAGAUCAAGUUCCUACGGUCUGAUCGUGGGGGUGAAUAUCUGAGUUUCGAGUUUGGUGCUCACUUAAGACAAUGUGGAAUUUUUCACAGUUGACACCGCCUGGAACACCACAGCGUAAUGGUGUGUCCGAACGUCGUAAUCGUACUUUAUUAAAGAUGGUGCGAUCUAUGAUGUCUCUUACCGAUUUGCUGUUAUCGUUUUGGGGUUAUGCAUUAGACAUAGCUGCAUUCACUUUAAAUAGGGCACCAUCAAAAUCCGUUGAGACGACACCAUACGAACUGUGGUAUGGCAAAAGGCCAAAGUUGUCGUUUCUUAAAGUUUGGGGAUGUGAUGCUUAUGUCAAAAAGCUUCAGCCUGAAAAGCUGGAACCCAAAGCGGAAAAGUGCAUCUUCAUAGGUUACCCAAAAGAGACAGUUGGGUACACCUUCUAUCUCAAAUCCGAGGGCAAAGUGUUUGUUGCUAAAAACGGAGCUUUUCUCGAGAAGGAGUUUCUCUCGAGAGAAUUGAGUGGGAGGAAGAUAGAACUUGAUGAGGUUGUCGAACCUCUCAUCCCUCUGGAUGGUGGCGCAGGGCAAGGGGAAACCCCUGUCGUUGCGACGUCGGUUGAGGAGGAAGUUAAUGAUGAUGAUGAGGAAACUCCGGUUCAAGUUCCUAUCGAACCACGCAGGUCGAUGAGACCACGUGCUGCUCUAGAGUGGUACGGUAAUCCCGUUUUGUCAAUCAUGUUGUUAGACAACAAUGAACCUGCAAAUUAUGAAGAAGCAAUGGUGGGCCCAGAUUCCAACAAAUGGCUGGAGGCCAUGAAGUCCAAGAUAGGAUCCAUGCAUGAAAACAAAGUGUGGACUUUGGAAGUACUACCUGAGGGCCGCAAGGCUAUUCAGAACAAAUGGAUCUUUAAGAAGAAGACGGGCGCUGACGGCAAUGUGACUGUUUAUAAAGCUCGACUUGUGGCAAAGGGUUUUUCACAAGUUCAAGGAGUUGACUACGAUGAGACAUUCUCACCCGUAGCGAUGCUUAAGUCCGUCAGAAUCAUGUUAGCAAUAGCUGCAUUUUUCGAUUAUGAAAUCUGGCAGAUGGAUGUCAAAACGGCGUUCCUUAACGGUUUCCUUAAGGAAGAGUUGUAUAUGAUGCAACCCGAAGGUUUUGUCGGUCCUAAGAAUGCUAACAAGGUGUGCAAGCUCCAGCGAUCCAUUUAUGGACUGGUGCAAGCAUCUCGGAGUUGGAACAAACGCUUUGAUGAGGUGAUCAAAGCAUUUGGGUUUAUACAAGUGGUUGGAGAAUCUUGUAUUUACAAGAAAGUGAGUGGGAGAUCUGUGGCGUUUCUAAUAUUAUAUGCGGAUGACGUAUUGCUGAUUGGAAACAACGUAGAGUUUUUGGAGAGCAUAAAGGAUUACUUGAAUAAAAGUUUCUCUAUGAAGGACCUAGGAGAAGUUGCUUACAUUCUAGGCAUUAAGAUCUACAUGGAUAGAUCGAAACGCCUGAUAGGACUUUCACAAAGCACAUACCUUGAUAAAGUUUUGAAGAGGUUCAAAAUGGAACAGUCCAAGAAACGGUUCUUGCCAGUUUUACAAGGUACGAGAUUGAGUAAGACUCAGUGCCCAGCAACUAAUAAAGAUAGAGAGCAUAUGAGCACCGUCCCCUAUGCUUCAGCCCUAGGAUCUAUCAUGUAUGCAAUGUUCUGCACUAGACCGGACGUUAGCCUGGCCAUAAGUAUGGCAGGCAGGUUCCAGAGUAAUCCAGGAGUGGAUCACUGGACGGCGGUCAAGAAUAUCCUGAAGUACCUGAAAAGGACUAAGGAGAUGUUUCUCGUGUACGGAGGUGGCGAAGAGCUCGCCGUAAAGGGUUACGUCGAUGCAAGCUUUGACACAGAUCCGGACGACUCUAAGUCGCAGACCGGAUACAUAUUUAUUCUUAAUGGGGGUGCGGUAAGCUGGUGCUGUUCCAAGCAAAGCGUCGUAGCUGAUUCUACAUGUGAAGCGGAGUACAUGGCUACCUCGGAGGCGGCUAAGGAGGGUGUCUAGAUGAAGCAGUUCAUGACGGAUCUUGGAGUGGUGCCAAGCGCACUGAAUUCAAUAACCUUGUUCUAUGACAACACGGGUGACAUUGCCUUAGCAAAGGAACCACGGUUUCACAAGAAGACCAGACACAUCAAACGACGCUUCAACCUCAUCCGCGACUACGUCGAAGGGGAGGACGUAAAUAUAUGCAAAGUGCACACGGAUCUGAAUGUAGCAGACCCGCUGACUAAACCUCUUCCACGGGCAAAGCAUGAUCAACACCAGAACUGUAUGGGUGUUAGAUUUAUUACAAUGUAAUUCACAUGAUGAUGUGAGGGCUAGAUUAUUGACUCUAGUGCAAGUGGGAGACUGUUGGAAUUAUGCCCUAGAGGCAAUAAUAAAUAUAGUUAUUAUUAUAAUUCCUGUAUCAAGAUAAUCGUUUAUUAUCCAUGCUAUAAUUGUAUUGAAUGAAGACUUAUAUACAUGUGUGGAUACAUAGACAAAACACUGUCCCUAGCAAGCCUCUAGUUGGCUAGCCAGUUGAUCAAAGAUAGUCAGGGUCUUCUGAUUAUAUACAAGGUGUUGUUGCUUGAUAACUGGAUCACGUCAUUAGGAGAAUCACAUGAUGGACUAGACCCAAACUAAUAGACAUAGCAUGUUGAUCGUGUCAUUUUGUUGCUACUGUUUGCUGCGUGUCAAGUAUUUGUUCCUAUGACCAUGAGAUCAUAUAACUCACUGACAUCGGAGGAAUGCUUUGUGUGUAUCAAACGUCGCAACGUAACUGGCUGACUAUAAAGAUGCUCUACAGGUAUUUCCGAAGGUGUUCUUUGAGUUAGUAUGGAUCGAGACUGAGAUUUGUCACUCCGUGUGACGGAGAGGUAUCUCGGGGCCCACUCGGUAAUACAACAUCACACACAAGCCUUGCAAGUAAUGUGACUUAGUGUAAGUUGCGGGAUCUUGUAUUACGGAACGAGUAAAGAGACUUGCCGGUAAAAGAGAUUGAAAUAGGUAUGCGGAUACUGACGAUCGAAUCUCGGGCAAGUAACAUACCGAAGGACAAAGGGAAUGACAUACGGGAUUAUAUGAAUCCUUGGCACUGAGGUUCAAAUGAUAAGAUCUUCGUAGAAUAUGUGGGAUCCAAUAUGGGAAUCCAGGUCCCGCUAUUGGAUAUUGACCGAGGACUCACUCGGCUCAUGUCUACAUAGUUCUCGAACCCGCAGGGUCUGCACACUUAAGGUUCGACGUUGUUUUAUGCGUGUUAGAGUUAUAUGGUUGGUUACCGAAUGUUGUUCGGAGUCCCGGAUGAGAUCACAGACGUCACGAGGGUUUCCGGAAUGGUCCGGAAACGAAGAUUGAUAUAUAGGAUGACCUCAUUUGAUUACCGGAGGGUUUUCGGAGUUACCGGGAAUGUACCGGGAAUGACGAAUGGGUUCCGGGUGUUCAUCGGGGGGGGUGGGCAACCCACCCCGGGGAAGCCCAUAUGCCUUGAGGGUGGCGCACCAGCCCUUAGUGGGCUGGUGGGACAGCCCAAGAAGGCCCUAUGCGCCAUGGAUAGAAAAUCAAAGAGAAAGAAAAAAAAAGGAGGUGGGAAAGGAGAGAAGGACUUCACUUUCCAAUCCUAGUUGGACUAGGAUUGGAGGAGGAAUCCUCCUCCCCUUGGUGCGCACCCCUUGGGGCUCCUUGAGCCUCAAGGCAAGCCUCCCCUCCCUCCUCCUAUAUAUAUGGAGCAAUUAGGGCUGAUUUGAGACAACUUUUCUAAAGCAGCCCGACCACAUACCUCCACGGUUUUACCUCUAGAUCGCGUUUCUGCGGAGCUCGGGCGGAGCCCUGCCGAGAUUAGAUCACCACCAACCUCCGGAGCGCUGUCACGCUGCCGGAGAACUCAUCUACCUCUCUGUCUCUCUUGCUGGAUCAAGAAGGCCGAGAUCAUCGUCGAGCUGUACGUGUGCUGAACGCGGAGGUGUCGUCCGUUCGGCACUAGAUCGUGGGACGGAUCGCGGGACGGUUCGUGGGACGGUUCGCGGGGCGGAUCGGGGGACGUGAGGACGUUCCACUACAUCAACCGCGUUCACUAACGCUUCUGCUAUGCGAUCUACAAGGGUACGUAGAUCGGAAAUCCCCUCUCAUAGAUGGACAUCACCAUGAUAGGUCUUCGUGCGCGUAGAAAUUUUUUUGUUUCCCAUGCGAUGUUCCCCAUCACUCGAUGAGUCCCUGCCUCCGACCAGAUCCACCGCGCACGGUCUAUAGUGCUCGUGCCCAAGCCCUCCCUGCAAUUGGGUUUCGGGCAUGGCUUCACCUUCAUCGACGGCGUGGCUCUAGUGUCCGUGGCGGCUCCUCUCUAUUGGCGGAUGUGCACGACAUGUGCUACAAAAUUUUCAUGGUGAGCGUAUCUUUUUCCUUUGUUCUCCGACAGUGUGUGUACACCAUGUAGUUCUUCUCAUUGUCAUGUUGAUGUUCAUGUAAGCGUAGAUGUGCGUACACCAUCUCAAAAAAAUCAUCUUGCUUCCUUCUUGGUUUUGCUUACCUUACUACUAGUAGUUAAUUCUAUAAAUGAGAAAAAGUGCCACAUCAUCAGUAUGUGAAAUACCGAUGGUGUGGCGGUACGAGCAUCAUCGUUAUUUUGGUAACAAUGGCACUAUAUUAAUGACGUCGGAUGCCUACGCCAGCAAGGACUUUUUUAGAACGCUAACAUUAGGCUUUUCUACACUAGUGCAAUGAAAAAAAAUCUCCGCUAUCGGAUCUUUUCCCGACAAGAUGGUUAUAGCUUUGACGCUUGAGUUGCCGGCUGCGAGCUUCUCUUCGCGAAGCUCGUGCAUGCACCACUGGCGCUGACCACAACCACCAUCGCCUCCCCUCGGCUCUUGGAGGUUGCACUACCACUACUCCCCACGAAGCCGCCCCAGCCACACCUCCUUCCCCCAACAACACCUUCUCCCCAGCAUGUCUCCUCACCACAGCUUCAAAAUGACUACCACGCUGGAUGGAUUGGAGCUUAGGUUGUCGAAAUGGGUAUACUUUAGUGAAUUUGAGGAAAGGAUGCAAGAAUGGGUGGAAAUGGACUAGAUCAAGCGAAAAACAAGAAGAGCAGAGAGAGACGCGAGCAAGCACUCGCGUCGUGAGGAAGAAGACAGUCGAUCUUAUCCCCACCUCUUCGGACUCACGUUGGCCGAAGACUACUCUUCGGUCGCAGGCUGAUCGAAGUUACUCUCCUCGACUUACGACCCACCAACAACGGCUCGUCGCCUAGUUAUACCACUCUUCGGCCCAACUUAAACCCCAAAAAUCCCUUUUUUGCGAUCUAGUAUAAGGUUUUUAUUCCAUAAUAACAGAGUUACAACCUUCAGCGAGUAAAUCGCUAAUGCAUGGGGGAGGAUGACCCAGUCAACAGGCUAUGCUAUCACCACAUCUAUCAUAGUUCGUUAAACAAUGUGCAACUCUAUUUUGUUCACGAAUAAUUUUGACAGGAAUAACCACCCUAGUACUGAAGUAAGAUUUGAUCUCCGAAACCAAAUGGCCAUACGCCGAACUAUCAAUGGAAGCCUCAGAAAUCGUCUUGAGAGCCAUCGCACAAUCAGACUGGAGCAAGAUUGUGGAAUUCGUGUGUUCCAACGACAGCUUGAGACCUUCCAUCAUAUAUUGCAAUUCUACUUCGAGGGCUUCAUUGCAAUGAAAGAGUUUGCGAUACGAAGCAAAGAUAACCCCUCCUUUCUCAUCUCUUAGAAUCAUGCCUGCUCCUGCCGAAUGGUCUGCAGGAUUGAAACAACCGUCUACUCACAGUGCGAACUCGCCCAUAGGUGGAUUAGGCCAUCGCUUGCAAGGCGCAAAUGGUUCUAUGAAUCUGUUCUUGUUUGUGCAUAUAAGUUGUUAGAGGAGUUUUCCCUUUGAUAAUAUCCUCAACACUCAACGAAAUUUGAUUGAAAGUGUUGAAAUAACUGGUCAGAAACAAUCGAGAAACUUCCAACGGUGGGAUUGGUUUACCAUGUUAGAGCUCGUUUCGGAGGUGCCAACUUGGCCACAGAACCAUAAUAAUCCUACUUCUGACUUGUUCAUGUGAUUCAGCCAGUAGAUGAAGAAGCCAUUCAUCCCGUGUACAUGCGAUAUCCAGUUUGUUCGGCAAAGGCCAGACCGAACCCAUCGAGUCCCAUAAGAGAGCAGUUGUAGGACACGCGAGUAGGGCAUGAAAAGAAGAUUAUAUGUCCCGGUCACACGGACUGCACUACGCGAAAUCUCCUAUGUGUCUCCUGAACUUCUCUGCAUUAGCUGGAAGAGAGGCAGAAGUAACUUGCCAAGCAAAGUGUCGCUUCUUGGGAGGGACAGUCGCGCCCCAAAUCAACCUCCAUAUGGGGCGCCCUGAGAGGGGAGGAACUAGACGCCCCUAUACCCUCAUGGUCGCUGGACACUACAAAAUUGUAGACACUCUUCACAGUCAGGUUGCCUGAUCUAUCCCAUUGCCAUGAUACGAAAUCCUGAUGUUGCCGCGGAGACGUUCGGAUCAUCAUAAUUGAAUCAAUGUCUGCUUGGCAAAAGAAUUGUUGCAGCAGGUCCAUUCUCUAGUUACCCCUAACAUUGAGGAAAUCUGAGACUCGUUGAGACGGCAAUUUCGCUUAGGCAGAAUUGAAGUAAACGGCGGGCCUUGGGGUCCAAAGGUGACCGGAAAGCUCAUCUUCGGCCUAACAAACAACAAAUACUCACUCUACGACAUAAGUGUGGUUGACGGGGUUAUAGUUUUCCUUUCCUGGAAUUAGGGCAUACAUAUUUAGGUCAUGUUUGGAAUAUCAUUUCCACGAGCAAUACACCUGCAAAUAAUACAGGUGUCCCUUCGUCGUUUUGCUUUCAGGCGGGAAUCACUACUGGCCCUGUAAGUUACACAUGUAAAUUAAAUACAGACGUAUUUAAAUACACCCAAUUCACACACGCCUUUAAAAUAUGUUAUAAAAAAAUAUUUACUCCGUCUUAAAAUUAUUGUCUUAGAUUUGUUUAGAUGUGAAUGUAUCUAAUCAAGUUUUAGUACUUAAAUACAUCUAUUUCUAGACAAAGCUAAGACAAAAAAAUAAAACGGAGGAAGCAAUAUUAGGAAAAUCAUCAAGCCGGCCAGAAAAUGCCACAUCAGGAACGACCGAACACGAUACCAUCCAGUGCCGGUGCUAGGCUGCUGCUAGCCUAUGGUAACUCCUUGCAAUUGCUGUCGAUACUGGGAGCUUUGGAAGUACCCCUACAGCUUCUAGAAGGAUGGAAGGAAGGACCCAAGAAGGUGUGCUCCGCUCGGGACGUGGACUCUGAAAGCAUAUCCUGCACGCAACGCAAGGCAAGGCAGGGCAGCGAGACUUUUCUUCCUUCCGGCUCCGUUGCAUCCGUGCGUGGCGAGACCGCGACCCGCGUGAUUGAUCGGCCGAUCGACCCACCUUGUGGGACCCGUGAUCCUCUCCUGGUCCACGGUCAAAGUCCGGCUUGACCUUUGACCAGUCCAACUCCCUUCGUUAUUUUAUUUUAUCUUUAAGCCGGUAACCUGUGUGGCUUGUGGACGUUGUGUUGGAAAAUGGGAACAGACGGCGGAACUGCGGGACAGCUUGGAUCGUGGCCUAGCUGUGAGGUUUUGCAGCGUGGUAUGAAAACGUGAGGUUCUAGAAUCCGGAGCAAAUCUUAGCACCAACUUGUUCCCUGUAUAUAAUGUCACUCAAAGAGACAAAAGCUUCCAUUAUAAGGACCUAGGCAAAGUUUGAUAUGCUCGCGAAGCAUUGAAAAAAUCCCAAAGUAUUGAAGAACUACUUCGGCUGCUCAUAAAUGUAAGAUGUUUAAAAUAUUCUAAUACAAACUAUACAUACGUCCUGGAAUGAGUACGGACUAAAAUAGUUAAAGAAAACACAUCAAAACAUGUUUAAAUACUACAUUCGAUUAUAAAACAAUUAAAAAAUAGAACAACAUCUUAAUAGUGAACAGAGGGAGAGUAAUUUAACUUGUUGGUAUUGAAGAGUAAUGCUAUCACCACACUUUUCAUCCAAUCUUCGUACGACACAUAUAAUCAAACCGUUUUGUGCAUGCAACCAAGUGCAUCAGAGCAUUGGAUUCUAGACCAUUCGUCACCGUACACACACUAGUUUCGGCUACGAAAAUGCUAUGUGUACGACCCUUCGCCUUCUCGUGUGUGAAGAAAUUAACGAACUGUACUAUUCGUCGUACAUUAGAGCAUCUUUAACAACCGCACUCCGACGCACUCGUAUGAAAUGUUCCAAAAGCUCAUUGUGAGGAUAGUUUAGAUUUUUGUCACGCCCAUUCUCGAUGAUCAUGUUAUGCAUCAUCAUACAAACGUGCAUGAUGUACUAAAGAAUCUUUUGAUCGCAAAAUCCAGCCGGUCCUUUCAUAAUAGCAAGUUGGGCUUGUAAAAUCCCAAAAGCUCCCUCCACAUCUUUUUGAGCCGCCGUUUGAGCAUUGUGAAGAUCUAGAUUUUUCUUACCUUCUGGUUUUCAACGGCUUCACAAAUGUUUGUCAUUUUGGGUAGAUACCAUCCUCAAGACAGUAGUCAUAAUUGUAUGUAUUGCCAUUUGCUACAAACUCCACCGAUGACGGUUCACCAUUUGCAAUCUUAUUUAUAAGUGUUGAGCGGUUAACCACGUUGAUGUCAUUCAAAGAUCGAGACUAUCCCAAAAAAGCAUGCCAAAUCCAAGUUUGUUGACGGGCCACCGCUUUAAGGAUUGUAGUAAAACUCUUUUUCUCGUCGUGGAAUUGCCCAUGCCAUGCCUUAGGACAAUUCUUCCAACUCCGGUGCAUGCAAUCUGUUGAGCCAAGCAUACCUGGGAACCCGCGAGCUUUGUUCAUCUCCAAUAACCUUGCGAUGUAUCCAGCAUUUGAAUCUCAAAUACUCUCGGCCAAACACUUGUUCAAUUCCGACUGUGAAGCGCUUGAAACACAUGAUGGCCUGACUCUCAUCCAUGGCGAGAUGGUCAUCAACUAGAUCACCCAGAAUACCGUAUGCCAACAUACGCAAAGCGGUUGUCACCUUUUGAAAGGUGUUAUGUCCGAGUUCUCCAGCGACAUUCCUCCUUUGCUGAAAAAAUCGAUCAUGCAUCGUCAGUUUAUUUUCAAGCCGUGUGUGAGUCGUCGUUGUCCAGCACGCGGGAGCGGGCGCUCGAAAUAAACGACGUACGAGUCGUUCCGUCCCGCACACUGAAUCAAUUAUGCCGCGCACGCAUUUUGUAUGCCUUCAUUGUAACAUCUGAAGCGGUUGCGCACGUAAAAAAAAAGAUGCCUUUUUUCAACACGACGUUUAUAUAACAUGGUUGUUAGAGAUGCUCUUAGAAUUUUGACCAGUCUGAUUUUAUCGUACCUGAAGCAUCGUUCAGUCUGCUAGGAUCAACGUCCCACUAGAAAAAAAAAAACAGAGUACGAUCGACCCUUCGAUAAGCACGAUAAGGUGCGGGAUCAUUAUCAGCGCACCUAACAUCCCGUCAAUGGCAUGACCGCUCGAGCUGUAGAAAUGCAAGUUUGAAAACACAAUUGCUGAUCUUAUCUAGGCUGGAAGGCAUCCUAAACGACAGAGACAGGCUUGUCACGGUCGAACGCCACCAAGCCGUUUCUCCAUUUCACUUUGAUGACUUCUACGGGCAGCAAGCUCGUUCAUCCGCCGUAGUCAAGAUCCCAAGAAAAUCACGUGCUCUAACGGCACCUUAUUUUAUCCCCUCACAUACCCGUGAUGAUAAACAGAGAUUUUUCUCGGCGUGUCAAAGUUAAACCGGCGACUUCUAAAGUUCAGUCUGCGUGAAAAACACUGAACCCGAAGAGACAUGGUUAAAUUUGGUUGUGGUGGCAAACCCUACUCUUGGCACUGAAGAAAAAGUAGUACCCCUCGUCCUCUUGCAAGUAUAAAAUUCACACCCGCAAAAAGAAAGUAAUACAAAACUUCACGACGAUUUUUUUUAACGGGAUCGGGCCCUACAAAACCGUCUUUAUCGUCAUGUGCGCGAGCGAAAGGAGCAUUGUCCAGAAGCAUUGCACCGCAUGACUUCUACGCAAUUUCUUCCUCCGAUGGCAAGCCUGAGGUCCACUCGCAUUCAAUACGGAUCCAUCGUUUUGUCAGGGUUCAGACGGUCGACCUUUUUUCCUUCCGGCAAAGGCAGAUCAAUUCGGAAACGAGGACAAUGAACAAUCACGUAGCCUAGCCCGUGCCGAGCAAGCAGGUGCUAUUCCAAGUCCUGAAGUUGAUCAGUGUGGUGUGGGAGUGAACAAAGGUGCGCGCUGGGGUGCAAGCAGCCGUCAGAUAGCAAGGUGACAAGAGAAGUGAAUUGCAGAUACUCCUAUCCUACUGCACGAGAGGGAAUAAAGCAAAAGCGGGGGGAUUUCCCGACGUGAAAUGCAGUUGACAAGAGAAGCGAUUCCGCAGAGAUUUCGACCGAACAAUGAUAGAGGAGCAUAUAUAAAAGAACAAGUCCAUCGUAGUAUGAAUAAUGAAUCCGAGAAUAUGGGCAGAGGCCAGAGCAACGCAGCGGUUGCACCGCCACUGCAAUUCUAGAAUAAAGCAUGGGAAUAUGAAUAUCAAUCGCGCCCGCGCAUGCAUGUCCCCGCCUCACGAUCGAUCGCGCCAACGCUCUAACUCCAACGGUGGCGGCCUGGAGGGCCGACGACGUCAGCACUGACGUCACCCCCACCUGCACGGGGCUACCCAACAAAAAACGAAAACAAAACAAAACAUGAUGAGCAAAAGGCGAGGGCAGCGGCAGCCGCUCCGUAAAAUACUCCUCCCACUAAACUAAAUUAUUAUUUUUUGGCUAAAAACUAUCUGGACCCUCGCUGCCUCUUGUUCUAGAUCACUGUAAGUAUUGUUAUUAUUUUGCUGGUGGAAACAGACCCAUUCCGUCACGUGAAUCCGGGGCGGGAAAGUUCAACGAACCAGGACCGGGAGGGGGCGAGCACGUCUCCACUUAUAUAUAACCCGCGACCCCGGCCCGAUCACACCAUUCGACUCCACGCAAUCGCCUCGUUCACACACAGUGAUCAGCUCACCCACAGACCAGACCACCCCGGAACGCAACAGAGCAGAGGAUGCUGCUGAACCCGGCAUCGGAGGCGCUGGUGCUGGACAGCAUCAGGCAGCACCUCAUGGAGGACACGGCGGCCGCGGCGCCGGCGCUGGCGGAGGCGAGGAGGCAGAGGCCGGCCUACUGCCGGAGCGCCAGCUUCGGAAGCCUGGUGGCGGACCAGUGGAGCGAGUCGCUCCCGUUCCGCGCCGACGACUCGGACGACAUGGUCGUCUACGGCGCCCUCCGCGACGCCUUCUCCUGCGGCUGGCUCCCCGACGGCUCCUUCGCCGCCGUCAAGCCGGAGCCCCUCCCUUCCCCGGAGUCCUGCUACGGCGGUUUCCUCUACCCGGACACGCCUCCGGCCACGUCUGCCGGCGACGGCNNNNNNNNNNNNNNNNNNNNNNNNNNNNNNNNNNNNNNNNNNNNNNNNNNNNNNNNNNNNNNNNNNNNNNNNNNNNNNNNNNNNNNNNNNNNNNNNNNNNUUUUAAGACGUAUUAGCCGACCCGGCUUACGAAUUUAUACCAACUAUCAAGGAAUUCCUAAAGUUUUGGGUGGAAUGGAGACACUUAAUUUGGGACGUAGGGUAUUUACAUGUGUACAUGAUGAUUUAUUGUGAUGACUAUGAUCGGGUUUCGAGUCAAGGGGUGUGCUUCCAACUUGUAUGGCGAGAACACCUACGGGCAUGUUGCAACUCGAUUUAUGACUUGCAAGUGGGACAACACCUUCUACGAGCCCAGUUGUGAUUGAAGUAUGGACUUGCAAGUGAGUCCAAAAAAUGGUGAGCAUAGUUGUGAGUCGGGGGUGGACUUGCAACUAGUGUGAAAAUAAAGGAUUGAGCGUAGUUGUGAGUCGGGGGUGGACUUGCAACUAGUGUGGAAAUAAAGGAUUGAGCGUAGUUGCAACUAGAAGGUGAACUUGCAACUAUGAAAAAACUUUGAGCCCCGGUGUGGGUCGAGGGUGAACUUGCAACCGAGACAGAAUAAAGACCAGGCUGAGUUGCAAGUUAAGAGUUACUUCGCAACUAAUACAAAAAAGUUGGGCCUUAAUCAAGCGUAGUUGCGAGUUGAUGAUAGACUUGUAACUAAUGUAAAAAAAAGGGUCAUGCCCAGUUGCAAAUCAAGGAUCUGCUUGCAAUUGGGUCAAAAAAGGUCGAGGGUGACCUUGCAACUAAAGAGAAAAAAGGUAGGGCACUAGAUCGAGCCCAGUUGCAAGUCAAUGGUGGACAUGCAACAGACACAACAAGAAACUUCAGCCUCAAUUACGAGUCGAGGAUAUAUUGAAAACUUGGACAAGUAAAAAUUAGGCCGAGUUGCAAGUCAAUAGUAGAUUUGCAACUAGGACAAAAAGAAAGUUUGACCCCAAUUACGAGUCAAGGAUAUACUUGCAAUUGGGUAAAAAUGGUUGCCCCCCGCUGCUCCGUUGAAAAAUGUUGCGUGUCGAGGACAAACCUGCAAUUUAGGACAAUAAAAAAAGAGCUGAUAAUUGCAUAUCGUGGUAUGGAGUUGCAACUCGGAUAAAAAAGGGUCGGACAUCUUAGUUGCAUGUCAAUAGAAUGCACUUGCAAAAAUGGAACAAAAAUGGAUCAGUCAAAGUUUAGUAUAGACGGAUGGACUUGCAAAUGGUACACAAAAGGCAGCUCAGCUGCAUGCCGGGGCUAGAGUUACAAUUAAGACCAAAAAAAUUCACUUUAUAAAAUAAAGAAUUAUAAAAAUGCAAAAUCAUAAAAUACAAAAUGUCAAUAGGGUGGCCGACUAGUGAACACCAUACAUAUAAUGAGACAUGGGAGUAUGGAUAGGCGUGACACAUAGCCCGUGACCAACAUUUGCACAACAUUUCGAAACAAUGAGGAAUUUAGAUGAGACACUUUCCAGUUUGUUUAAAAAGUUCAUGGAUAUAAAACAAGUAAAUAAAGAGGGGGGAAAUAAGUAAAUAUAUGAGACACUUUUGAGGUUUUAGCACCGAGUGUUCUUAUCUAUUUCAUCCGUUCCUAAAUAUAAUUCUUUCUAGAUGUUCAACUAAUGGACUACAUACGGAUGUAUAUCGACAUAUUUUAGAUUAUUAAUUCGUUCAUUUUGCUUCGUAUGUAGACGUCUAGUAAAAUAUCUUAAAAGAUUUAUAUUUAGCUAGUACGGAGGGAGUAUGAGAAAUGUUUUUCUCUAUAAGGGCAUGGCCAUCGCUCCAGGGUGGACCGCUGCCUCAUGAAUCCACGUCGGAUGAGCUGCUGCCGUGGAGGAGAAUAGGUAAAAGGCAGUCGCUUGCAGAGCCAAACGGGCUCUUGCAGAGGAGUCCGCUUCCUCGUUGAAAAAGGCAGAAGGAAAGCACAGACCGGAGGAGAGAGGGGAGAAAGAAUGAGCUAUGAAGUAAAAAAGUAGUGACGGAGAGAGAGAUAGGUGGACCACUAGAAGAGGUGCUGCUUGUGAUGGAUGUGAGAUAAUCAUACGGUGGUUUCAUUAUUAUUUUUCUUAGGUGAAGGCUGGAACCACAGCGAGGUGAUGCCCCCAUGGAUCAUCCCCUAAUGACCUGCAAUCACUCACCCAGUCCACGUUUCUCUGUGAAAAAAGAACGUAUGUCCCCAUCUUCGCCACGUCACGGAUCCGCACCACCAGCCUCCCACCGCAUCCCACGUUCUGAUCACAAUCCAACGGCCCGACUCCACCAUCCCACGGAUCGACCCAGCACACACCUCCCGCCUCCGACCCCCAAAAUUUCGGGCCUCCCUCCCAACUCCUCCCCAUAUAAACCGCUCACCACCGAUUCCCCAAUCCAUCACUAGCUUCAACAUCCGCGCCACUCCCUUCUUCUCCCAAAUCCAGCGACGAUGUCAGGGCGCGGCAAGGGCGGCAAGGGGCUGGGAAAGGGCGGCGCCAAGCGCCAUCGGAAGGUCCUCCGCGACAACAUCCAGGGCAUCACCAAGCCGGCGAUCCGGAGGCUUGCCAGGAGGGGCGGCGUCAAGCGCAUCUCCGGCCUCAUCUACGAGGAGACCCGCGGCGUCCUCAAGAUCUUCCUCGAGAACGUCAUCCGCGACGCCGUCACCUACACCGAGCACGCUCGCCGCAAGACCGUCACCGCCAUGGACGUCGUCUACGCGCUCAAGCGCCAGGGCCGCACCCUCUACGGCUUCGGAGGCUAGAUCCGUUGCGUAGUGGAGCAACUUCCUCGUUUGCUCUCUGUGAUCUGUGCUGUGGUGGAUGAGAUUUACUGAUUUUGUGUGCGUCGUUGUGUUCUGCCUUGGGUUCAGUAGGCUGUGUAAUACCAUGUUCUGUUCAAUGCAAUCAGUUCGGUUCUGAAUCCUGACGAAAUGCUUCACUGUUGAAUUGCGUUUUGUUUUUUCUAAUACUGAUUGGCUCUAUCUGUUUGGACACUGCAGCUGCACUGACUUAAGUACUUGACACUCAUUUCUUCCCAGAUUAGAUUGUACUGCUACUGAAUCCGGCUUUCGUUUGUUCAGUUAUUUGGCGCUAAUUGUUUCUCACUGAAAAGUUCUCUGUUUAGAUCGCUUAUCUGUACUGAAUCAACAUUCGUCUAUCUGGCACUCGUUGCAAUCUGUAGAAGAGAUGGAAUUCUUCCGCUCAGGCAAGUACAGGGUCCGGUGUUUUGGUUUGGCAUCACUGCGGAAUGAACCUCGAAUGUUUCUGUUGUUUUCAGUGGUAUGAAUACUCAAAAAUUUGGCUUCUGUUCCUGAAGGUCUUCACCAAACACAUUUCUUUGUCCUAACUGUACUGUUCCUUUGAGAAAUAAACAGUAGAGAUUAUAUCCUUUUCUUAAAAAUUUUGCUCCUCAUCAGUGCAACCAAUUCAUAGGUGUUGUUUCUCAGUUCCUUUUGAGAUAUUGUGUGGCAUUAUUGUUCAUUCUCUAGGGUAGGAAUUGUGUGACUCAGUUCCUUAAUCUUCAUUAAUCAAGCUAAAAGAAAGAAGAUCCUCACUGAUGUGAUAUCGCCAGGGCCACCUAUGAUUACUGAUCAGGACUGUUAUGACUCAAGAAUAAGCUAUCUUGAAGGUCCAAGAUACGAAGAAGCUCUUCCCGGGGAGUGGGAAUACACUCGUUUAUUUGUUCUCGAAGAACAUUGACUGCCACCACACCUUUCUCACUUCUUUUUUUUACAACGAGCCUCCUAGCCAUUAAAAAAACCAGACAAGGCCAAUUCUAGUUUACUACAUACUCCCUCCGUUUUUAAAAAUCUUGUCUUAGAUUUAUCUAGAUAUGAAUGUAUCUAGUCAUAUUUUAGUAUUUUGAUACAUCCAUUCCUAGACAAAUUUAAAACAAAUUUUUUGUGACGGAGGGAGUAUAAAAUAUGCACAUGUUAAUAACUUAAUAUUACGAAGGGCAAAAGAUAAGUAAUACUUUGGGUCUAUUAACCCCUUUUAUUUUGGGUUCAAAUUUGACCGUAAAAUUAACUUGGAAAAUACUCCCUACAUUUUUAAAUGUAAGCUUUUUAAAUAUUUAACUAGGAAACUACAUACGGAUAUAUAUAAACAUAUUUUAGAGUGUAUAUUCAUUCAUUUUGCUCCGUAUUUAGCCCCUUAGUGAAAUCUUAUACUCCCUCCGUCCCAAAAUUCUUGUCUUACAUUUGUUUAGAUGUAAUUGUAUGUAGUCAAGUUUUAGUAUUUUGAUACAUUCAUUUUUAGACAAAGCUAAGACAAGAAUAUGUCACAAAAAGUGUAUUAUGGGAAGACUCCAUUAAAUACGAAUCCAACAAUAUGUUUUUAUAUCAUAUACGUAGUUUAUAUUUAAAAAAAAAACCUGAUAGCUGAAACAAACUCCCACUAAUCAUAUUCGGCGCCACGUCAUCGAUCCAGUCCACCACCGUCCCGCCCAUCCCACCCUUCUGAUCUGAAUCCAACGUCCCAUCCCCACCCUCUCACGGAUCGACCCAGCAAAACCUCCCGCCCGAAGCCCCCCAAAAGUUCGCGCUUCCCUCCAAAAUCCUUCCCAUAUAAACCAGCCCCCACCCUGAAAUCCCCAAUCCCACCACAAGCUACAGCCCCCAAAGGAGUUCCUCUUCUUCCUAAUCACACACUCUCUCGGAGCGGAGCGGAGCGAAGCGGCGAUGUCAGGGCGCGGCAAGGGCGGCAAGGGGCUGGGCAAGGGCGGCGCCAAGCGCCACCGGAAGGUCCUCCGCGACAACAUCCAGGGCAUCACCAAGCCGGCGAUCCGGAGGCUGGCCAGGAGGGGAGGCGUCAAGCGCAUCUCCGGCCUCAUCUACGAGGAGACCCGCGGCGUCCUCAAGAUCUUCCUUGAGAACGUCAUCCGCGACGCCGUCACCUACACCGAGCACGCCCGCCGCAAGACCGUCACCGCCAUGGAUGUCGUCUACGCGCUCAAGCGCCAGGGCCGCACCCUCUACGGCUUCGGAGGCUAGAUUCUUGCCGUGCUGUGCUGUUGGCAGCUGUAUGCCCUGUGUGAUAUGCGCC
RNAcentral lists this long non-coding RNA (96737 nucleotides) under Hordeum vulgare. RNAcentral describes it as "long non-coding RNA (HVUL_LNC005446)". The stretch from base 95479 to 95615 matches the Rfam family "MIR1120/MIR1122 microRNA precursor family". Lineage: Eukaryota; Viridiplantae; Streptophyta; Magnoliopsida; Poales; Poaceae. The record is from RNAcentral.